RNAcentral lists this long non-coding RNA (103143 nucleotides) under Coffea arabica (coffee). Its description in RNAcentral is "long non-coding RNA (CARA_LNC008200)". The record is from RNAcentral. Lineage: Eukaryota; Viridiplantae; Streptophyta; Magnoliopsida; Gentianales; Rubiaceae.
AUGCUUCACGGAGGCAAGAAAGGACCCCAGGGGCAUUUUGCGACCUGCUGCCGGUCCUGGUGCUUUUACUGAACAAAAUGAGCACCUUGGGUCUAAUACAUUGAAAGAAUUUGAGUCAAAGCCUGGCAUCCAUUCUCCACGCAGAUGAGCCUAGAUCCAUUCUCCCUUACCAUGGUCGUGAUGCUAAUUCAAAGGAGGAGAAACCGCAAUGAAAGAUUUUGAGUCAAAGCCUGAAUCCUUUUUUAAUCCUUUACCGUGGUGACAAAGCUAACUUGCAGGAGGGAAAACCGCAUAUGAAAGAUUUCGAGUCAAAGCCUGAAUCCCUUUUAUUCUUUUACGGUGGUGACAAAGCUAACUUGCAGGAGGGAAAACCGUAUAUGAAAGAUUUCGAGUCAAAGCCUGAAUCCCUUUUAUUCUUUUACGGUGUGACAAAGCUAACUUGCAGGAGGGAAAACCGUAUAUGAAAGAUUUCGAGUCAAAGCCUUGAAUCCUUUUUGAUCCUUUACAAUCGGUGACAAAGCUAAUUCGCAGGAGGGAAAGCUACAUAUCUAAGAUUUCGAAUCAAAGCUUGGAUGAAUGCUCCUUUACCAUAAGGGAACCGCCGAUGAUGCUAAGCAAAAUUAGGAUAAAUCAAACAUGAAAGAAUCAAAAGUGAAGUGAAGCGUCUGUAUCGCUGCUUUUGUAGCAUAGUCUUGAUGUUGCUUCCAAACAAGAGAAAUUCAAUUCGCUUGAGACUGGAUUUCUGCUCUGUCAAGAAUAAGUGUAGUUGUCUUAAUUUCUUAGUGUUGGAGUGAAAAUGUCUCGCUUGUAAUGCAAUUCCUCUAAUUAAAUAAAUGCUGUUUGAUUUACUAUGGUGAAACUUUUAGUUGUGUUUAGUGCAUCUUUGUUUCUCUCUUUUUUUCCUGUUUCUUUUUUUUUUUUCCCAAAAAUCUGGAAUAGUCUUGGUCAGUUGGGCUUCGCCAUUAUAUUUUGUGAUCAGUAUCCACUGGAAAACAAAAAUACUUUUGACUUCUUAAGCUUUCGAUCUAUUCGGUAUAUGGGAGAGGCAUAGCAGAAAAUUACUCGAUGAAUUUCUCAUAUGCAGCAUCUAUGGGAAGGAAAAGCAGACAAGAUCUGGAAGGGAUAUUCUGAAAUUCCACUGCAUCUUUUGAAUAAUGUUAAAGAACUGUGACUAUAAAGGAUAUUGUUCCGGUACUAGGUAGUAGGCCCAUGGUUCAAACACUAGGGAGAGUCGGAGACUGACGACUCGACUGUUCCACCUAACAUUGGAGAUCAAAGAAUCCGAGAACUCGGAGAAAAACUCGAUCGACUCAGACCUAGUUGUCUCUAAGACGAAGUGAAACGGGCGAUUCGACCAAGUCAUCCCCAAUUUUUUGCCAGCUUUUGUUUCUUUUUGCCCUUUCCUAUUUUGCUGCUUUUUUGUAAGAAUUUCAGUGUGUGUGUGUUGUGUGUUUGUGCAUGGGGGAGAGAGGGAAAAUUCCAGCCGGUCUAACGCUGGCCAGAGUUGAUGAUUUCCAGCUUCCGGCAACUUCGUUAGUGAAGAAGGAACCAGUGCUGCAGCGGGCAGGAGUUUCCCGUGGGGAAGAUGACUCAGUUUUUGAAAUUCCAGCAAUAGCCCCUUAGUUUCUUUUACUUUUAAUUUCUGCCCCCGAUUUUUUGUACUUUCUAAUUCGACCCCAAGACUUUACCUUAAUGUUUUCAAUUAGGUCCUUAGCAGUUAACUAGUUGGCUGUUAGUUUAAUUAGUUUGUCAUUUGUCAAGUUAAGCUGUAAUUAAUUUUAUUUUCCUUUUUGGAAAUGAUGUCACCCGUAUAGGGCAUAGGUGCAUUUAAUUAUUGUAUUUUUAUUUUUAUAUUUUCUUUCAUUUUUUUUCUUUUAAUUACUUUUGAUUGUUAUCGAAUGUGAUAUAAUGGGACGCCAAAGCAUUGGUUGGUGGCUUUUCCAGUAGAAGCUUUGGAACUAAUUAUCUCAUUCUUAUUGGUUUUUUCUAUUUAUCAUGCUAUGUUUAGAUGUUUUAUUCUACUUUAAUUAAUUAAAAUGCACGUUAUGUGUUUAGCUUAAAUUAAUUUUUUUGCCUUAAAAUUAGAAGAAUAAAGUUAAACUUGCAAUCGGUUUUUAUCGGGUGUAGAGGAGUAUUUGAGGAUACAAUCUUGACCUUACCCUCACAAAUGUAGCUCAUGAACUCAUUUUUUUAACUUGUUUUUUUGUUAUUUUUGUUUAGCAUAGUUUUUUUUUUCCUAUUUUUAAUAUUUUUUUUCACAAUUUUUAGAAUACUAGAUGCUUCAAAAUUUACUUUUCAUCGAUACUACGACCAAUGAGUGUCAAACUAUCCUACACAAUUUAACUUGAUGCUUCAAAAUUUUUAACUUGACAAACUAUCCCACACAAAUGAGUGUCAGAUCAUAGGCCAAAGCAUCUCAGACAAAUCAAAUUUUAGAGGCAGGCUCUUUAGAAAAUCAAAAUGUAGAGUUUGCUAAGAUUGUGACCAAGUCUUCUAUUGUUCAGUCUCUUCCUAGAUUUUCUUUAUUCAAUGUAAAUUCAAAUAGUAUACAAACUGGUAUGGAUGCGUCAUUUGAGUUUACGAAUAGCCAAAGCGUAACUUUGAUACAUCAUCAGAAAGAGAAAGCUCUUACAUUGAAAGUUCAAAGAUCUUAGAAAAAACAUUCAAUUCAGCAAGAAUGUAUGAGAUCACAGAUUAUAGGGCCUCUUCCAAAUGUUUCUAAAUCUAUUCAGCCUAUUAAACCGGAUUUUGUUAGCACAUUUUCACUGCCAAAUGCAAAUUUGAAUAGCCUACACUCAUGUAUGUCUACUCCAUCGGAGUUUUCAGUAGGUGAAUCUUCCACCUAUAGAAAUCGGCAGAAAGAGAAAGCGCUUAAGAUGACAGUGAAAAAAGCUAAACAAAAUUAGUUGGUUCAAGCACAGAAUAUAGGAUAUAAGAGUUUGCAACCUCUCACAAGUACAAUUGAACAGCAUAAUCCUGAGGUUGUUGAGAUUUUAAAUCAGUCUAAUCAGGUUGUUUGCCAAUUACAAUCAAACGAGUCCCAGUUUUCCGGUAUUUAAUAUAGCACUGCUUAUUAAUAUAGUCCUUCCCAUCAAGUGAAUCAUUUCAUCAAAUUUCAAAACUCAUUUUACCUCUUAGAACAAUCUAACCAGUUUCUUCCUUUUCUUUAAAAUAGAAUUUUUUUUUUCAUUUUUUAAAUAUAACAUUUACUUUUCCUACUAUAAAUUAUUUGUUCUAAAUGCAUUGAAUUUAGACCCAUUUCAUCAAUCAUAUAAUGCCGUUAAUUUUUCUAUUUUUAAAAUGCAUAGACCUUUCACAUUAACAUGAAAGGUAUUGUUUCUAAAAUUUUUUAGUAAUUGUUGUCAAACAAUGACUAUUACCACCUACUUCUCUGACAACAAACAUUUCAGCUUUAAAUUGAAUACUCAAAAGCAUUUUUUUUCAUUUACUCAAUUAAAUGUGUUUAGUUUUAUUUCUACUUUAUAGUUUAUCUAAUUCAAGAGGUUGAUAUUGAACUCUACUUUACAGGAAUAUUUGAACAAAAUCAUGGGAAAACUAAGAGAAACGUGCAGGUCUUUUAACAUUUACAUUUUUAAAUGACUUGAGUAUUUUACAUUCCCUUACUGUUUAUUAAACAAGCAAAGUCAUUUAGAAUCUAUCUUUUAUUGAUGAUAGGAAGAGUUCAAAAAAAAGGUCGAGACCUGUUAGAUUGCAUUCCAGGUGUGGCAAGCAUUCUUCCAAAACAGCCAGAUUACCCACAUUGUGGUGCAAAAAUUUUUUUCCAUGAAACAACCAACUUUUGCUGUUCUAAUGGAGACAUAGUGUUAGCUACCAACCCAAUUCCAGCUCCUUUAAAAGAGCUAUUAACUUCAUCUUUAGAAGAGGCAAAAUUAUUUAGAAUAUGUAUAAGAACAAUUAACAACAUUUUUGCUUUCACUUCUUUUGGAGUUAAAUUUGACAAGAAUCUAGCAAAGAGAAGUAAAGGAGUCUAUACAUUUAGGAUUCAGAGGCAAAUUUAUCACUUCAUCAGUGAUCUAGAGGCCUCAAAAAAUUUGCAGCUGUAUUUUCAUGAUACUGAAAUUGAGUUGACAAAUCAUUUAAAUGCGUGCCCAAGGCUAAUAGAAAGUAUCAUCCAAAAGGUUAUGAAUAUCCUUGAAUACAAUCCAUAAGCUCGAUUUUUCCGUGGUUUAAGAGAGGUUCAUAACCUUAUACUUAUCAUAUUGUCUUGAUAACACUGCCUGGUGUAGACCAAAGGGUAUUUAACAAACCUACGGUCUCCCAAGUUGCUGCAUUGUGGGUUGAAGGAGAAGAAAAUGGGGCAACAAGCCAGAGGAAUACUCAAGUCCAUACUCAUGGUGGUCAUUGUCACAGUAUAGAAUAUUACUAUGGCUGUUAUGACCCUUGCAGUCCCUCUUCUUUUUUCUUUCGGUGAACUUGGCUGGCAUAAGGAAUCCAAAAAAAAAAAAGGAAAAAAGAUCCACAAGAAAAAGACACGAAAUAAGAAUUCUGAAAGUUUGAUUUCUCUAAUGCUUGCUGCAAUUGCUGAAGAACUAUUAUAGAUGGAACAAGAUGGUAAGUACAGACAAUCUUAUUCAUCUAUUUGUAGUUCAAUUCAGCAUAGUAACUUAACUAAUUAUUCUGUAAUUUGUCUACCAACAAUGGCGAGGAUUGAUAAUGAUCCAAAUUUUGUUUUGUUAGUGAGUAUUAUGCUUAUAAGUUACAGAUAAGGGAUAAUGAUGAGUCUUUUUUGCUUCACUUGGGUAGAUUAACUUAGCAAUAUAUAGUGGAUAUGUUUGUUAAGGUUGAAUCUCAAAGACUAGAUUUUUUUAGAUCACAAUAAGAGGAAAUAAGGAAAGAGUUUUUGUAAGAAAUACAAGACUCUGUGGCUGCUGGUGAAACACAUGCAGCAAAUAUUGGUCACAAAAUUUUUUUACUAGUAAGCUUUAUUGGAGGGCCAAGAAAUAUGAGAAGGAAAUAUAUAGAAGCAAUGACCUUAGUUCAAAAUUUUGACAAAUCAGAUAUCUUCUUGACCAUGACUUGCAAUCCUAAUUGGCCAGAAAUAAAAGAACACCUAAUUGAAAAAGAAGAAGCACAAAAUCGGCCUGAUUUAAUUGUAAGAGUCUUUCAUGCUAAACUUGAAGAAUUAAAAAAUGAAAUCCUCAAGAAAAAUAUUUUUGAAGAAGUGGCAGCGUAUACAUAUGUUAUAGAGUUUUAGAAAAGAGGCUUGCCACAUGCACACUUUCUCUAAUUUUGAAAUCUAACAUAAAAUGUUUAGACCUGAAGAGUAUGAUAAAAUUGUGAACGCUGAUAUUCCAAACAAAGUGAAAUACCCAUACUUAUAUAGAAUGGCUAAAAAACACAUGAUGUAUGGUCCAUGCGGUGUUUUAAAUCCAUCAAGUGUGUGUAUGACUAAGAAUGGCAGGUGUAGGCAUUCCUAUCCAAAGGAUUUUGUGAGGAAACAACCCAGACUAUUAAUUCUUAUCCAGUAUAAGCGAAAUAAUAAUGGUGUUAAAGUCAAAGUUAGACAACAUCACUUUGAUAAUAAAUGGGUUGUUCCCUAUAAUGCCUAUUUACUUGCUAAAUUUGAUUGUCACAUUAAUGUUGAGAUUUGUUCAACAAUUCAGGCUGUUAAAUACAUCUACAAAUAGAUUUGUAAAAGGCAUGAUAGAAUCAGUUUUCAUAUUAAUUCUGAUAAUCCAAACAGCCAUAUUGAUGAAAUCUAGCAGUAUCGGGCAGCUUGUUGGGUCUCAUCACCUGAGGCUACGUCGAGACUUUUUCAUUUUGCAAUGGGUGAAAUAAAACCUGUAGUAAUUCAUCUGCAGCUUCAUCUGAAAAUUAUCAGCCUGUAAGUUUCAAAAAGCAUCAAAAUCUCACCAAUGUUGUGAGCAAUCCAAGAAACACAAAGACAAUACUUGCUAAAUUCUUUUAUAUGAAUAGAAUAGAUUAGAAGUUCAGACACUAAAUUGUACAUUUCUGAAUUUCUAAACCAUUUUGUUUGGCUUCCUGAUGAGAGACGUUGGAAAAUGAGAGAUCAAAGGGACUUUGUAGGUAGAACAAAUUCAAUCCAUUCGACUGAAGGAAAGAGGUACUACCUUAGGCUUCUUUUAACAAAAGUUUGUGCUCCUAAGUCCUUCAAAGACCUAAAGACUUAUAACGGAGCACAAGUUAGAACCUUUCGUGAAGCAGCACUUUUAAGAGGGUUGCUUCACGAUGAUAAUAGCCAAGAAUUGUCUUGAAGAGUCUUCUCUCUUUCAUAUGCCUUAUGAAUUGAGAAGACUUUGGUAUAUUCAUGUCGUAACAAUCCCAGACAAUUAUGGUUAAACUUUGAGGCUGUAAUGUCGAAGGAUUGUCUAAGGUGUUCAGAUUUGACUCUUAGAGAGGUCAGGAAAAAGGUACUGCAACAAAUAAGUGGUUUUCUUGAAUCAAUGGGAAAAGGCAUAGGUUUAUUUGGAUUGGUUCCGAAUGAUAGAACCAAACAAGAGAACUGUUGGCAGAAAGAAGUAUAACCAAUCAUGAAGAAGAUCUGAAUGCAAUUACUUUGCUUAAUGAAAAACAAAGGCACGCAUUUGAGGUCAUAUGUCGCAGCAUAUAUGAGAACAUAAGUGGUGCCUUUUUUGUAGACGACCCUGGAGGCACUGGAAAAUCGUUUCUCUAUAGGGCGUUGCUAGCUGAUGUUAGGUCUAAAGGGUUUUAACACUUGAGAUAGCCACUUCAGGAAUUGCUGCUUCUAUACUACCAGGAGGACUGCCCAUUCGUGAUUUGAAAUGCCAAUUGAUCCUUUAGAAGGUAGAACAUGUAAUGUUAGCAAACAAAGUAGCCUGGCAACAAUGAUUAGAGAAUCCAAACUGAUUAUUGGGAUAAGGCUCCUAUGUCAAAAAGAUCUGCAAUUGAAGCAUUGAAUGAUCUAAUGCAAGAUCUUAUGAACUCACUAGAAAUAUUUGGUGGAAAAGUUGUUGUCUUUGGCUGCGACUUUAGGCAAACAUUGCCAGUUGUUCACAGAGGAAAUCAAUCCGAGACUAUUAAUGCUUGCAUAAUAAAUUCUCCUCUAUGGCCUUCUCUCAAAAAAUUGCAAUUAACAGAGAAUAUGAGGGAUUGAUUAGACCCCUCAUUUAUUGAGAGUUGGUAAUGGAACUAAGAAAACCCAAGAUGAUAGCUACAUAAAGAUUCCUUAUUCAAUUUUGCUUGAAAAUAGAGGGGAUGAUUCUGCACUAGAUAAUUUGAUAAAUAUAGUGUACCCCAAUAUCAUGACUGGAUUACCAGAUGCUAACACUCCAGCCAAUUGAAUUCUAUCCACAAAAAAUAAUUUUGUUGAUGAGGUCAACGACAUUCUCGUUAGCAUAUUUCCAGGUGAAGCAAUAGAAUAUCUCAGCUUUGAUGAAACUUUAAAUCCAAAUCAUUGGGGACAGUAUGAGGAUUUUUUGAAUUCUCUUUCCCCAAGUGGACUUCCACUACAUAGGCUCAUCUUGAAGGUUAAUGCACCAAUAAUCUUUGCUUAGAAAUUUAGACCCCAUUGAAGGCCUUUGUAAGGACAAGAUUAGUUUGUAGGAAUUUGAGCUAAAAUGUUAUUCAUGCUCAGAUGGUUGUAGGUGAUUUUGCCAGAAAAGAUCUUUUCAUGCAUAGAAUUCCAUUAGAACCUCCCACUGAUGAGCAAGACUGUGUCCCAUACAAGAAAACUCAGUUUCCAAUCCGUUUGUGCUUUGCAAUGACAAUUAACAAAGCUCAAGAACACACGUUAGAUUUUGUGGGUAUUUAUUUGAGAGAAUCCUGUGUUCUCUCAUGGAUAGCUUUAUGUGGCAUGAUCGUGUGCAAGAACAGCUUCACAAGUCAAGUUACUCAUUAAGCCUCCAUUUUUUCACAAAUCUAGAAUAAAUCAGACCAAAAAUAUUAUAUAUAGAGAAGUUCUUGAAACUUCUCAAUUAGCUGUCAAGUAAAUGAACAUUCUUCUACUAUUUCUUCAACCUUUAAUUGAUCCCAUCACAAUUGUAGUUUAUAUUAGAAUUAAAUUUAUCUAUUUCUACCAUUUACAGAUAAGCAUAGUGAGAUGCUACCUUCCAGUGAAUGAGGUCAUUGAAGGAGUAAAAGGAUGGACAGUAUUGGUUUAGGUUGUUGAGAGAGAACAUGUUCAGUUGAGUUGAGGAGCAAGUCCUAUGAACUACACCGCUUCCUUCUUACAGAUUCUGAGGUAACAAAAAAUAAAGAUAUUCCUUCCAUUUUUGCGAUAUCUUUGACUAUUUUAUAGAUUUUUAGCUAUUCUUCUUUAGGAUGCAAUAGGGAACAAAGGUUUCAGCUGUCAUCUAUGGCAAUGAUAUCUAUUUUUUUGAUGCCAUUCAGGAGAUACUAUAUCUCCAAUGUAGCUCUUCGCAAAGCAGAAUCAAGGUAUAAGGUUAGUGACUACCAUAUUCUUGGAUAAUCCAUAACAGAACAUUGGUUGAGGAGUAUGUGGAGCAGGUUCCACCAGUUAUUCCGUGUCACUUUGACCUUACAGAGUUUGAAAACAUAUUCAAAUUUGUUGACACAGAAAAUUGGCAAAGUAAGUUCAUUUUUUAUCUUAGAUAAUUCAAAUGUAUUCCUUAUGUUAUCUUCAGCUUAUCUUUAAAUUGAAAUAUUCUUUUGAAUAAUAAAUAUCCAGGCUAUUGUCAUGCAUGCUUUUCCUUCAAGGAAACAAGUCUUAAUUCAACGACUAGAGACUUGGUUGUUAUUAAUCAAGAGUAAGCCAACUGGAACAUAAGAAUAUAUUUUCCAUUCGUUAAAUAAACCUAUUACAUUCUUUGAUUUUUAUCAUUUAUUGCUUUUGCAAAAAAAAAGCCAAUGCUCCUUCCUCUAUGGAAUGAAUUUGAAGCAAAUGAAGGAGCACAGCUUGCAAACACUAUUGCAAACAACAACGUCAUCAUAGCUAUGAGAGUCAAAGUAACUACUUUUAACUGUAAGUCACAACUCCCAUUGGUCAAAAAAUUAUUAUUGCUUUGCCUACAACACUUCAAUUUCAAUGAGCUAAUUAUAUACUACUUUCUUAGAUCUGUCUCUGACAACAAGGCUUGAAAGUUGUCUCUUGGUGAAUCCACCAACUCCUCAAACCAUUGCAUUAAGACAAUGGUAAGCAUAUCAUGUUUCAUAAGUAUAGAUAAAGACUGGAAAAUAUAACAUGUCUAUUUAUGUUCACAGGAAUGAUCAGAAUCAAACAGGAAAUUGCACAACUGAUUGAAGAAGCCAGUUACAAAGACUCAACCAAAUUGUUGCCUCUACCUAAAAAUAAUGAUAUCAUUAGUGUUGAGAAUGCUAUGAGGAUUCUGAAAAGUGUAAAUACGAUCAUUUCAGUAACUCACUUAUACUUUUCUUACCUUUUACAUUAGUGAAAGUGAAUUACUUAACUUUGCAUCUAAUACAAUAUUAAUUAUAGGUCAAGACUACUUGGACAUGAGGAAAUACUUCUUUGGCACCUGAGCAGCGAUCCUUUUGGUAUGCUGCGUGUAGUAAUUGUCUAAAGGCUGUAUAUGCUAAUAUGGAAUGGAUCAUUAGAUGCCCAUCUUGCAGAGAAGAAAGUGUUGUUGAGGCCAGGUAAACAAGACAUGCAAAUUUACAAUAGUAUGCUCAAUAAUAAAUCUUUUUUACUGCAUUAUUUAACUAUUAUUCACUGCCAUCAUAUACAAGAUGCCGUAUUGGAAUUAUCAUUGACAAUGGAACAAGCUCAACGUAUGCAGUAGUGUUUGGUAUAGAUGCUAAAAAACUCAUACAGUUCACAGCAGUACAACUAAGUGAAGCCGAUGAACACGUAAGUUUUCCUAUUCUUUUCUCUCAAUUCUCUCUAUUUUGGUACUUCUUUGAAUUUAUUUGACUUAUUUUGCAUAUCCUAUCAUUGAUACGUAUAUUUUUCAAUCCAAACAGUUUAGUCUUCUUUGAUCAAGAUGAAAGACCUAAAUUGGUCAAAAAAUUGUCUAGCUAACGUGGAAGAAAAUUUUUGCAUCAUUAGAUGAUCUAUUAAAUAGAUAAGUGCCUAAUUCAACCAAAAUCUCAUUAGAUAGAUAAGAUUGAUCCUUAGUGUCAGAGGCAAAGAACAGUUUGGAAAAUUUAGUAUCAGAGGCAAAAGGACAAUUUGGAAAAUUCUUUACUAAAUUUAACAUGCUAUAUCACUAUCUUCUUCUAUCUAUGGUUGCAUUGAUUGGCCUGCAAAUUUGGUAAUGCCCUUCUAGUCCUCAUCUUAUUUUGCUGUUCUUUCCAAGGACAAGACUCAGUCGUAGACAAGAAAAAAAAAAUCCUAACUGGAACUAACUAAAAGUUUGCCAGCAUUAAGAUGGCUCCAGGUCACUUUCAAUCUAUGUUACUAUUAAACAUCUGGCCCUGAAAACAUCUGUACCUAAUUAUCAAAUAACAUAUCACUCUCUUUCUAUAAGAAUUCUGGUGUUAGAGGAUUGAAUGUUCAACUACUAACCUUUGUUCACUCAUCAUGUGUAAUGAGCUUUUUGAGCUUUCUUUUGAAAUUGCAUCAUGUUCACAUUUUCUGGUACUCCAUAAAAUUUUUGAAAAUACAGGGUAUUGAGCUCUUUUUUGUUUAUUUGCAAAAUACAGGGUAUUGAGCUUUUUUUGAAAUUGCAUCUGCAAUUGAUAACCAUCAAAUCGUAUGCUUUGUCUGUCAUUUUGACUUGGAUUAUCAAGGACAAAAAGAUGAUAAGUAUAGCAUCGUCAAAGUAUACACUACUGAAGAAUUGGUUGAAAUCAUCCCAGCAAUCGCUUACGAAGCUGCCUUCGAUGCUACAGGAGAGCCUGUUCCAACUGCUCCAACCAUAACUGAGAAGCUAGCCAGCACCAUUGACCAGGUUGACUUAAUGCUCAGUCCACUUCCACUGACCAACCUACCACUAAAGGGCAAUUCUUCAGCCCAACAAAAAACAAUGGUCCUAGAUUCAAUUGGCCGCAAAUAUGAUAUUGCAGACAAGCCAACCUCUUCAAACGUUGCUGCAAAAAGAAGCUUAACUUUUGAAGCUACAAUUCCCAGAACUAAUGCACUUUCUAUUGAGAAGACAACCAUUGAAGUUGUUCCCUUGGUUGCUGCAAAAAACAGCAUUAAAGACAACAAACUAGACUCUCCAAAAUCUGCUCGUAUGAGCCUCCUCAAGAAACCACGUGAAUCUGCAAUGUGAAGCAGGCCAUACAGCUUCAUAUCAUCUUUUGUUCAUCCUUUUGUUCAUCAUAUGUAUUCUUGAAGUUCUCGCAUGCUAUCUUUUGCCAUCAUAUUAGAAUCCAUUAACAUUCCCUCUAUGACUAGAAGUUAAUGGAUCCUAAUAUAUGAUAAUACGUAGCUAAAAUGAACUUUGAAAAAUACUAUUAGCGUGCCAAUGUAUCUCUACUUGGGACCUAAUUGUACUGGAAGGUGUGUAAUUGCUACUGAAAUACUUGACAGCUAUAUAUGAAUGGUAAUUAUGAUAUUAUUACGUUAUCUUUAUAGCCAUUAUGUACCUAUUUUCCAACUAGAAUUUUAUAUGUGUUUUUCCAAUGACCAAUAUUUUUGGUAGGGCCAAGGUUGUGCCUUGCACAACCUAGUUCCUCUAGUUUAUCACCAUAUAACCAAUGUUUUGAAAACCGGACCGGACCGGCCGGUUGAACGCGAACCGGCCAUGGCGCCUGACGGGCUCUUAUUGUAUCAAUGCAAGUUUAAUUCCGAUUUUACACCCGUUGGACUGCAAGUAUACAGGUCGAAAUUUUAGUACAAGAUGUGUAUCGGGUCGAUCCCACGAGGAGCAAUUUAAACAAUUACUAAGCCCCUGUUCUCUCUAUUAUUUAGACUUACCAUUAAUUUUGAGCAGAGAAAAUCUAAUGCUGUAAUCUACAAAUCUGAUGUACAAAUCUAGUUUAACAAAUGCUGAAUGCAAAUAGAGAAAUUUCACUUAAUGAAGAUUCUAGGGAUGUAGAUUCCACUUAUGGCAUAAACUACACAAAUAAAUGGAUUUACUUAUUGCUAUUAUUCUUGCUUAACCAGAGAUUUAUUUCCAAGAUUACCAAGUCUCAUUUCCAUGAUGAAAUGGCUUAGAGCAAUAUAGAUUUCCCUAUUUCCAUGGUGAAAUACUACUACAACUCUGUUUUAGUUCAUGAAAUACUAAGUAAUCCACUUAAGUGUAUUUCUAUUUUCAUGAACAUACAACUCAAGCUCUACUCAUGUGUUUCCAUUGUUAUUACCAAUUCUCAUUGAACAAUAACAACUGUAAACAAGUUAUUGGUGAUCAAACAAUAACAAGAAAUCACAGCUACACAAGUAGACAAGUUAACUCAAGAUAUAACAAGUGUAAAUCACAUUCAAUUAGUAUUAUUUAGCCAUAAGUUUCAUCUACUCCCUAGAUGAAGGAGUUUAGCUACUCAUGAAUGAUUUAACAAUCAAAUUCACAAGUUUAUUAAUACAAAACAUCAUAAAGUACAAGUAUAAGAAAGAUAAAAGAAAGCUUAGCCAAUUGAAGGUGAAGCUCUCCAAUUCCUGCUAUGUUCUUGCACAAUAUGAUUACAAGUGAAAACUCUCCAAAAAAUGCUUCUCCAAGUACUCCUAACUAGAGAGAAAACUUGUUGCAAGAAGGAAAACUAGCUACGUAUGGUUAUCCUUGCUUCUCCCUUGUGUUUCUGCAUAAAAGGUGGUAGAAAUUCCAUUCCUCUCACUUCAUAAUUUCCUCCACUUAGAUUUUGUAAAAAGAAGUCAAAGAUAUGAUGUUCCUUUUGUCCACACUCAUUUGGUCUUCUCUUUUAUUGCAGAAGCAUGUGCCACCGAUUUCUGUCCCUCAAAAUAGCUGUAAAAGUUGUGAGAAAGGUAAAGAAAAACGGCUGUGCCACUUGCUGAGGAGAGAGACAGAUCCGAGCCUCGGAUCCGAGGAGUGAUAAUGGAUCCGAGCUCGGAUUAUAGGAUCCGAGGCCUUCCCAUGAUGGAUCCGAGGUCGGAUCGUCCUGACCUCGGAUAUACUCCGCCAGAAGUACAGACGAGGGGUCGGAUCCCUCUUGUACACACGGAUCCGAGCUCGGAUCCGUGUUGAACAUUUUUCCAGUUUUUCACUUCUUCCCUUUUUCUACAUUUUUGCUCCCACUUUCUUGUGUACUUUGUCCUCUGGAUGACCCUGACAUUUCUUUCAACUUGUGCAUGAAUUUCAUACAUCAAUUACCUUCACAAUUUCACAAAAUUACGCAUUAAUCACUCAUUUAUCAAUUUCUUAACUCUUAAACAAUAUUUAAGCAAUUAUCACCAAAAGAGUUUAAAUAUGGCUUUAAUCUUCUCAAAACAUACCAAAAAUUCAUGCCAAAUUCAUACAAAAUGUACGUUAAAUAUUCACUUAUCAGCACCGGUCCGGUUCUAUGCUCUAGUUCACUUUUGCCAGAGAACCGGUCAAACCCGGUAAAAACCGGGAAAACCGGUGAACCGUGUUGAACCGGAUUGAACAGGUUUUUGAGUUUUUUUUUUUUUUUUUUUUUUUUUUACUUUUUUUUACUUUUUGCAAAAUGCUUCUAUCAAGAUUCGAACUCAAACCUUUGUAAUAGAAGACCAAUGUAGUAACCAUUGCACCAUCACAUUUUAUUUGCUUUUUUUGAUAACUUAUUUAUAUAAAACAAACAUCUAUAUUUCAUUUUUCAUUUUUCUUACAAAAUCUCAUCCUCUCAUGACUCUUUCUUUUUAAUCUUCAACUCUUUCUUUUCUCCUUCAUCUUUUCUUUUGUCACUCCAUUUUUAAUCAAACCUCAUUAGUUUUAAUUUAUUGAUGUUUUCUUCUAUCUUUUAAUUUUGUUUUUGCCCAUUAAAUUGGAAAAAAGUUAAAAAAGAAUUAUUUUUCUUUAACCCAAAUUAUUUAAUGCCACAACCACUCACUUUUAUCUCAUUUUUUGUUUCUUAUCAAGUUUGCAUUUCUAUUUUCAAUUCUCUUAACUUCUUUCGAACUCCAAACUUUCUUUUUUAAAUUACAAUCUUUAAAUCAAAAAGACGUAAAUUAAAAUUUAAGUUCACAAUAUCAAAUUCUCAUAGACGUGAAUUUGUAUAAUUUCAAAAUAUUGUGAUAUUUUUGGGUUGGAUUUAAGAUUUUUUUGGUAGAUAUAAUUGAAAUUGAGAUGAAAUUUAUUUGUUUUAACUUAUAAUUUAAAUAAUUUAUUUUUGAAAAUCCAAAUUAUUCAAAAAUAGUGAACUUUUCAUCAUAUAAAGUUUUAAAUUAGUCCAUUGCAUGUCUUAUUUUGUGCAUAUAUAUAUUUAUAUAAAUUAUUUUAAAAAAAAUUCAUUGAACCGAGGUUGAACCGGUCCGACCGGUUGAACCUCGACCCUUUCACCUCACCGGUUCAAUUGACGGUCCGGGUUUUAAAACAUUGCAUAUAACAGUUUAAACCAAACGGGACCAAUCGAUUCCAAUUGAACUGGGAAUCCGAUGGAUAUUCUGUCCGAGUUAAUCAAUUGAGUUGGACAAAUAUUGAUUAAAUCUGGUCAAAAUUUGGAUUUGGACCAAAAAAAGUGAGUUUUUUUGUUGUUUUAGGUACUAUAUUACUUUUUUGCACAUUUUAAAAUUUAUAUGUGAUUGGUAUGCUAUUUUGAGUUUCGUCAUCAUCAUAAAUUCAUGACAUCAUUGAAUUUUUUGAUAUUUUAGCAUUUCAUCUUUUUUUUGUCGACACAAUAGAUUCUACAUCUACUUCUACUUUACACUAAAGGAAAGGGGUGGACCCAAGAGAGUCAAUAAGGAACUCAAAAUGGAUUGAAUCGCCACUAGACCACAUGGGUAUCUUUGCACCCGUUGGUAAAUUUUUUCAGGAAAUUCUGGAGAAGAAUGCAGACCAAGAGAUUUGAUUCUUUGACCUACAUUAAAGGAAAGCCUUAAGCCUCUCCCUGGUAGCCAACUACUCUAGAGGUAGUUGGUUUUUAGCAUUUGAUCAAGUCCAUUGAACAUGUCACCAUGGCCCUCAACUUGAUUGAAUCGAUGACUCAUUUCAAAUUUCAAAACUCUAUUAUAUAUUAGCCCAAAACAUCGAUACAUAUCAAUUAAGGUAUACACGGAUAUUUGCCAUUCUAUUAUAGUGAAAAGAAAAGGUUUACUUUUAAGAGGAUAUAUAAUUGGAUGAAUCAAUACAUAUUUUACUCAAAAUAACGCCAAUCCACACCGUAAAAUUAAUUCUAAACGGUUUGAAAGAAAAGGACCAAAAUGUAGACCAACCUACAAAUUGAUUUUGUACCAAAUGAACAUGCAUAGAAUUUUCAUUGCAUACAAAUUAUGAAACGUGGAUUUAAAAUUCAUGUGACAACAUCUCGAUUUAAAAAAAAAAUGAACUUUUUAGUUUGCAUUAUUUUACACAUAUUUGAUUUUUUUAAAAAUAACAUAGUUGCGUAUGAUUGAAUAGGCAAGCAUACAUUAUUGAUGUAUAAGUUAAUGUGGACGCCUAUCAAUGUUUAUGUUGUUGCACAACUUGAAUUUGUUCUGGAAAUUUAUAAUAUUUAAAAAUUUUAAUAAUUUCAACCUACUUCAAAACUUUUUUUUAGUAAUAAAUCAUUUCAAGGUGUAGUUGAAUUCAAUAUUCUAUUAGUAAAAUGGCUAAACUGUGUGUUUGUCUAUUUGUUUGAGUUUGCAUAUGGUCUGAGUCUAAAUAUUCUGUAUAGUACGAUUAUAUAAAGCUAGAUGGUAUCUAAAUCUAUGAUUUUCUUACAUGGUCUAUGUUUUGAUAAGGUUUGAAUUUCAAAAAUUAUAUUCGUACCCAUGAAAAACUCUGUGAGACUAUGUUAAUUAGUUAAGAUAAAAUUCGACUUAUUUGCAUUCCCACUCUUAACAUGGAUCAAUUAGCCGCCAUGUUUUAGAAUUGUGCUCUUUUUUUUUUUUUUUUUUGAGGGGGAUGGGGGGUGGCGGAGGUUAAUUUUGAAGUUAAGUCUCCAAUUUAAAUUGGCUUGUGAAAUUCAUCCUUUAAAUGGAAUUAAUUCUUACCUCUCACUGGAGCCAUGGUCACAUUUCCUUCCGAGUGCUAGGAAUCGAACCCGACACAGCACCAGUUUGCCAUUUUUUCCCUGUAGAACACUUUGUAUUGGUUCCAUCUACUUCUUCAAUCUAGCACUUGUUCAGCCUUGUUCACGUAUGGAAGAGCUCAAGUAUUUUCUGUUUUCAAUGGUUCAGCUUAAGCCACCAAAUCUAAAUGUGUAAAAUUGGAAAUCCUGUGAACUCUCGAAUAAAACUCCAAGGAGCAUUAAUGCUACUUUUAAAUAUCAAAGUUUUAUAUGCACUGAUUUCUUUGUGCAUCUCGAACAUUUAUGUCAUAUUGCCACCAAAAGUUCUUUCCCGGAUUUUCUAACGUAUUUCUGGUUUGUUAGGAGAGUGUCAAUUCAAAUAACUUAUUUGGAGGAUUGACUUUUAGGAUCGCCAUUCAAUAUUUCUGCUUAAUUGUUGAGUGAGAUUAUCUCUUCUUGAUGAGUUAUGUUAGGUAGGUAAGUCUUCGUAGGUUUUUGAAAUGAUUGGUAACUCUUUGUUAGGAAACAAUACCGAGUUAACCAGCCUCUAUCCUGUCACAAAUUUUUCGUAUGAUAUCACAUUAUUCUUCUAAAGUUUUAAAAUAUCUAUAUAGCCCCCUAUAAUAUUGUGUAAAGCGGAGAGUGUCAAAAAUCCUCCAAUGACGGAUGCAUUUGGCAAGUUUAAAUAAUUUUUUUUUACUAAUCAAAGACCGAUGUAUUUGGUAAAUGCGUUGGUAUAAUUUGCUGCAUUCCCAACAUGCCUAAUGAAAGGUUGAACCAGAAACUAGUAUUAGUACCAUUGCCCACAACAUCACGUCUAAUGGUUGAACCAGCUCUCUGCUCUUCAUUAUUUUCCUCCAAACCCAAGAAGCAUCAAUUGGGAUCUUAGCUGCCCAUUGGGAUUGACUCCUUAAUGGGAUACUAUGUACCCAUCUUACCCCCAGUGUAUCUUUCUUACGACUGAUAUUCCAUAUCAACUUCAGUAUCAGGCACUUGUUCCACAUUCAAUGUUGUAUAAACCUAAUCCACCAUCUUUUUUUGGAUUACAGAUUUCCUUCCCGCUAACUCGAGCCCCAUAAAAUUGUUUCACCUCACUAGCCCAUAAAAAAGAAGCUAAUAUGCUAUUAAUUUUGCGAGUAACUGAUUUUGGCAAGAUGAAUGUUGUUCACCUGGAACAAAAAAUAAAAACAAAUAUGCAGAAAAAAAAAAGAUUAGACAAUAACAAUAUAUUAGUACUCAAGCGUGGAGGAUUGAGGUACGGAUAUCUCGCUCUCUUUAAGGUGAUUCAAUCCUCUACGGAAGAAUUAACUCCCGUGUAGCAAGUUCUCUAGCUUGUCACCCCCAAGAUACAAUAGCCAAACCACACUUGCUAACACACUCUCUAGACUGCAUAACUAGGAGAGUAUAGCUCUACAAACACCUUUUGUUUCUUGCCUAACUAUGAGAUAAAAAAUAGUAAAUUUAUACUCAAAAGACAUAAGUUGUUGUAGUAGAACUUUUCUAUCUCAACUAUGCAUAUAUAUAGGUGAAUAAAAGUUAGACAAACAUAACUUAUGUUACUAAUAAGACACCAAGUAAAUGUUGAAAUUAUUGGUCAUUCAAAACACAUUCAAAUUUGUAGGUUACAAAAAACUUAUUGUAAUUAAAAAAUCAUAAUAAUUCUUUGGUCAAUACCCAUUCAAAUCCAAAUUUGAAUUGUAAGUUACAAAACUUCAAUGUAAUUGAAAAGCCACAACUUCAUACAAUAAAUCUUUAGUAAAAACCAUUCAAACACCUAUAAUUUCAGAAAAUUUAUUUCCCUUGUAACAUGCACAUGUAAUUGAGAAUUUAAUUAUUUUAUUAAAAUACUACAACAAUGAAUACACUGCACCAAUGCAGAUAAAUUCCAGUCAGAACUGAUUGUAUCAAUUGUAAACGUCCACCAUAACUCAACUUUUUAUUUGCCCAACUCAACUUUAGAUAAAUCCUUUGUAAUGAUAAUCUGGAACUAAUUAAAGGUAGUCCUAGAUAUUUAACAGGCAACAUCCGCCUUGGCAUUUGCAUAAUGUCACGUGAAGAAUCAGCCUCCUGAGCAUCUAAACCAGCUAUAAAGAUCUGACAUUUCUGCAGAUUUGGUGAAAGCCCGAACAUGGAACCAAACUCAAGCAUUGUCUUCUUAAUUACCUCAAAAGAUUUAGUAGUGGCAGCAGAUAUGAGAACAAAUCAUCAGCAAACACAAGAUGUGGUACUUGUAUCUCCUGACAUUUAGGAUGGAAAUCAAAACCCAAGGUUCUGAUAUUCCAUUGAUAAAGUGCAGAAAACAUCUCCAUACUGAUCAGAAACACUAUAUUUUAACUAACCAAUCAAACGUUAUAAUUACACACUCUUUCCUCAACAAGAUUUUAUAGUUUUCACUAUCUUCUAACAAGCUUAUAAAUUAUGUUAAAAAGAGUACAUAAAUCUGAGGAGCUUGACAAAAAGAUAUAAGAUACAGUAGGAAAUUGUUGAAACUUCAUAUUUGUUGGUCAAAUAAAUAACUUUAUAUUUGACAAUAGUUCGUGUUGUUGAAAUGUCACAUUAACAAAAUUACACUUUAUACAGAAUCUAUAGAAAUAUGAAAGCGUGAUAUCAAUUAGGCGGUACUUGGGUUAAUUGUGCCUCCAUCUCAUACUGGGAGUUAGGCCCACAAAAUGAGUGGGACAGAGAACCUAUAUAAUAAUUUCUUUUUUCAAUUAUAGUAUGAAGAUAUGUUAAUAGUACAGAUGUAAUGGAGUGUGAAAAUGGCUUACAUUUAGUCAGGUAAGAAGAAAGAAUAUAAUGGAAUCUAACCGGAGUAGUUCAGCAGCGAAACAAAUUUGAACCCUUUAGUAUGUGGGACAAAUUCUUAUGGCAGACUCUCUAGUGUGUGGGACAUAUUUGGACCAUUUACUUUACAUACCAUUCAGCAAAUCAAUACUUAUGGCAGACACUAUAGUUUGUGGGACAAAUUCUUAUUCUUCAAUUAUUCACCAAAAUCUUCAUGAAUUUCACUCUCAAUUCAAAGAAGGUACAUGUCAACUUUGGCGUACACGUAUGACCAUGACUAUCUAGGUUAAUCUUGCACUCGUGACUUGCAAAUUUUGUUAACUUGUAAAAUUGGUUGAAAAUCUCACUAUCUAGCUCAAUCGUGGGUGCUGUUUAAAUCAAAAGGAAAAGAAAGAAAAAGGAAUUAGAGACACUCAUGAAUGACAAAAAUUAGCAUUCAGAAACAUAUCUUCUCCCAUUUUACAUUUGCCGCUUCCGGAUUGUGGAGAGCUUAGAAAUGUGGUCAAGGGUCACUUACAGAUGUUGUCCGGCCAUGAACAAUACCAUUUCAAUUCUACCUGUUAAGUGGCUAAUUGUGCAUAUAAUUGGUGAAUAUUUUUCCCUUUAUUUUGUUAAAAUAUGGUGUUAAUCGCUAAAUUCCACUCAUAUUUGAAUUUUGGUGUUAUUUGUAGGAAUUGUUGGUAAGAAUGAAGUAAAAGGCGCAUUAAAAGUCGAAUUUUCAGAAGACGUCUUAUUAUAAGACGUGCCCACGCUUUGUCAAAUGCAAAUUGGUGCUUUUAAAGAUUGAUGUCCAGAAGACUCCAUUCUGUUAAGCGUGACCACGUCUUAUUCUACAAGGAAUUCAAGAGUUCGCAGGACAUGAGAUCUAUCUGCCAUUUGAUCAAGAAGUCUGUUACGACUCAUAGUUGUCCACAUUAGUCACGAAAUUGGAGAUCCUAAUUGUUAUGACUUGAUGUACUUUACUUGAAAAACCAAUUAAUAUGUUUUAAUUGGGUAGUUGACUUUCGUAGGAAGUCGGAAGGAUAAGGAAUCUUUCCUUAUUAGAAGAGGAGAAAAACCUUAUAAAAGGGGGGACGGAAGCCUUCAGGGGGGAGCUGGGAUCCUUUUCCUUUUCUUUUCUCUCCAAUAAACCCUAUUUUGUGGCCGCAAAUCCACCAGGAGGAGCGGCUAGUUUCUUUUCUAGUUGAAGGAUAAUCAAAGCUUUGGUUUGACAAUUCUGUGAGAUCUAAUUUCAUUUAUUUGCUUCAUUUAUUUAUGAGAUUAUAUAUAUUCUCUGUUCAUUCAUGAUUAUGAUUAUUUUCUACAGUUAAAUAUUUGAUCAAUAUUAAUUGUCGAAAUAGUCUAUUGCAAUCUAAAAUAUCAAAUCCGUAAUUGUUGAUGGUUUUAGUAUCUGUGGAGCGUAUAUAAUUUGAUUGUAAAAGAGACUUUCGAAUUUAUUCACAGGAGUAUGUAAUCUAACUUAAAUGAACCGAACUUGUGUGUUUGUUGGUUAGAAUUGGCAGCUUCUCUAAUUAUUAAUGCUGUCAAUAGGUUAAUCCUAAGAGCUUGUUUAGGGUUGCCUAAUUGGCAAGAGAAAUAAUCACAGAGCUUGUUGUGGUUAUCGAAACAGUAAGGAGAGGCAGGUUGUCAGAGCGUGUUGACAACUAUAACCAGUUUACUUAUGAAUAAUUGAUUUCACCUUUGCAUCGAUGAUCAGUUAAAUGAACCAAAGUGGAGAUUAGACUUUCGACUAGAGUAUUGCCUUUUAUUGGUUUAGUUUUAUUUAAUUUUGUGCUAUUGUCUUUAUUUUAUUCAAGUGAAUUAUUUAGUUAAUUUCUCAUAAUCCCCUUUUUAUUUAUUAUCUUCAAAAGAAAUAAAUCACCCAGUCCCUAUGGAUACGACCUUACUCACCUCUAUGAUCGAAUUCAUAUUUUUAGAUAGGAACUUUAUUUUUGCUGGUUUGACAAGCCAACAAAUUUUGGCGCCGUUGUCGGGGACUGGUGCCUUGUUGAUUUAUUUUCUUUAAAUUUUUUUUAUUUUUCCUUAUUCUGGUGCUAGUUUAUGGCUGACUAUACUCAACAAUUUGGUGAUAGACAGGAUUUCAUUCAACGGAGGUUAAAAUGUGGGUAUUUCUUCUAUUGAUCAACGUUUACAUUUACUAAUAUUUCUUGUAAAAAAGUUGUUGAAGGGCAAGUACAACAAAAAAAAAAACUUGUGGAAUAUGUUAUACCUUGAAUCAUCCAAGUAACAUGUGUCCCACAUUACAAGAUGGUUUGAAUGCCCAAGUUUAUGCUAUUGGAGGAUUUCCAAAUCCGCCUCAAAUGAGGUAUGAUUCGUAUUCCAACAUGUACACUCAAGGAUAGAGGGAUAACCUUAGCUUCAGUUAUGCAGCGAGGCCACCAAAUUUUCAAUAGUAAUAACCACCUUUUACGUCAGGUAUAUCUCUUGAAGAAAUUGUUAAAUCACUAGCUACUAAUAUACAACAAUUGCAACAGGAGACAAGAAUGAUUAUUCAAAACUUGGAGAAUCAAUUGAGUCAACUAGCAUCUACCAUGAGCCGAUUGGAUUCUCAAAUUUUAGAAGCAUCGCACUCGCAGACCAUUGUCAACUCCAAACAAAAUAUGAGUAAUUACCCUGAGAAGUGAUGAAGGACUGCAAGAGUUUCAAAAAGUAGGAUUCAAGCAUGCAGUCGAAGAGGAAGUUGAGAAAGAAGGAAUGAGAUCCCAAUCUCAAACUUCUUCAACGAAAGAUUCUAGUGAACAACCCCCAACUGUGGUGAUACAUCUUUCAUUCCCUAAUCAAUUUACAAGAUCCAAUGAAGAGGAGGAGCCGAGAAAUUCUGAAAAUGGUUGACAAGGUUGAGAAGCUGAAUUGCACUAAAAAAAUUUGUAUGAAGGAAAAUGCUUCAGCUGUACUGCAACAGAAAUUACCUCCUAAGUGUGAGGAUUUAAAAGUUUUUGAGGUGGAUGGCUUGGAUAAGAUAGGAGUUGCAAUGAUCAAAAUCUUGAACUGAGAAACAAAGUAGCUUGUUUGCUUAAGAAUUACUGGCACGAGAAAGAAAUAAUGAAAUGAGUUAAAAGAUUUUAUCCCCCUUAAUCGAACAUGAUAUCGUCUAGCCAAAGACGUUAAAGCGAGGCGCUACUUGGGAGGCAACCCAAGAGUUUUAAUUUUUAGUCAUUUUGUGUUUUUUAUAUGAUAUUUUUGUGUUAAAGUUAAGUUUAUUUCGUUUCUUUUUGACAAAGGGCUUUUUGUUGCAGGUGUGGACGUGCUCAUGAAGUUUUCGCUUUGAUUGGAUGCAAAUUUCUGGACAGAAGACUUCCUGUUAUAAGACGUGCCCACGCUCUAUGUCCAGAAGGCAUUGUUUGUUUUACGAAUAGAUGGACAGAAGACUAUUUCUUAUACAGCUUGCCCACGCCUUACAACAAAACCUCCAAUAUUGUGAUCCCAAAUUGAACCUCACUACGUGCUUCGUCUCAUUGAUUUUUAAGCAACUUAUUCCCUCCCGAAUGUUCAGUUCAAUAAUCAGGGAAGUCCUCUUUUCUUCUUUUUGCACUUAAGUUCAUCCAUUGAGGACAAUGUUUGAUUUAGGUGUGGGGGAAGGAAUAUUUUAAGUGAAAAAUUAGUCAUAAAAAUUUUUUCAAAAAGUUUUGGAGCUUCUAUUGUUUUUUUAUGAAAGGCACUCAAGAUACAAAUAUGAAUAGUGUAAUGCUACUAGCAUGAGUAUGUUAUUUUCUUGCAAUUGAUUUGAAUAAUGGAUGUGCUAGAUUUGACAUAAUUUUAACCACUUUGAGCUUUUGAGCCUAAUGAGCAAUUCAUUAUAGUGUGCUCUAUUUUCUUUUGUUGAGUGAUAUCACACAUGAUUUGAUAUUCUAGAACUUGCUUCGUUAUGCAUGUUGAGACCACGCUUGAAUUUGAUACAUUAAAAUGAUAAGGGCAAUUAGGCUUAACCUUUUUUACUUUCUAAAUGCCUUUCCUAAUUAUGUUUAUCCAUAGUUAACCCUGUUUGAGCCUCAAUCCUUUUCUUUGUUUAAUAGCCUAAUUUGUUACCUUAAACCUUUUUUGUUUGAACCAUCUCAUUUGAACCUUGUGUCGAAGGAAUACAUUAAUAUUCUCCAUGAAAAUUUUAAGUGUGUUCCAAAAGUACGUUUAUGGUUGCAAGUGUGGUAUUUAUGUUGUGCAUUUAAAAAAAAGAGAGAGAAAUGAAAAAAUACAAAAAAAAGAGAAAAAAAUGAAAAAAAAUGAAAAAAAAUGAAAAAAUCAAAAGAAAAAAAAAAAAAAAUUGUGAAGUGCACUUGUGUUGUUUUGUGGUAGUUGGGAUAAUGCCUAAAUUGCGUUUGCACUUGCCAAGUUGAGUGAAGUUAUUGACACUCCUGGAAGCCAGCUAUACAUGUGAAUAACAAAGGAGUUUGAUUUCAUGCAGAGUAUUAUUGAUAUUUCCUUUGAUAUAUGUACACCUAAAUUAUUCCCUUUUAUCCAACCCUUAACCCAAGCCCUAUUACAAUCCUUAUAAAGAUCAUUUGAUUUUUGCAUUGAAUUCAUUUUAAGUGGUGGAAAUAUGAUAUAUUAGCAAGCUUAUGGUAAUGUCAUUUUAUGGUGUUGAUUUGAAUGUUAAAUAUCCCCUUGAACACUUGAGUGUAGAGUGUAUACACUAGUAUCCAUGUGAGAACUGUUGAAUCUUGUACAUCCUGAUUUUGAUAAAAUUGUUGAGAAGACAUGAUACUUGUUUUAUUAUGCACUGUGCUAUGAAAUAUUUGUCAUCUUGACUGUGAUUCUUGAGUAGUGAAUGCUUGAGGGCAAACAUUGUUUAGGUAUGGGGGAAUUUGUUAAGUGGCUAAUUGUGCAUAUAAUUGGUGAAUAUUUUCCCCUUUAUUUUGCUAAAAUAUGGUGUUAAUCGAUAAAUUUCACUCAUAUUUAAAUUUUGGUGUUGUUUGUAGGAAUUGUUGGUGAGAAUGAAGUAAAAGGCGCAUUAAAAGUCGAAUUUUCAGAAGACGUCUUAUUAUAAGACGUGCCCACGCUUUGUCAAAUGCAAAUUGGUGCUUUUAAAGAUUGAUGUCCAGAAGACUCCAUUCUGUUAAGCGUGACCACGUCUUAUUCUACAAGGAAGUCAAGAGUUCGCAGGACAUGAGAUCUAUCUGCCAUUUGAUCAAGAAGUCCGUUACGACUUAUAGUUGUCCACAUUAGUCACGAAAUUGGAGAGCCUAAUUGGUAUGACUUGAUGUACUUUACUUGAAAAACCAAUUAAUAUGUUUUAAUUGGGUAGUUGACUUUCGGUAGGAAGUUGGGAAGGAUAAGGAAUCCUUUCCUUAUAGAAGAGGAGAAAAACCUUAUAAAAGGGGGACGGAAGCCUUCAGGGGGGAGCUGGGAUUCCUUUUCCUUUUCUUUUCUCUCCAAUAAACCCUAGUAUUUUGUGGCCGCAAAUCCAUCAGGAGGAGCAGCUAGUUUCUUUUCUAGUUGAAGGAUAAUCGAAGCUUUGGUUUGACAAUUCUGUGAGAUCUAAUUUCAUUUGUUUGCUUCAUUUAUUUAUGAGUAUUUAUAUAUUCUCUGUUCAUUCAUGAUUAUGAUUAUUUUCUACAGUUAAAUACUUGAUCAAUAUUUAAUUGUCGAAAUAGUCUAUUGCAAUCUAAAAUAUCAAAUCCGUAAUUGUUUGAUGGUUUUAGUAUCUGUGGAGCGUGAUAUAAUUUGAUUGUAAAAGAGACUUUCGAAUUUUGUCACAGGAGUAUGUAAUCUAACUUAAAUGAACCGAACUUGUGUGUUUGUUGGUUAGAAUUGGUAGCUUCUCUAAUUAUUAAUGCUGUCAAUAGGUUAAAUCCUAAGAGCUUGUUUAGGGUUGCUUAAUUGGCAAGAGAAAUAACCACAGAGCUUGUUGUGGUUAUCGAAACAGUAAGGAGAGGCAGGUUGUCAGAGCGUGUUGAUAACCAUAACCAGUUUACUUAAAUGAACCAAAGUGGAGAUUAGACCUUCGACUAGAGUAUUGCCUUUUAUUGGUUUAGUUUUAUUUAAUUUUGUGCUAUUGUCUUUAUUUUUAUUCAAGUGAGUUAUUUAGUUAAUUUCUCUAAUCCCCCUUUUUAUUUAUUAUCUUCACAAAGAAAUAAAUCACCCAAUCCCUGUGGAUACGACCCUACUCACUGCUAUUCUCGAAUUCAUAUUUUUAUAGUAGGAACUUUUAUUUUUGCUGGUUUGACAAGCCAACACUACCUUCAAACAUCUUUGGCUGGAAAAGAUUAAGGAGCCAAAAAAGGGAAUUUGUUGUGAUGAGAUUAACUGUUGUUAACUUUAAUUAUCUGGCCUUUAAAUUUUUCAUACAUGAUCAAUCAACAUAAAAUAAACACCUCCACUGCAGAAUCUCUUCUUGCUUUCAUAGUGCAGAACUAAGAAAUCUCUGGAGCUCAAAAGAAGAAAGCAUUUAGCCAAUGGGAAUAUAUGAAUGUUUAGUGUAAUGAAUAUGAAAUCCUUGAAGCAUAUCUCACAACAGAAGGAGCCAAAAAAAAAUUGACAAUAACCAACUUCUAGAUGUAUUAUGGCAAAGAAUUCUUAUAAUUACAUCUUAUCCCAUGUGAUUCCCUAUGCCCCAAAACAAUUAACCAGAUAUGCUUAAGUUUAUUAAAGUAUAAGCGACGUCACCAUUCCCGUCCCAGGUUCUUUGUAUUAACAUGUUUCGUGCUUACAUAUAUAUAUGCUAGUGCUUGGGGCCUUGCCCAGAUAUAGUAAAAUUUUGGUUUUGUUGUCUUAGCCGGAAGAAUUUGUGGAUUUUUGGGGGGCCAUGUCUAGUGUAUGUGAGAAUUGUGAUCAGACCUUGUAUUUGCUAGUUUGAGUGAAUAUGGUAUUGCAUGGAAAGCGUGUGAUUGCUGUUUCAAAAAUUUACAUUAGCAGAAAUGUCUUCUUGCAAACUAACAAACAGAUGGCAACCUUCUUUACUUCGAACAAAAGCAUAAGUAAACUAAUUAUCUCCAUCAAUAACAGACUGAGAAGUGAAGACAUUGUUAAUUGUCUUAUUGGUGCUUAGAUUGGUGCUUAUAUUGUUGUUAUAAGAGCUCCUGUUACCAUCAUCGCCAUCAACAUGUUUUGUCUGAUCACAUUGACUAUGGACUAAAGGAUUAACCGUUUCAAGUGUUAUAAAAGGAACAGCAGAAAUCUUACCAAUCGGGCACUUCUGCUUUGCUUUCUUUGCUAUAGCAUAACUUUCACGACGACAAUGAUUUCGUUCCCUUUAAGCUUCCUCAGCCAUGGCAUACUUUCUUCGUUGCUGGAUCUCGAAUGAGCCCUUCACAUCAUUAUCCUUGUCUGAAGAGAUAUUGAUAGAACUAGAAGUCCCAAGCCAUGGAGUAGCCUUCUCAAUCGAUAAUGAUUACAAUCACUUGCAGUUUGACAGUGUACAUAAUUUUACAUUAGUAAUUAUGUAAGUAUAUAUUAUAUAACCAAAAGAAUAAUUUUACAACUACAAAGCAAAGCUAAGUUUUGAACAGAAAAAGAGGAUUACCUAUUGGAACACUCUUAACAUUAGCAAUACUUUCUCCAUCGAUACUAAAAGGAAUCAAAGCUUCAUUGCUUUCAGCAACAGAAAAACCAAGGGAAUCAUGUUUAUUCAUAAGAGAUGAAGGGGGCAACAGAUUCUUGAUUGUAUCAUCUAUGCUCAUAUUCGCAAAAUAGGUGCUGUCAUUAUCCUCAUUGAUAUGGAUAUGUUUCACAGAAGGAGGACUCCUCUCAGCUAAACUAUGCACCAUUCGCAAUGCUUUGACAGCAAUAGUGCAAACUGUAUUAAAUGGACCAUUCUCUUUUUUUCUUAGCUGCAGUACAUCGCUCAAGGCGACAACGAUUUUUUUCACUGUAAACUUCCUCAAGUGUAGCAUAUUUUCUCUUUCGACCCAUUAUGACUGAUGCUUAUAUACUAUAGUUUAACUUAUAUACUAUAUUUUAACUAAUAAGGACCAAACAUGAAUAACUCUUAUGCCAAAAAAAAUUAGUGAAAAAAUCAACAGAUUUCAUGAAAGCCAAAAAAGCACACUGUACUUUAACGAAUAACAAGCAAACAAGAAUAACUUUCAUGCAAAACAAAAUAGCAAAGGACUGCAUACAAGUGAAGAGAAUGCAAAUAAAUGGAAACAAAAAUACAUAAUAUUAGAAGCUGUAGAACCAGCAAAAAAUGUUCACGGGUCUCCAAACAAAUACCUACAAUUAGACGCUCACUAAUUUAAGUUAUGCAUAGUAUAUGAUCUCACUUAUUUUAGUAAAAUAUAUCAAACAUGAAUUAACAAUUGUGAAUAAACCAAACAUGUGAUAUGCAUGAAAAGUCAACAACGAACUACAAAGCAUGAGGAUAAAUACACUACCAAACCAACAGAAAGACAAUCAUACUGAGUCUCAUAUGAAGCAACUACUUUGCUGCCUCCAAAACACAGGACCUUUGGAACAACUAAAUCACAAAAAUGGAGCUAGUAAAGCACCAAUAUAUACACAUAGAGACCAGCUUCGUAACAAGAGGCACCCAAAAUGUAGUGAAAAUAACAAUGGACAGUGCUCAGGUGAUAUCAGGUGUAGCAAAAAUAUUUUCCAGCCAAAGGAAGCUACAAUGGUUGCCCAAAAAAGUUGGGUUCGUACUCGCUGGAAAAAAGAACAACUAACAAACUCCAAUUCCUAACAUGAAAAUAAAAAUUAGUGAAUUACAUGUAAGAAAGGAACAAAAGAAUGACACUGAUAGCAUAGAAGAACAUGGCAAUCAUAGUAUGAUUACCUCCAAUCGUGACUAACCAAAGGAUCUGUGUCUCUUUAAAAGAAGCCAGAAUCACAGAAGCGUCAAAUUCUUGUUUGGAACAAAAAACCAGAGCAACCUGCAAUUACUCAUUUGAACAAAGGGAAAAGCAGCCCACUAUUUUUUACAAUGCAAAACAGCUAGAGGACACCUGGCCAAAUGUUUUCCCGGGAAUAGAUUCACACUUUGAUAAAUUCGAUUUUCAAAGAUCUAAUGAUCCAAAUUGUGUCACACCACUUGAUGAGAUGGUGUGGCACAAUCUAGGCCAUUAGGUAUUUGAAUACUAUGUCUACCUAAAUUUUAGCCUAUAUAAAAAACGUUGUUGCCUAUUGUGAACAGUACUCUUUGGGCAGGUUUAAUUAUAAAUAUGGGCUUUGUGAACAACAAGUAUUUCGUCCGAUUUCUUUGUUAAUCUUGCUUGUCAGAGGGAUGAUUUGGGAAUUUUGCUUCUUUUGAAUUGGCUGAUUAGGGUUGUAAUCGAGUCGAGUCGAGCCCGAGUAUCGCCAUACUCGAGCUCGACUCGACAUGCAAAAGGGUGCUCGAGCUUGAGCGAGUACUAUUAUUGGAGCUCGAGCUCGAGAUUGAUGCUUGCUCACAGAACUCGAGCUCGACUCGCAUGAGCUCGAGUCAAUACGAGCCUUAUCGAGCUCGAGAGAUAGAAAUUUUUAUUUUCUUGACAAUUUUUGAACGAAAAGACAUUAUUACCCUUUAAAAAUUUUUAUAUGAUUUGAAACAUUUCAUAAAUUCAACAACUCUUUUGGGUAUAAGGGUGAUUUUAUAAUAAUAAUAUAUUAAAUAAUUAAAAUUAAAAACUCGAUAAGGCUCGACGAGCCUUCGAGCAAUGCUUCUGGAUGCUCGAACUCGACUCGUUUAUCUUAUCGAGGCGCUCGAGCUCGACUCGAACUCUGUCAACCCGAGUUCGAGUCAAGCUUUUGACCGAGUUUGGUUCGAUUACAUCCCUAUGGCUGAGAUAAAAGUUGGUUUGCUUUGAAGCGGUUAGCGGAGAUUAGUUGAAUCUGUUGUGGCCGUCAGAUGAGGUUUACAAAAGCUUGGACCAUCAGUUGUGCCUUGCAUUUUUUCCAUUGGCCAAAACUUAGGUAGACUUGGUCUUUAAAAACCUAAUGACCUAUAUUAUGUCAUACCAUCUCACCAAGUAUGAUAUAAUACAGGCCUUACCAUCAUAUUAGUGCAACUACAAAAAUUAAAUAAAAAUUACAAAAAUGGGAGAGUGAUGGGAAGUGGUGUCAAACCCCACAAUUAGACCACAUAGCUUUCCUAAUCCAAGAAAGAUUCUUGACAUGAUAAAAUGCUCAACAAAUAUGAUUGAUACCAUUAAGAUAUUCUAGUUACCCGAUGAAUAAUAAUAUAUAAUAUUAGUAGAUAAAAUUAGGGUUUGGGAUCCAAUGUAUCUAAGUUUUACUGGUCUAUGGAGACUAAAUGCCACUAAAAGUUGGGCAUUUAAAAUAUUAAAAAAGGAAUAAAAAAUUCUGAUAAUUAUUUCUUAUAAUUAAAUUAGACUAAAACUUAAAUUUUUUAGAAUUUUUUCAUAAAUAUAGCCCUUAUAAACUAAAGAUUUCAAAAUAAGCCCUGCUUGGAAGCUUGAAAUUUGUUCUUUGAAGGAAAAUUUAACUUUUUAUUCAUUAAGAAUUUGGCAUUGAAACUAUUUUUAUUGAAUUCGAAUGAAAGGUACUUCUUUAUUUAUGUGUAAUAUCUUAAGUAAAUAACUUCUGAAUAUUAACAACCUGAAUCACCUAUUGGUUGAAUAUAGUUUAUUCAAACCUAAAGGACCUAUUUGUAAUUUAAUCAAAAUAUUGCCACCCUCUUCCUUGCGAUGACACAUGUCUAGACAAUGUUAGGACAAGAAUUAGCUGUAAUAAAUGCUCUAAUUGGGAUUAAUCCAGUAGAGGCCUAAACGAUGUCGUUUUGGGUUAUUGAAUUAGUAGUUAGUUAAGUCGGUUAAAUAACAAUUGCUGAUUGUGUGGAUUGGUUAUAAAAGUGGGUCCUACCCAUGUGUAAAAACAGAAUUCCGGUAAUAACAUUUCAACUUCAUUUCCCCUCCUCAAUUCUCUCUCUACUCUCUCUUCUCUGACUCCUUAAUUCUUCUCUCUCAUCCUAUCAAUUCCCAAUUUUCUCUCAUUCAUCAAUUUGAGCUCAGCAAUUGAACCUGAGUUCCUGACAAAUUGGUACUAGAGCUAGAAGAUCCUUGGAAUGUUUACCAGUAGCAAUGGCAGAAAGCACUAGAUUCAGGACAUUAGAGGAGCAAGUAAGGAAACAAGAAAUCAAACUGCAGGAAUUGGUAGAAUCUCUCCAUGCAUCACAGUCUGAGCAGCAAUAGAUCAAGGAUGACCUGAAACUGGAACUAGAAGAAAAUAGCAAACUGAUGGAAGGCUUGCUAACAGGAAUGGAGCAAAACCUCCAUAGGAUCCUGGAGCAGAAGUUGAGCAAUUUGCUGCUGAGAAUGCCUCCUAUGAAAGAGAGGCAACCGAAGGGGAUGGCAGGACAUUGAUGGAUCAACACACACUUCUGCCAACUCCACCAGCUCACCACAGAUUACCAGUGGAAGGAGAAGCUUAAAAGCUCCUUAAGAAGGAUUGGAGUAAGUUUCAGAUUCCAAAUCCUCCUAAAAUUGAUUUACAAUUAUUUUCUGGAGAAAAUCCUAGAGAUUGGUUGCGGAAUAUAAUAAAUAUUUCUUGAACUAUCAAGUUCCAGACGAACAUAAAAUUGAAAUAAUUGAAAUGUAUCUAGAAGGCAAAGCUGACAAAUGGCUUCAAGGUGUAAAAAUUGAGAGACCUAGAUUGAAUUGGGAAGUUUGGGGAAUUGUUAUGUAGGAGGUUUAAUGAUAGAACUUGCAAGGAUAUAGUGGAGAAAUUCAACAAACUACAGCAAGUAGGCAGUAUUGAUGAUUACCAAGAGAGAUUUGAAGAAUUGAAACCUUUGAUGAUGAUCAAAAAUCGAAAUCUGCAUGAGAACUAUUCAUUUCUAGUUUCAUAAGUGGACUUAAGGAAGAAAUUAAGCAUGUGGUCAGGAUGCUGAAGCCUACUACAUUAUCUGAAGCCUUUGAGUUGUCUCAAUGGCAAGCAGUCCAUAAAAAUCCAGAACAAGAGCUCCAAGGAACACUCCAGGUUAUUGGGAGAAAACAGAUUUGGUAUCACAAGGAGUACUACCACCUCUGUUGGAACCAAUUCAUAUAAGGUCCUUACAAAUAACAAUUUUAAGCAUCCUAAGUUCAGGAACUCACUAGGGGACACAAAAGAGCCUAAAAAGCUUUCUGCUCAAGAGAUGCAGUAUAGGAGGAGUAAUGGCUUGUGUUUCAGAUGCGGGGAGAAGUAUGGAGUAGGACACCAGUGCAAAGUAGGGUACUCAAAUUGCAUGACACUGGAUGAGGAAGAGGAUGCUACAUUUGAGGAUGCACUUGGAGAACAAGAUUAACAGACUAGAAAUCCUGGACAACCAUGGAAAUGUCAUUGCAUGCCUUAUCUGAGGCUUUAAAGAGGAAAACUAUUACACUCACAGGUAUUCUAGAUGGAGAAGAAGUGCUGAUAUUGGUAGACACUGGGAGCUCAGAUAGCUACAUCAGCAGUGAGCUAGUAAUUGGGAUGGACAUAAGCUACCAGUGGGUGGAUCUGUGAGAACUCAUGUUUUUAUCCUUAAAAUAGUCAAUUUUAUAAUUAUUUGCCCUAGAUAUAUUUAAUUACCCUAGUAGUGCAUGAAUUUUUCUUAAGUUUCGAUUUUUCGCGCGCGCGUCGUAAGACGCGUAUUUUGCGUCGGAACGAAUAAGUGAAAAUUUAAAAAAUUUAUAUUAGACUAGUAAGAGUGAAUAAUUACCAUAUUAAAGGAAGUACCUUGGAGGAUUAGUGCAUGAGUGUAACAAAACCAAGAGAAAGUGGUAGUACAAAACCCCAUUUGGGCACUAUUAAGAAUUGACUUUUUGCCCAACACUUAUGGCUACUAUUUCAUUCUUUCUCUCCAAGUUUCAUCACACAAACAAACCUCAUCUCUCUCUCCUCACUCCCUCAUUUUUGGCCAGACCAAGGAGAAAGAAAAGGAACAAGAGAAAACUUCAACUUUUGCUCUUCAAUCUUGUUUGAAAUUCAUCAUCCAACCAUCAAACUCCUUGGGUUCUUGCUCUAGCUUGAAAGGAAGAGAGGGGCAGCUGGUUGGGGCCUAUUUUAAGGAGUUUCUUACACCAAAAUAUAGGAUUUCUUCUUGAGUUUUGAAGGUAUAAACAUCUCCCACUAAAACUCUUGCUUUCUUGUUUUAUUUCUUGGUUUUGAAGCUUGUAGCUUCCUUAUUGUUGUUGUUGCUUGGAUUUGGUUGGUUGAAGUGGGCUCUAUGAACUCCCACCUUAGUUAUAUAAGGGUUCCAUGAUGUUUAUGUGUGUGUUUGUGUGUUUGUGAUGAGUUUUACUAGAAGAAACUAGAAGAGGAAAAAGAAAGAGAGAAAACGUGAGAAGAAGUAAGUUGGCCGAAUUGUCCUGUUGUUAUCUUGAUUGUAUUUCGAAAUUUUGUUGGUUGUUUUACUUGAAACUGAUAUAAAUAUGUGGUACAUUAUAUGUGCAAAAUGCCUUCCGAAAAUCAUGUUAUUUGGUUGAUCAAAACUAGAAUUUUCGAAACUGCAAGAAAUCUGGAAAUGGUCAUCCGAAGGCCUGAACAGUGUAUCCUUGAUUGAACAUAACUCUUUGUACAAAAGUCAAAAUUGAGUGCCAUUUCUGCAUUUGAAACUAGACAUUCUUAGCUUUAAAAUGGUAUAAAAAUCACAAUCUAGUUUGUUUGUGUGAACUGCAGUAAACUGAUAAAUCGGCUGUUCUGUUCAGCCUAUAACUUGUGGCUUGAAUUUGAACUAUUGUUAACUGAUUUUGGAAAUGAUUUCUUCUACUGAAAUGUAGCUUUCAGAACCUAGUUUCCAAUGCCACCAACCAUUCUUUAUUUGAGUUUGUAUAGAGUGAGAUAUGGCCUGAUUUAAAUUGCAGCAAAACUGGAAACUGGAAAGUUUCUUCCCUCUUGCUGGUCGAAUGGUCAAAAUUGUUUUGGAAUUCGAAACUUGAUGUCAAUUAUCUCUAAAUUGCUCAUUGGAUGUUUAUGGAACCUUAGAUUCAAUAUUUGAGCUAAUUGAGGUUGAUUGUGUGGGACAAAACAUUUGAAAAGGAAGAGAACCACGGACGGCAGAUUUGCUUUGAAAUUUUCCCGAACUUUGACUAUUUUGUUAACUGUCUUCUCACAUGAGUUUUUGCAUGAAAUUUGGUAGAGAUAUAGUUCACAUAUGGAAGAUUUAGCAUACCAAAUUUGGUGUAUUUUCAAUUCCAUUUCAAUGGCUAAAUGAUACUUCAAAAUAGCUUUUCAAAUCUAGAAAAUGACUAACAGUUUGCAAAACGCGACCAACUUUGAACUGAUGUAUCUCGAUACUCAAAAUUCCAAUUUAGUUCAGUUUGUUGUGUUUGAAACCUUGUUUAGAACUCUUGUGGUAUUAUGAAUUUCAAAGGCUGAUUCACUUUCUGUGAAUUAUGCCGAAUUUCCAAUGUUUGCUGAAAAACCAAGACUGUUCAAACCUGUCUUCUUGGAACUGAAAUUUUGAGCUGAAUUAUGAAUGCUUUCUAUUUGGAAUCGUGGAAAAGUCUUCUGAGAACUUUUAGUACACUGAAUUUAGUUUCCAAAGGUAUAAAGUUUUCCAUUUUUGGACUUACGAAACUCAAGAUACGAUUUUUCAAAGUAAUGUCACUCUAAACUGAAAAAUUUCUGUUUCAACCAAAUUAUUCGUUUAAGAACUUUCUACCUUCCUUCGUGAUUGUUGGACUGUUUUAAAUUUGAUUUCAUGAUUUAAUACAAGGUAUCUUUGGAAUUUUUAACUUUUAUUUCAAAUCUUGGUCUCCGAGGGUUAAAUCUCUCUUGAUGCAAUUACUUGGUCAUAUAACUCUCUUGAUUAAUGGUACUUCUCUUCGUACUUAAAUUAGGAACUUCAACCCCUAUUCUUAUGGCCUUGAUAAUUGUACUAGAGUUCACAAUUAUACAAGUAUUUUAAAAGAAUGAUUUGAAAGGUUUCUUGUGAACUUAAUUAGUAAUGCCCGGAAUACUUUGGCCAAGCUUUCAAGUAAAUAUAUCCAUCUUUCUCGAUUUUCGUGCAAAACUUAGAGAUCUGUUUAAUCUUCAACUUGGAGAAUCCUGGACAUGACUUGAUUUGGAUUAAUAUAUUAUUGGCUAUUUUCAAAUGCUACCCUCGUGGAUUAAGUUAUUAAGUGAUAUUUGCAUUCGAUUUGAACGCGUUAUCUCUUAAGUGAGAGUAGUGGGAAUACUACUCGACCUUGGUUGAAUACCUAGGUGAAUUGUAAUUGUACAUGUCAGGUGAUCAAGAGAAUCCCGAGAAACUCGUUUGAUCUUGCCUCACUUUUGUUUUACACUCUUGAUUUCGGUGAGUGUUCCUUAUGUAUUUAAAUGUUAAGUGGUACCUAUAAUUGCUACUAUGAAAUUGUCCGCCGUUUUAAGGUGAGUGUGUACUUUAUCUCACUCGACCUACUAAAAUGAUAAAUUUUUACCGUUUAACCGUAAAUUUCUACCGUUAACUGUGAACUACUACCGUUUACCGAUUUACUUGAUUACUUGCGCAUGUUAUAAGUACUAAGUUGAACUGGAUCCUACUCUUGGUUACUAACUUGCUCGAGCCAGGACUGGACUCGGUCGAGUAGGUUGGAACCCUGAGCAACCAUUUCGGUAUACUCCAGUGUUACCACUGGAGGGACAAGGUGAUAGCCAAACAACCGCAGAAAUUAUUGGAGUUAUAAUGUGCAACUGACUAAAACAGUUCCACGUGAACACCGAAUCCUUUUACUGUGUUUGUUUCUGUAAAAUGAUAAAUGUCUCAUUUUAAUGUGCCAAUGUGAAAUCUUGAACCGUACAUGUGUUAUGCUCGAUUUACUUGAUUUAUUAGAAUUGCUUAGGUUUUGGAACCUUACUGGGCUGUUUAACUCAUUCCACGCUUUUGUUUUCCUUAACAGUGUUCAAGACCGAGAGUACUCGCGAAUAGUACUAAAUUGUUUUCCUUUGGAGACUCUAAGUUGUAUUAUAGCAGACGACUGUAGUACAUAUUCUUUUGAGUUGUAUUAAGUUUGAAGGUUAACUAAUUCUAUUUUGGAGUUCUUUCAAUGUAUAUUGAAAAUAUUUGAAAUAUUUCUAGUUUUGAAUUAUGGAUUGCAGUGAGCCCCGGCGAGAGUUAGGCAGGCGUUCGCGGAUACCCUUGGGUUCGCCUUGGAGAAGUGGGGGCGUCACAGGUGGUAUCAGAACCACUUCGCGUGGUCUCUGCACGGGGUGAGUGUGGGCCAAGUGGUGUUAUGGUCCUUAUUAUGUGAAUGAGUAAAGACUUAAGUACUCUUCUAGAACUUAAACUGUGAAUCAUGAAUGUGAUAGGUAUAAACCCUUUAUUUUGAUCCUUGGAGAAAAUUAGAUAUGUAUGUUGGGUAGGAAUCUCAAAUGUGGUGAUUUACUCUUGGAACCGGCUGGCUCGAGUUGAAUUAUCUUAUUUCGAAUUCUUGUAUCCGAGUACUUAAGAAUUGAGGGCAAUACUAAGAACUUGAGAUCUCCAUUUGCGGGAAAUAAGAACGAAUCGAUAUUUCACGUGAAUAGUUACAGGAAACCAAUAAUCGUUUGGUUAGGAUGACACAAUAAUUAAGAGAGAGAGGUGGAGAAGAUUGUGGCCCAGAGAAUCCUAGUGUGGGAAUGAAGUUGACUAUGUUAGGGAACGGGAAUCAUCUAGUUCUAAUUAAUCUAGUGAAGCACUAUUUUUUUGAUCUUUUGUAAUGGAACGAUGGGAAUAGCACUUACGAACUUGCGUCUUGGAGAUGUAUGUACUUUUGUUAGUCACCUGUUUACUUUUGUUUACUGACCUUGACUUGAUAUAUACUUUACUUGACUGUAACUUGUGUUAUGAUCUGAUGAACUUUAGUUUGUGUUUGACUUGUACGGUGAUAAUAUUAUUUGUGCAAGUGAUUUCAUUUUCUUUAGAAUUGUUGCCGGUAUGUGUGUGCAGUCUAGUUAUGGUUUAUUGUGAGAUUUAUGUAUGUGCAUCUAUAUUAGCUGUGAACAUGGAAACUAGAGGACAGCGACAGGGACGUCCCAAAAAAACUUGACGGGUAUUUUACAUACGUGCAAGCUAAAAAAUACCGAAUUACACCCGUUCACUGCAAGUAUACAGAUCAACUAGUAGUUUAGGGUAUAUAUCGGGUCGAUCCCACAAGGAAGAGUGAACAAUUACCGGUAUUACUAAAGCUUCUCUAUUAUUUAGACUAUCAAUGAAUGAUAAGAAAUUUAACCUACUGCACUUAUACAAGAAAUUAACAAAUAAAAGCUCCUUAGGUUGUGGUAUCCCUAACUACUCAUGCAAGUGUUAUAUUUGGAUCAUUGAAUACUACAUCUAGGCUAAUUAUGGUGUAAUUUCCUUAUGCAUUUGAAUCCUACUUUCGUAGUGAAUCAAUUAUACUUAUAACUAAUCCAUACCUAUUCUCAUGGUUAUGAAAUUAGCUACAAGUUCAUUUCUUCAGUGAAAUUACAUGAAAUGAAUCACUAAAAACCACAUAGGUGCACCUCUACUUUCGUGAGUGUACUCCCUAUGUUUAGCACUUCUUGAACUAAUGUUAAAUCUCAAUUUUCAUUGCAGAAAUAACACCUUAGAUAAUCAAUUAAUGGUACCAGAUUAAUCAUGAUUUAAGAGCCAAAGUGCUAAAUAACUUGCUCAAAUACAGCAAUCAAAUAGCCAAAUAAUAAACACUAACAAUCAUAGAAGUUCAACCAAACCCAAGGUAUAAACUUUAAAACACAUAUUAAAUAUAAAAUCCAGAACUUGUAUAUUAGCUAAACUUGGAAUCAAAUACAAAAGAUAAAGAGUUGGAAAGGAAAAUAACCCUUGUCACAUGAGCUCUUCCUUGCCUUCUUCAUCUCCAUUCUUCAUCUUCUAGCUAAUAACAAGAAGGAUGAACUAACUACUCUAUACUAAACUAAUCUAACAAUAAGAGAAUGGAAAAACUACAUUUUUGCACUCCAAGCUUCUCCCGUAUGCUCUGCAUGUCCUGGUUGCUCCCUAUAUAAACUGCUCCAAAAGCUCCUUUUCCAUUGGUCCAAACUUGCUGCAUUUGAUUUCCAAAUCUGAAAUUGUUAAGAUAGUCAAUAGCCAUUGUUUUUGACUUGAAAAUAUGCCAACUUUCUUGCCCUUUUGUCUUCUAAAGCAUGUGCACCGAAUUCUCUUGCAGAUUGUAGCUGGAAAGUAGUCAGAACACAAGAGAAUUGACUGAGCAAAAUUGCAGAAUUGCGGCCGGAAAACGCGCCUACACAAAACGCGGUUACAAGUCACGUUUUGUGUACUCGCGUAUUCACUUUGUCCUUACUUCAGCUGCGAUUUUCUCUAUCAUAAAGGCUGAACUGGAUUUUUUGUAAAACACCAAAGUUGUAGCCCUUUGAGUUAGCUUUCCAAUGCUUCAAGAAUCAUCCAAAUCUGAGCUUUGUAGCCUGAGAUAUGAUCGAAAUACUAAACACUGGUCAGAGCUCUGUUUUCCACUUUGGACAGCUGAGUUGAAUUUCGGUAUUUCAACUUUUGGACUAUGAAAACGGCUGAACUGGACUUUGAUGUCUUCAUACCAAAUGUAGAUAUAUCUCUUAGCUUCAAAAUGGUACCAAGAUCACCUUGAUCCGAUCUGUGUAGCUCCAGAUAUAGUCAAAAUACCAAAACGUGUCAGAGUUGUCAAAACCUGACUUUUCUUGAUUCAAAUUGCAUUUUUCCUUUUUACACUUCAUAUUUUAUUUUCACCACUUUAAUCCAUCUUCAAUCAUCCAAAUAUCUUCUCAAUGCACUUCAUUUGAUGAUUGAAUCAUUAAACCUACAAAAUAUGAAGUUUUUACCAUAAAAAUCCAUAAAAUGCAAUGUUUAGCCAUUUUAACAUAAAAUGUAGUUUUUUACCAAAACCUUAGUUAUUUUAGUUAUUAAACUAAAUAAUCAAACCAAAAUUAACUAAUAAAACACACAAAAAUAUACGUAAAAUAAACUCUUAUCAAAUACCCCCACACUUGAACCAUUGCUUGUCCUCAAGCAAUAAAAAUACAAACCAACAAUGAUCCAAAAUUUGAAAAUAAACAUAUGUAGCAUUUCAACUUCAUUUCCUCAAAACAAAGUAAAUAACCAUUAUGCAAUUAUUCAAUUAAGUUCAAGUACUCAUAAUAUCAAGUAAAGGAGAGCCAAUUAUACCGUAUUAUAACAAAUUUAAUCAAUUUUCAUCCUUACCAAUUUCAUACGCAAGUAACUCAUAUGGUCAAUAAUAUGCUUCCUAAACUCAUGAUCAUCUUUUAUUCUUUAAAAGAUAUUUAUUAUAUACAUAGCUAAAUAUUACUUAAGACGUGAGAAUGCUUUUGACGCGAGAUCGACAUUUUUAGAUGAAGAUCACCGGUUACUCAACACUUCACAUACUCAAGUUGCUUUGCAUACUCUUAAUUCAAGUACCGUUUUACGCGAAAGUCGACAUUUGUAGAUGAAGACUCCCGGUUACUAAGUACAAGAAUCAUUGGAGUAGAAGAAUUUUUUUAUUUUCUUUUCUUUUUUUUUUUUUUUUUUUUCAUUUUUUUUUUUUACAGCAAAGAUAAUAAUAAUUCCUCAAAAGAAUAAUCAUGAGAAGAGUAUUGCACUUAUUGACCAUAUUUAUCACUUAACUUAUAAAAUCCAAUAAAGAGAAGAAAUUUCAUCAAAUAUGCAAAAAAAAUAUAGGUAUAAUUUUCUCCACUUUAAAAGAUAUACUUUCCUACAAAUGCAAAAAUUAUAAUCACAUAAUAGUCAUUUCCAAGUUAAAUGAGAAAAGAAGUUUCCAAAUCACAUAUAUUUAUCUCAAAUGUAGAGGAAUUUGAACUACUAAUGGUAUGGAACUUGUUACCCCUUGGAUAAAAUCGAAAAAAUAUGAAACUUUUUGGGGCAAGUUUGCAAUUUUGGACAAGAUUUUAGAAAAAUUUUGAAUUUUAACACAAGUCCAAUAUUUGCAACUAAUAAUUCAAUCACAUACAAUGUAUAUAAUCUCAAUUCUCCCCCCACACUUAACAUACACAUUGUCCUCAAUGUGUAAAAAGGAAAAUCAAGAUAAAAAAAUAAUAAUCCCCUAUUGUUGUGAUUGAAUAUGAAGCUUCAAAAUCCAUUGUCCUUGUCUUCAUCGCUUCAUGAGUUCCAUUGGAUAACCAUUAGUGAUAUAACCUAAAAAUGAAAAUGAGAAACAAAAGUGAUAACAAAGGCUUAAUAAACAAAACGGCGAUCCGUAAUUUCAACCUUUGUUUUGGUGAUGUACCUAUAAAAAUACACAAUAAGCAACUCAAGGUACAAGAAAAUAUAUGAGGAAAAGAAAAAAAGAAUCAAGGAAUCUGCAUUUUUUUUUUUUGCUCCGAAAACGCGACUCAUCAAAACGCGCCACAAGCCGCGUUUUGUGAAGUCGCGUUUCUUCACAUAUCUUGCAGGAUCGAAAACGCGACUGUGUUAAAAACGCGACUUUAGUCGCGUAUUUGAAGGCGCGUUUUUUUUUGAACAGGCUGGAAAACGCGACUUGGUAGAAAACGCGACUUCCUGUCGCGUUUUGAAGGCGCGUUUUCUUCAGUAUAGGCGCAGAAUUGAAAACGCGAUUAUGGAAAACGCGAUUCUAAGGCGCGUUUUCAGCCCAAGUGCGUUUUCUUCUGCGAAAUUUUUGCAGAAAGCCAAUUUUGAAAAAUUACCAUUUGUACCCCAAUCAAAAAUGCAUCAUAGAUCAUUUGUUUGCUAAAAUUCUCAAUGCAUGCACAUGUAAAAUGAUCAAAAUAUGCAUUUUAACCCUUCUAACAAAUCAAAAACAACAAUUACUCAAAUUGAGGGGUUGAGUUCCUUGAUCAAAUUUCGCCUUUUUCACCUCAUUUGGUCACUUUUGCUUCCAUUUCCAAUACCUACAAAUGAAAAAUAACAAAAUAACUCAAACACAUACUUUAAACAUAAAAUCACCAAAAUAACAUAAAUAACAAACAUUGGGUUGCCUCCCAAUAAGCGCUUCUUUAUAGUCAAUUGCUUGACUAUUGACCUCAUUUUUCAAGGAGGCUUAGUUAACGAAUAAUCCACCAUUUUUGGUCGUGGUGGAUCAUUAAAUGGUGACUUUAUAGCAAAAGUCACAUGAUCUAAUGAUAGGAGAAAUGGAAUUGACUUACCUAUCCCAAGUGUUUCAUAAAUAUUACCUUGAAUAUGCACCACUUGAGAACUUACCAACGGAAUGCAUGAGAGUAUCUUGGGCAGCAAUACCCUUAGAACCUAUACUUUCAAUGCACUCCUCAAGAGGGGUGAAAAAUGAGUCAUUAAAACUCACCUCUUGAGGCUCAAAGUUAGUUCCAAAGAUAUUAUCAUGUGAAAUGGAUAUUUGCUCAUUGAAACACAAUUGAGAUUCAUCAUUUUCAUCAAAUGCAAUCCAUUUUCACAUACAACAUUCCUACCAUUCAUGCUAGGAUCAUUUUGCAAUUUAUUAGAAGAAAUAACUUCACACAAUGCAUUCAAUUGCUCAUUUAUUCUGCCAAAGUGAGAAGUUUCAUCUAUUCUUUCCUCAAUCCUAUCAAAACGGUCAGAAGUCAUUAGCUAAUUUUUCUAAAGCUAACUCCCAAGAUGGCUUAGAAUCAUUAGCUACUUUCAUUGCCAACUCCCAAGAUGGUUUUGAUUCAUAUUGGACACAUUCAGGUUGGUAAUCAAAAAUAUGAAGAAUUACUAUAAGUACAUUGAUUAUCCCAACCAUAAGCAAGGAGUUGCCAAUUAGCACUAUAUUGAUCAAAACAAGGAUUGUAAUGCUCUAAUUCAUCAUAAUAAUCCACAUUUUGUGCUUGCAUACAUGUAUUAGUUGCAUGAUAACCUCCACACAAGUCACAAAUCACAUGAUAAGAAUUAAAAGUAUUAACAUUCCUCCCUUGCUCAAUUUCAUGCAUAAUUGUGUCCAUCAUAACAUCAAAUUUUGCCUUUAAGCACCUUAAACCAUCUUCAAAAGACAUACCUUCAGUAAUUUCUUGGUUACCUCUGUUGAAGGAGCUUUGCACUAGGUAACCAUCCAUUGCCAAUCUUUCAUUUCUCAAGCUUUGUCCUCCAAAUUGAUCUAUCCUCCUCAUCACCUAAAAUUGCUUUUAAACAACUUAAGAGCAAAAUUAGUAAGAAGAAUAGGUGAUAAAAUGCAUACACACAGAAAAUACUAAAACAGAAAAUAACAUUCACACAAUAACUAAUAAAAUGUCUAAACUAAUAAAGUUACUCUUCACACCGAUAUUGCCAAAUCUUCCCCGGCAACGGCGCCAAAAACUUGACGGGUAUUUUACAUACGUGCAAGCUAAAAAAUACCGAAUUACACCCGUUCACUGCAAGUAUACAGAUCAACUAGUAGUUUAGGGUAUAUAUCGGGUCGAUCCCACAAGGAAGAGUGAACAAUUACCGGUAUUACUAAAGCUUCUCUAUUAUUUAGACUAUCAAUGAAUAAGAAAUUUAACCUACUGCACUUAUACAAGAAAUUAACAAAUAAAAGCUCCUUAGGUUGUGGUAUCCCUAACUACUCAUGCAAGUGUUAUAUUUGGAUCAUUGAAUACUACAUCUAGGCUAAUUAUGGUGUAAUUUCCUUAUGCAUUUGAAUCCUACUUUCGUAGUGAAUCAAUUAUACUUAUAACUAAUCCAUACCUAUUCUCAUGGUUAUGAAAUUAGCUACAAGUUCAUUUCUUCAGUGAAAUUACAUGAAAUGAAUCACUAAAAACCACAUAGGUGCACCUCUACUUUCGUGAGUGUACUCCCUAUGUUUAGCACUUCUUGAACUAAUGUUAAAUCUCAAUUUUCAUUGCAGAAAUAACACCUUAGAUAAUCAGAAUUAAUGGUACCAGAUUAAUCAUGAUUUAAAGAGCAAAGUGCUAAAUAACUUGCUCAAAUACUAGCAAUCAAAUAGCCAAAUAAUAAACACUAACAAUCAUAGAAGUUCAACCAAACCCAAGGUAUAAACUUUAAAAACACAUAUUAAAUAUAAAAUCCAGAACUUGUAUAUUAGCUAAACUUGGAAUCAAAUACAAAAGAUAAAGAGUUGGAAAGGAAUAACCCUGUCACUGAGCUUUCCUUGCCUUCUUCAUCUCCAUUCUUCAUCUAAUCUAGCUAAUAAACAAGAAUGGAUGAACUACUACUAUACUAACUAAUCUAAACUAAGAGAAUGGAAAAACUACAUUUCUGCACUUCCAAGCUUCUCCCGUAUGCUCUGCAUGUCCUGGUUGCUCCCUAUAUAAACUGCUCCAAAAGCUCCUUUUCCAUUGGUCCAAACUUGCUGCAUUUGAUUUCCAAAUCUGAAAUUGUUAAGAUAGUCAAUAGCCAUUGUUUUUGACUUGAAAAUAUGCCAACUUUCUUGCCCUUUUGUCUUCUAAAGCAUGUGCACCGAAUUCUCUUGCAGAUUGUAGCUGGAAAGUAGUCAGAACACAAGAGAAUUGACUGAGCAAAAUUGCAGAAUUGCGGCCGGAAAACGCGCCUACACAAAACGCGGUUACAAGUCACGUUUUGUGUACUCGCGUAUUCACUUUGUCCUUACUUCAGCUGCGAUUUUCUCUAUCAUAAAGGCUGAACUGGAUUUUUUGUAAAACACCAAAGUUGUAGCCCUUUGAGUUAGCUUUCCAAUGCUUCAAGAAUCAUCCAAAUCUGAGCUUUGUAGCCUGAGAUAUGAUCGAAAUACUAAACACUGGUCAGAGCUCUGUUUUCCACUUUGGACAGCUGAGUUGAAUUUCGGUAUUUCAACUUUUGGACUAUGAAAACGGCUGAACUGGACUUUGAUGUCUUCAUACCAAAUGUAGAUAUAUCUCUUAGCUUCAAAAUGGUACCAAGAUCACCUUGAUCCGAUCUGUGUAGCUCCAGAUAUAGUCAAAAUACCAAAACGUGUCAGAGUUGUCAAAACCUGACUUUUCUUGAUUCAAAUUGCAUUUUUCCUUUUUACACUUCAUAUUUUAUUUUCACCACUUUAAUCCAUCUUCAAUCAUCCAAAUAUCUUCUCAAUGCACUUCAUUUGAUGAUUGAAUCAUUAAACCUACAAAAUAUGAAGUUUUUACCAUAAAAAUCCAUAAAAUGCAAUGUUUAGCCAUUUUAACAUAAAAUGUAGUUUUUUACCAAAACCUUAGUUAUUUUAGUUAUUAAACUAAAUAAUCAAACCAAAAUUAACUAAUAAAACACACUAAAAAUACGUAAAAUAAACUCUUAUCAGACGUCAACCCAGACAAUCCCGAAAUCAAAGAGUAGAUAAUGAUUUUGCUAUUGAUCAAACAUCGAACCAAGGGUUGGGGGAAGAGAUGACUAAAUGGAUUGGUUUUAACGCGUAUGACAGAUGUACUAGAGCUCUUAGUAGUUCAACAGGGCCAGGAGGUUGGACAAAGAAACCAACGUGAAAACCAUGAGAUAGGGGAGGAUCGAGUUUUGGAGCGGUUUCAGAAAUUCUUCCCACCUAAAUUUUCUAGAGGACCUGGCCCAGAAGUGGCUGAAAAUUGGUUAGAAAAUAUAAAGAAUAUAUUCGAUGCCUUGAACUACACAGAAAAAAGAUAAGUCACUUUGUUGUAUUUCAAUUGAAGGAGCAGCACGACCCUGGUGGAAUGUUGUAAGAAACAAGUGGGAAAAAGAUCAAACUCCAAGAAUUUGGAUAAACUUUUGUACGAGAAUUUAAUAAGAAGUUUCUUCCUCCACUAGUCUAAGAAAAAAGAGAAGACGAUUUUAUAAAACUUCGUCAAGGAACUUUGAGUGUGACUAAGUAUGAAACACAAUUCACGAAAUUAUCUAAAUAUGCUCCAGAAUUGGUGGUUACGGAACGAAAGAGAAUAAGACGGUUUAUCCAAGAAUUAAAUUUAGAAAUCGAAGUUGCCCUUGCCGCAGCACAGAUUGAAACAUUUAGCGAUGCUCUUGAGAAAGUACAAAGGGUGGAGAGCAUAAAAUCCCAACUAAGAACCUUUCAAGCAAGGAAAAAAGAUGUAUCCGAUAGUAGUCACUACUUUGAGGUGCCAAGAGAAAGUGGACCGCUACCUAAAGUUAGAAAAGGAAUGGAUGGAGUAAGACUACACGUCCUUCACCACCCAUGAUAAAGAAACCAGAAGAAACUAGGUCACGAGGACCUCCAGUAGGACAGAUACAAUUAAGGGAAACUUCGCAGACAAGUCAAGUCACAACUCCUCGUCUGACCUGUGGAUAUUGUGGAAGGACGAAUCAUACCGAAGAAAACUGCUGGGUGAAGGGGCAAAAGUAUAUGGGAUAUGGGAGUACCAACCAUAAAGUUCACGACUGCCCAAAGGUAUCCACGAGAAACUACUAUUCAACAAAGAAGACAAGCCCAUGGAGGAGGAAACCGACCAAUGGCACCUGCAAGAACACCUGCAAUGAUCACAUAACAAGUAGUGCAUGAUUUAUAGUCAAUUUUAUAAUUAUUUGCCCUAAUUAUAUUUAAUUACCCUAGUAGUGCAUGAAUUUUUCUUAAAUUUUGAUUUUUGGCUCGCGCGUCGUAAGUCGUGUAUUUCGCGUCGGAACGAAUAAGUGAAAAUUUAAGAAAUUUAUAUUAGACUAGUAAGAGUGAAUAAUUACCAUAUUAAAGGAAGUAUCUUGGAGAAUUAGUACAUGAGUAUAUCAAAACCGAGAGAAAGUGGUAGUACAAAACCCCAUUUGGGCACUAUUAAGAGUUGACUUUUUGCCCAACACUUAUGGCUAUUAUUUCAUUCUUUCUCUCCAAGUUUCAUCACACAAACAAACCCUCAUCUCUCUCUCCUCACUCCCUCAUUUUCGGCCAGACCAAGGAGAAAGAAAAGGAACAAGAGAAAACUUCAACUUUUGCUCUUCAAUCUUGCUUGAAAUUCAUCAUCCAACCAUCAAACUCCUUGGGUUCUUGCUCUAGCUUGAAAGGAAAAGAGGGGCGGCUGGUUGGGGGCUAUUUUAAGGAGUUUUUUACACCAAAAAUAUAGGGUUUCUUCUUGAGUUUUGAAGGUAUAAAUAUCUCCCACUAAAACUCUUGCUUUCUUGUUUUGUUUCUUGGUUUUGAAGCUUGUAGCUUCCUUGUUGUUGUUGUUGCUUGGAUUUCAUUGGUUGAAGUGGGCUCUAUGAACUCCCACAUUGGUUAUAUAAGGGCUGUCAUGAUGUUUAUAUGUGUGUUAGUGUGUUUGUGAUGAGUUUUACUAGAAGAAACUAGAAGAGGAAAAAGAAAUAGAGAAAAUCGUGAGAGGAAGUAAGCUGGCCGAAUCUGUCCUGUUGUUAUCUUGAUUGUAUUUCAAAAUUUUGUUGGUUGUUUGACUGUGAAACUGAUGUAAAUAUGUGGCAUAUUGUAUGUGCCAAAUGCUUCCGAAAAUCAUGUCAUUUGGUUGAUCAAAACUAGAAUUUUCGAAACUGCAAGAAAUCUAGAAAUGGUCAUUUGAAGGCCUGAACAGUGUGUCUUUAAUUGAACAUAACUCUUUGUACAAAAUUCAAAAUCGAAUGUCGUUUGUGGCAUUUGAAACUAGACAUUCUUAGCUUUAAAACGGUAUAAAAAUCACAGUCUAGUUCAUUUUGUGUGAACUGUAGUGACUGAUAAAGUCGGCUGCUCUGUUCAGCCUGUUCAUUCGAAUGGAAAUGAGAAGCUGUAACUUGUGGCUUGAAUUUGAACUACUUGUAAACUGAUUUUGAAAAUGAUUUCUUCUGAUGAAAUGUAGCUUUUAGAACAUAGUUUCCAACACCGCCAACCAUUCUUUAUUUGAGUUUGUGUAGAGUGAGAUAUGGCCUGAUUUUAAAAUUGCAGCAAAAUUGAAAACUGGAAAGUUUCUUCCUCUUGCUGGCAGAAUGGUCAAACUUGUUUUGGAAUAUUUUGUUUCGAAAACUUUGAUGUCAAUUACCUCUAAAUUGCUCAUUGGAUGUUUAUGGAACCUUAGAUUCAACAUUUGAGCUAAUUGAGGUUGAUCGUGUGGGACAAAACUUUUGAAAAGGAAGAGAACCACGGACGGCAGAUUUGCUUUGAAAUUUUCCCGAACUUUGAUGAUUUUGUUAACUAUCUUUCCACAUGAGUUUUUGCAUGAAAUUUGUUAGAGAUAUAUUUCACAUAUGGAAGAUUUGGUGUACCAAAUUUGGUAUAUUUUCAAUGCCAUUUCGAUGGCUAAAUAAUACUUCAAAAAUAGCUUUUCAAUCUGGAAAAUGACUGAACAGUUUGCAAAACGCGACCAAUUUUGAACUGAUGUAUCUCGAUACUCAAAAUUCCGAAUUUAGUUCAGUUUAUUGUGUUUGAAACCUUGUUUAUAACUCUUGUUGUACUAUAAAUUUCAAAGGUUGAUUCAUUUUCUGUGAAUUAUGCCAAAUUUCCAAUGUUUGCUGAAAAACCAAGACUGGUUCAAACCUGUCUUCUUGGAACUGAAACUUUGAGCUGAAUUAUGAAUACAUUCUAGUUGGAAUCAUGGAAAAGUGUCUUCUGGAACUUUUAGUACACUGAAUUUAGUUUCCAAAGGUAUAAAUAGUUCCAUUUUUGGACUUGCGAAACUCAAGAUACGAUUUUUCAAAAUAAUGUCACUCUAAACUGAAAAAUUUAUGUUUCAACCAAAUUACUCAUUUAAGAACUUUCUACCUUCCUUCGUGAUUGUCGGACUGUUUUAAGUUUGAUUUCAUGAUUUAAUACAAGGUAUCUUUGGAAUUUUGAACUUUCAUUUCAAAUCUUGGUCUCCAAAGAUUAAAUCUCUCUUGAUGCAAUUACUUGGUCAUAUAACUCUCUUGAUUAAUGGUACUUCUCUUCGUAUUUAAAUUAGGAACUUCAACCCCUAUUCUUAUGGCCUUGAUAAUUGUACUAGAGUUCACAAUUAUACAAGUAUUUAAAAAGAAUGAUUUGAAAGGUUUCUUGUGAACUUAAUUAGUAAUGCCCGGAAUGCUUUGGCCAAGCUUCCAAGUAAAUAUAUCCAUCUUUCUCGAUUUUGUGUCAAAACUUAGAGAUCUGUUUAAUCUUCAACUUGGAGAAUCCUGGACAUGACUUAUCUUGGAUUAAUGUAUUCUUGGUUAUUUUCAAAUGCUACCCUCGUGGAUUAAGUUAAUAAGUGAUAUUUGCAUUCGAUUUGAACGCGUUAUCUAUUAAGUAAGAGUAGUGGGAAUACUACAAGACCUUGGCUGAAUACCUAGGUGAAUUGUAAUUGUACAUGUUUCAGGUGAUCAAGAGGAUCCCGAGGAACUCGUUUGAUCUUGCCUCACUCUUGUUUUACACUCUUGAUUUCGGUAAGUGUUUCUUAUGUGUUUAAGUGUUAAGUGUUACCUAUAAUUGCUACUAUGAAAUUGUCCAUCAUUUUUAAGCGAGUGUGUACUUUAUCUCACUCGACCUACUAAAAUGAUAAAUUUCUACCGUUUAACCGUAAAUUUUUACCGUUAACCGUGAACUACUACCGUUUACCGAUUUACUUGAUUACUUACGCAUGUUGUAAGCUCUAAGAUGAACUGGAUCCUGCCCUUGAUUACUAACCUGCUCGAGCCAGGAUUGGGCUCGGUUACGUAGGUUGGAAUCUUGGGCCACCGUUUCGGUAUACUCGAGUAUUACCACUGGAGGGAUAAGGUGAUGGCCAGACAACCGGGGAAAUUAUUGGGUUAUAAGGUGCAACUGACCGAAUAGUUCCACUUGAACACCGUAUCCUUUUACUGUGUUUAUUUCUGUAAAAUGAUAAAUGUCUCAUUUUAAUGUGCCAAUUUGAAAUCUUGAACCGUACAUAUGUUAUACUCGAUUUACUUGAUUUAUUAGAACUGCUUAGGUUUUGGAAUCUCACUGGAUUGUUUAGCUCAUUCCACGCUUUUGUUUUCCUUAACAGGGUUCAAGACGAGAGUACUCGUGAAUAGUACUAAAUUAUUUUCUUUUGGAGACUUUAAGUUGUAUUAUAGUAGACGACUGUAGUACAUAUUCUUUUGAGUUGUAUUAAGCUUGAAGGUUAACUAAUUGUGUUUUGGAGUUCUUUCAAUGUAUAUUGAAAAUAUUUAAAAUAUUUCUAGUUUUGAAUUACGGAUUGUAGUGAGCCUCGGCGAGAGUUGGGCAGGCGUUCCGCGGAUACCCUUAGGUUUGCCCUUGGGAGAAGUGGGGGCGUCACAGGAUCAACCCUUCUCUGUCAUCAUGGGAAAUGAACCUGUGUCACCAAUAAUGCUAUAUGCAAUGGUGUGCACUGGAGGAUUAACCAACACAACUUCCGGUAUAACCUCAAAGUAAUGGAAAUUGGAGGGUGGGACAUAAUCUUGGGAGUGGAUUAGAUGACACAUUUCAGUCCCAUCGCAUUCGAUUUUCAACAACUCAGGAUAUCACUGCACCAUGAGGGAGAUGAAAUUCACCUGCACGGCCAAGCAGACAACUGUGAUAUGGACUUAAUCAGAGGCAAAGACUUAAGGACAUUUUUGAAUACAAGAGACAGAUGUGCAUGGCUAUGAAUUCUCCACAAGAUAAAGAAGGGGAGUUAGAUCCUACACUACAAGAAAUUGAAGAACUGCUACAAGAAUAUAAGGAUGUAUUCCAGACUCCAAAAUCAUUACCUCCAAGUAGAAGUAUAGACCAUGAGAUACCUCUAAAACCAGAGGCUCAACCAUUCAAACUGAAACCUUGUAGGUACCCUCACUGCCAUAAGAAAGAAAUAGAGAGACAGGUAGCUGAAAUGCUGCAGAAGAGCAUUGUUAAGUACAGUAACAGCCCAUUUGCUUCUCCUGUGUUGCUGAUCAAGAAGAAGGAAGGCACCUGGAGGUUUUGUAUGGACUGCAGAAAGCUGAAUGACUAAUGUAGAUGAGCUGCUAGAUGAAUUAUCAGGACCUGUGAUUAAAACCAAGCUAGAUUUGACUGCAGGAUACCAUCAAAUCAGAGUAAAGCCACAGGACACUUUAAAAUAGUCUUCCAGACUCAUUGUGGCCAUUUUGAAUUUCUGGUAAUGCCCUUUGGGCUCACAAAUGCCCCUGUAACUUUUCAAUCCCUGAUGAACCAAGUAUUCCAGCCUUACCUGAGGAAGUUUGUCCUAAUUUUCUUUGAUGACAUACUGGUGUAUAGUCCUACACUGGAAGAUCAUGCUCAACACCUAAGAACUGUACUGGGAAUUCUGAGGGAUCAUCAACUAUAUGUGAAGAUGUUUAAAUGUGCAUUUGCUCAUAAACAAAUAGAUUACCUGGGACACACCAUUACUGACAAGGGGGUCAGCAUGGAUGGCUCUAAGGUUAGUAGUAUCUUACAAUGGCCAGUACCACAAUCUGUUAAGAAGUUGAGAGGGUUUUUGGGACUUACUGACUACUAUAAGAGGUUCAUAAAAUAGUAUGGACUUGUAUGUAAGCCACUUACUGUGUUACUUAGAAAGGAUAAUUUCAAGUGGAACACACAGGCUCAAUCUGCAUUUGAUCUUCUAAAACAGCUCAUGUGCUCAACUCCUGUUCUUAAGCUGCUAGAUUUCAAGAAAGCCUUUGUGGUGGAAACAGAUGCAAGUGGGAGCCAUUGAGGCAGUUUUAAUGCAGGAAGGACACCUUAUAGCCUUUCUGAGCAGGCACUGUCAACAAGGAAUCUAGGCUUAUCAGUAUAUGAAAAAGAACUGCUUGCUCUGGUCAUGGCAGUCAUAAAAUGGAGGCAUUAUUUGGUUGGUAAUCACUUUAUCAUCAGAACUGAUCACCAAGCAUUGAAGUAUUUGCUAGACCAAAAAUUGAACACUGCUCUUCAGCAUAAGUGGAUAACCAAGCUGAUGGGGUUGGACUAUGAGAUACAGUACAAGAAAGGAACUGAGAAUCAAGUGGCAGAUGCAUUGUCAAGAAGCAUGAGAAUGCCUCCAACCUUUCCUUUACUUCUUGUCUAGCCAUUACUGCUGUUAGACAUGGAUGGCUUGAAGAAUUGCAGAAAAGCUAUGAGACUGAUGCAUAGUGCCAAGAGAUCAUAACUCAGCUAGCACUGGAUCCUAGUUCCCAUUCUGACUAUACUUGGAUAGAUGGAGUACUCAGACACCAAGGGAAGAUUUACAUUGAAAUGCUAAUAACAUUAGAAAUUAGAUCAUCCAAGUUCUCCAUGCUUCAACACUAGGAGGACAUUCUGGACAAAGAAACUGUUGGCAGAAAGUUAAGAUUUUUUUUACCGGCCAGGAAUGAAGCAAGAGGUGGUGUCAUUCAUCCAGAAAUGUGACACAUGCCAGAGGAAUAAAUCUGAGCAUGUCCCCUACCCUGGGUUGCUGCAACCAAUCACCAUUCCUAAACAAGCUUGGUCCCAUAUAUCUAUGGACUUCAUUGAGAGACUGCCCAAAUCACAGGGUUAUGAUACUAUAUUGGUAGUCAUUGACAGGUUCACUAAGUUUGGCCACUUUACCAUGCCCACUCAUCCUUUCACAGCUAGGACAGUAGCUCAAGCCUUCCUGGACAACAUAUACAAAAUGCAUGGACUGCCAGAGUCCAUAAUUACUGACAAAGAUAAAAUAUUUACUAGUGGAUUCUGGAGGAGCUGCUCAAGGUGAUUGGGACAGAAUUACAUUACUCAUCUUCUUACCACCUCAAUCUGAUGGACAAAGUGAACGACUCAACUAGUGUGUGGAGAACUAUCUCAGAUGCAUGACUGGGGAAAUGCCUUCUCAGUGGAGCAAAUGGAUGGCACUGGCAGAGUGGUUUUAGAACUCUACCUAUCACUCCAGCAUUAGUAUGACUCCCUUUGAGGCAUUGUUUGGAUAAAAACCAGUACCCUUACCUCUAGGCCCUUAUCUAGACUCAGUAGUUCCUACAGCCUCUAACAUGAUCCAAGAAAGGAACAAGAUUUCCAAUUGCAUUAGGGAUAACUUAGUCAAGGCUCAGCACAGGAUGAAGUAUUUUGCUGAUCAGCAUAAGACGGAGAGGAAAUUUGCUGUGGGGGAUUGGGUGUUUCUGAAGCUGCAGCCAUACAGACAACAGACGGUGGCAGUUAGGAAGUGCCUUAAGCUAUCAACCAAGUAUUUUGGUCCAUUCCAAGUGGAAGAGAAGAUUGGUUCAGUAGCCUACAAGUUGAAGUUACCAGCAGGCACCAAAUCACACCCUGUGUUCCAUGUGUCAUUGCUUAAGAAGAAGUUGGGACCUAUGCAGGGUAGUUCAACCAAGCUGCCACAGUUAGACACUCAAGAUCAAUAUCCUCUGCAACCAGAAAUCAUCUUGAGAAGAAGGGUCAUUAUGCGAGAAGGUCAACCUAUUGUGCAAUAUUUGAUCAAAUGGAACCAACUGGACUAUGAAGAAGCAUCAUGGGAGGAUAAAUCUUUCAUUGAGAAUCAGUUUCCUACGUUCCAGACUUGAGGACAAUUCUGAUUUUAACAGAAGAGAAUUGUUAGGACAAGAAUUAGUUUUAAUAAAUGCCCUAAUUGGGAUUAAUCCAGUAGAGGCCUAAACGAUGUGGUUUUGGGUUAUUGAAUUAAUAGUUAGUUAAGUCGGUUAAAUAGCAAUUGCUGAUUGUGUGGAUUGGUUAUAAAAGUGGGUCCCACCCAUGUGUAAAAACAGAAUUCUGAUAAUAACAUUUCAACUUCAUUUCCCCUCCCUCAAUUCUCUCUCUACUCUCUCUUCUCUGACUCCUCAAUUCUUCUCUCUCAUCCUAUCAAUUCCCAAUUUUCCCUCAUUCAUCAAUUUGAGCUUAGCAAUUGAAUCUGAGUUCCUGACAGACAGGUGUCACCAAUAUCUAACAUGUGUCAACCAAUGGUGACAUGUGUCACACAACAAGACACAUGUCAUGUUUCCCCAUGACAAGUGUCGCAGCAUUACCUUUCCUAAUACCAACUCAUCCCUCUUCCUUGAUAGAUGUUAUCGCCACAUCAACUCAAGUGUUGAUUAAUUUUCUCCAAGGAAACCUAUAAAUAGCCCUCCAUCUCGUUGUAUGUUAAUAUUUUGGGAACACUCACAUAUACUCGUAGGAGAGGGCAAAGAGAGCGACUUAGAAAGGAAAAAAAUUAAGGCAAUGGAUGUUCUACAAGACAAGAAAAGAAAGGCACAGCCUUGAGAUACUGUAGGAAAAAAGAUCAAAGCCAAGCUAAAGUCUAGAAUAUCCAAUUGAGUGCCUUUUUGCAUUCAUGUAGUUAUAAUAUUGUAUUCAUAUAGACGUUAUAAUGCUCAAUUUUUUGUCAUCCUAUGAACGUAUAGUUUUAGUUCUACAUUCCAUGUAUCUGUUAUGCUGGAUCUGGACUAGGUGAAAAUAAUAAUUGAUAUUCUUGUGUUUUUUAAAUCUACUAUAAUACAUACUCUUAUUUUGUUUAAGAGAUAAAUGAUCAUUUAUGAUGAAUAUUCUAUUGUUAUAUUGUAAAUAUGAUCAUUUUACUUGAUUAGUCGCUAUUGUGUCUUGAACCGUUGAGCAACGAGGGCUAUGUUGAAUGUCAUUGCACACACUAAUUUGCAACCCACUAUUUAGACGAGAUUGUCCACGUAUUGAGUUGGAACUGAAACACACUUCUCAUACUGACCUAUUGAUUGAGAAUAGAAGGAUGAACUCAUGAUGGUGGUAUAAGGUAGAACAUGAUCUUGAUCGGCAAUUAGUGCUAUAUACUUAUUAAGUCGUGAUUUAUCCGUUUUCUUACUUGUUAAAUAUUGUUUAUGCUAGAAGUGGUGGUCUAUUUCUUGGCACCAUUACCUUGUGUUACCUUACCCCAAAUAUUAACAAAGUUUUGCAAAUAAUGCCUUAAAACUUGAGAUGUCAUAUGAGUGAUCUAGCAAUUGUCAGAGUGGAAUUUUGAUGGAGCUUACAUGUAUUUUUUAGGAAUGGAGUGAUUUUUGUAUGUUCUGCUGUGUAUUGCACUCUUUUAAAUCCAUCAUAAAAUUGAACAAAAAGAGUUGUGUUUCAAUAAAUAAACUCUUGUAGCAUUUGAAUGAAUCCUGGCUAAAGCUGGACAGUUUACUAUCAAUGAAUCCUUACCACGGAUGGAGCUGCGGUGUGACAACUGACAGGAGGAGGGCAUAGAAAGGAGUACAACUGGAAGAUUGCUGGAACCAAAAAUAUGAUAUGAAGGUGAAAUAGCAAUAUAAUAAAAGGUAGGAUAGAGAAUGGUACAGAAAAUGAGACAGAAAAUCCAUUGCGAAAUAUUGGGUAUCCGGAAAAAUAGUGAAAAAACAUGCAAUACACUGGAUUUUCAAGUGAUGGCUAGAUAGUUUAGUUAAAUAUCCAUCCAUUGUUCAUCUUUCAGAAUUGAUCAUUGUCAAGCAUGGCACUUAAGUUCCGCCUUUCGUGGCUUAUUCUUCUGCAGGUUUUCAGCAGAUUAACUCACGAGUGCAGUGGCCUAAAACUGUCAAAGAGUACAGCCCUUUUGGUUUUUGGUAAUUCAGCUGUUGAUACAGGCAGCAACAACUAUAUACCUACUAUACCCAGAAGCAAAUAUGAUCCUUAUGGCAUUAAUUUCACACGUCACAUUCCUACCGGAAGGUAUUCAGACGAAAAACUCCUUCCUGACAUUUCUUGCCCACACAAGGCCUCAAAGAUGUUAUUCCUCCUUCUCUGCGGAGAAACUUAUCCGAUGAUGAACUGCUUUCGGGUGUCAUCGGCUGCAGCAGGAUUUGAUGAUCAAACUAAGAGUGUUACCAAUGCAAUUCCAACGUCGAAGCAACCCCGAUUUUUAAGGGAUUACUUACCUAAGCUCGAGUGGAUUGUAGGCAAAAAAGUGCUCAAAGAAUUGUUCGGGAAGCUGUAGUGAUCAUCCAUGGUGGAACUGUUGAUUUCCUUUUCAACUUCUACCUUGGCCAUGCUAACAGACAACUUGAGUUCACCUUAAGUGAGUACCAAAACUUUUUGUUAACCAGUCAGCAACAAUUUCUUCAGGUUAGUCAUGCUUCCAAUCUUUUCUACGAUUUGUGCACGCCCAAAAGAAAUGGUUAAAUUACACCAGUAUUCACCAAACUAUUUAAAGCCAUGAAACGCUUUUUUUUUUGUGGAAAUCACCCAUUGAACUCUUAGAUGAUGCACUGGUUAAUCAUUUUACUAAUUUUUUCUCCAUUGUCUCAGACCGACAUACACUAUGCUGUUCUUUGUCUACCUCAGUUCUUUCUUGUAAAGGAGGCAAAAUAAUGGAUUGACCAAAAUCAAACACUUUCAGAAGUUUAAUGGUUGAAUUGAUACACAUGAUACUUCCAUGAAUAUGUGUGUCUAUAUAUAUACUUGAAUCAUUUGAUGACUUUUGGUGCACUUUCCUUAAAGGAAAUACAUUUUGCGUCUGAAAAAUAUUUGGUGAUGCAAACUACUUUUAUCAGUAUCAAACAGUCUACCAUCUGUAGAAUGUUUGCUCCAUAUCCUUUGUCUUAUACUUUUGGUAUAUAAAUUUAUUCCACACAAGCAUAAAUAUAUUGUAAAAUUUGAUGAUACUGAUCAUUUUGUCCAUCAGUAAAUAUUCCACUAUAGUUUAACCUCUGUGGUGAUACAGGAUUUAUACGACCUCGGAUGCGAAAAAAUGGUGGUAGCUGGUUCAAUUGGCUGUUUGCCAUUAACAAUGACUGUUCGUUUUUUUUAGAGGACAUGUAUAGAACAUGUCAACUCAGAUGCUUCACUUUACAAUGAGGAACUGGUAAAGUUGCUGCAACAAGCACAAGCAAAACUUCAACAGAGCGAAAUUCUCUACUUAGAUACCUACAAUCAAUUGAUGGACAUGAUUUUAAAAAAUACCUGAAAGAUAUGGCAAUGGCAUGAACUUAAACUUGCUUAUGUAUGUGUCAUCAAUAACGGGUAACGGAUGCCAAAAUCACAUGAUUUAAUGCACGAUAGGAUUCUCUGAAACUAAUAGGUUCAAUUCGUGAAGUCACUCAGUUGUGUAAUCCCAUCACCCCAGUAUGUAGGACCCAAUCCCAGUACUUAUUCAGGGAUAGCAUGCAUCCAACUGAUGCAGCUUACUGAUACGUAAUUGAUGAUCUACUGAAGAAACUGGCCCCGAUGAAUUGAUUUCCACUGGAAAGUUCAUCUCCAGCAUGGAAAAGAAGAAUCUGUACAUUCCAAAAUAAGAAUCUACUGAAGAGUGAAGAGAAAAGUUUUUAUCAGUGCACGUCAUUUGAAUUUAGCUUGUCUUUGGGGUUGACAAUUUAUUGUAUAGCCUGUAUAAUGCUACCUUAUUUUACAGCUCAUAAGGUGCUUUGUUACCUUAAAUCCCUCAUUAGGAGCCUAAAAGUUUGUUACUAUUCAUUACGUUCAUUUGGAACGAUUAUGCAAGUGGCAGGGUUUGUAUACAAACUUAUUGUUAGACCUAUGCAAAUGCAAACGUGUUGCAUGCAUUGUCCUAUAGAUCAUUGGCAACCAUGGUUCAAAGUCACGGUCGCGGUCGCGGUCGUGGCCCGGAACGUUCGACAUUGGUUUCGGCAUAUCAGUCGCGGUCUCGGUGAGACGCAAAUUUUAAAGUAUUUAAUAUUCUAAAAAUUGUUAAUAAUAUAAAAAAGUAUGCUAAAUAAAAAUAAUUAAAAAAUAGCAAAAGAAACGGCCAAGUCAAUCCGUCGCGGUGUGACUCAGCUGAUUUCUCGUCUUGACUCGAGAUAACUCGGUGUGACUCGGCCGAGUCAAUCCGUCACGGUGACGACUCGGCCGAUUUCUCGGCGAGUCAAGUAUUUCGGUAUCGUUUUGUCACGGUAUCGUAUCGGUAGGGGCCGAGACGGUGACGACUCGGCCGAGACUUCGAACCAUAAUGGCAACAAUAAGAUAUUACUGUUCUUUUCUUAAUCUGAUAAGGUACUCAUGAUAAAUCUUGUAGAACACUCAUGAAGAAUCUUACUCCGUAGUCUGUACUAAGCAUUAAACAAACACGUCAGCAUCAAGUUAUGGAAAAAAUGCAGGUAUCAGUAAACGAAGAAAAGUGAAACAACAGAACCUGCAAUGAUCUUCAGAAGGUGACUUUUCAUUGUCAACAGAAAUGAUAUUGCAAUUCAACAUGAUUUGAUUUAUUUAACCCCCAUUCACAUGGCGAAGGUCUAUGGUGAGAACAAUCAAUUGCAACCUCUCAUGUUUGAUGGUUAUGGUGCCGGGUAACAGGGAGUAGCAACGCAGUGUAGACUGGAGAGGCCACCAUAUAUACUUCUGAUUGAGCUUAAUAGUCAUCUCCCCACUUUACCAAUCCUAAAGAUGAAUAGGGAACUUAGUAACCUUCUGAUUGUUUCCCAUCUUCAAAGCCAAGCAGACGUAAAUUCCUUAAUCACAUUCUCGUUGAGGAGAUCUGUACCUUUCUCCAAUUCCGUUUGAUAAAUAUGCUGAACCCGAUUUUGCAUAAGCAAGAAAAUCAUCCAAACUCAUCAAUUUGUCAGUCAUGAAUCGAAAUGGCCCUGUGUGCUUAGCUCCAUCAACUGGGAAAAAUGGAAAUUCAAUGCUCUCAUACAUGUCUUAUAGACUAUGUUUCUGCUAGGGUGCCAGUAAGGCCAAGAAUCAACAAAGUAAAACUUAUUGAAAACUGCAUCAACUCUAGCAUUCACCUGUAGGGUAGUGUAGCACCAUGCUGCUAUAACUCCCCGUGGCUUUCAGAUCCGAUUGCACUUGCUGGUAAAAGUUGGGCCGAUCAGACCAAUGGAUGGCUUGGCCAAUAGUCACAAGGUCGACGGUGGCUCGUUUGGGGAUAUCCUUUUCCAGCUUUUCAGCAGACGUUGUUGGAGAUGUACACUUGUAUUGCACAUUUGGGAGCCUAGGAACAAAUUCAAGCUGCUUUUGGCUGGUAUCAGUGACGAUCACAUUCUUGUAUAUCUUUGCUAACUGAAACUCAUCAAAUUAUGUUAUAAUCUACUGAUUAACCAGGCUUUCUACUUUCUUGAAAGAAAGCAAAAGCCAUUGGUGUGAAAACAAUUAAUUAUGGAAGAAAAGGCUACUCACAAAUGAUGCGGCCUGUCCAUUACCAAUGCCGGCAUGUCUUGGAUGCAAUAAAGUGAAACAAUUCUUCUGGAUAAUUUGGGCGGGAUAAAGUAAUGCUUUCCCUGUUUAAGGCACAAAUGCGCCAUUUUCUUUUUCUCCUUUCUCUUUUUCAAUUUUCGGUAGUCUCAGACAAACAGAUCUAGAGGCAUACAUCUCUUUUAAUGGGGACUUUCAAAAUCGAUUCACGGAUGCACGGAUGAGAUUGAUUUGGACUGGUUUAAUUCGAGUAUAUUCUGUACAUAUAUCAGCUGGAAGUUGCAAUUAAAUGCUUAAUUUCUGUACAUUUUAGAAAACACCAUGUACAUAUGUUUUACUAAUAAGAGGGACGCAGCAUCAAAAUAUUAACAGCAUGGUGAUUAUAAUCGAGUGUUGACUUGAUGGGGGACAAUAUUAACAUAUUAUUGCUUAGUUGGUUAAAGCAUUAGCCAAAAUGACAUGUUUCUUGAAUAACCACGUUGACCCUGUCCUCCACAUUUCAUGAUUUUCCUCAUUUGAUUUGCUGUCCUAUACAUUUUUAUAAUCAUGUUGACCCUGUCUCAAUUUGCUGUUGUUUUCACCCAUUGAAUAAUGAUGUUGGUCAACUCCUUCAGUUCAUCAAUGACAACAUCCAACAGAGAAAACCAAGUUAAUUGCAAGAACCAAGUAAUUUCAUAAUUUGAUUAAGUAUUUAUGAGUGUAACUUCGUUUUGUGAAAGUUUUAAGUUUCCCUUGGCUUAAUCCCAUUCCUAUAUUUCUUUCUUUAAGUACACAUUUUCAUCGUUAGAGGUUAUUCACUGACGACCAUCAGGUCCGUUGGAUUUCAUUGUUUGAAGAAUUCAUGAAAAAUAUUACUGCAACAGUUAUACAAAAGCGUGGAUACCAGACAAAAAGUGGUUGUAAACUUGUUUUGAGUCUCUUUCAAAUACUAUUUGUAAAAGUGGAAAUCCAGAUGCAGGAAAUUGAAGAGCAGCAGAGAAAGGUUAAAUAUCUAUUGUGCAAUUAGCGAUAAAACCUAACCAUUCCACUGAAGAAAAUGUCUGGUGACAGAGGACAAAAGCUAAAUUUACUGAGGCCUUAACCUUAAUUUCCGCCAGCAAAUGAUAUGGGAUUAAUUAUCUAUUAUGAAGUAUGAACCCAGGAGAAGCCAAAUAAUUUACUUUCCCACUUUGCCAAUCCUGAGAUAAACAGGGAAUUUAACGCUCUUUUGAUUGCUGCCAUCUUCAUUCCAAGCAGACGUAAAUUCCUCAAUCACAUCCUCGCUCAAGAGAUCGAUACCCUUCUCCAGUGCUGUUUGAUAUGCUGAACCUGAUUUUGCAUACCGAAGAUAAUCAUCCAAUCCAUCAAUUUUUGAGUUAUGAAUUCAAAUGGCCCAGUUUGCUCAGCUCCAUCUACUGGCAAAAAUGGAAAUUCCAUGCUUUCAUACUUGUCAAACACCAGAUUUCUUCCAGGGUGCCAAUAAGGCCUGGAAUCAACAAAGUAAAACUGUCUAAACACAGCAUCAACCCUAUCAUUCACCUGUGGGGUAGUGUAGCACCAAGCUGCUAUUACUCCUUGAGGUUUCUUCAGUACCAAUUUCACUUGCUGGAAGAAAGUAGGAAGAUCAAACCAAUGGAUGGCUUGGCCAAUGGUCACCAGGUCCACAGUAUCUGGUUUAGCAACAUCCCUUUCGAGCUCUUCAGCCGACAUGGCUGGAGAUGUAGAACGAUAUCGAACAUUUGGGAGCUUGGGAGCAUAUUGAAGUUGCUUUUGGCUAGUAUCAGUGGCAAUUACAUUCUUGAAUAUCUUUGCUAGCUGAAAUCAUUUAACAUAAAUUAUACAAUGCAUUCGGGCUUUUAAUUGGCCUUUCAAAUUGCAAGAAAAAGAGUUGCCUCAUGUGGCGAAGACGAGAGAAAUUGUGCUUACAGAUAAUGCCGCCUGGCCACUGCCAGUGCCCACAUCCCAGGCAAGGUCAUGGUGGGGUGUCUUGGAUGCAAUAAAAUGGAACAAUUCUUGUGGAUAAUUCGGCCUAGAUACAGAGUAUUGCUCUGCCUGAUUGAGGAACAAAUCUGCCAUCUUUUUCCUUUUUCUUUUUUCCUGAAUGUCUGGGGUGAACAAAUUUGAACAGGUAUUUAUCUCCUUAUAUAGUCCUGGAGUGACAUGCCUGCCUAACUAAUAAAUACUAGUCUACAACGUCAAAGAACAAGUAAUCAUGUGAUUGAAAGUAGAAGAGGAAGAGAGAUAUAAAAAGAACAAAUUUGCUCGUCAACAUGUAAACCUGAAAGCACAAAGCAAAGUUCGUUCUUGACACCUGAAAUUGAAAGGGACAUCAAACUUUGUUGUUAUAUGUUAAGCAAGAGAUACUAGAAAAUUUUAUUGAUCGUUAUUUUUGUUUGGGUAUUUACUCUUUGGUAUCUCAGCACAUGAAUGCAGAGAGCGGACGAAAUCUGCUUCAUACUUGUCAAGAAUCUUGCGUAAUCCAUUACGUGCAAUUCCUAGGUUUUUUCUUUUUUUUGGUCAAAAAUUUGUAAUUCGUUGUUUCCGACUGCUGAGUCUGCUAUUAUUGUUGUACACUUAAUACUUCAUGGAUGAGGAUCCUCUACAAAUACUAGCCUCAAUUGUAUCGUGCAGUGUAGAUACUAGUACAACAAAAAUAAACACUAAAACAAUAAAAGUAAACACUAACAUAACGACAUGUAAAAACAUAAUAAAUUUUAAGGCACAAAUUUCAAUGAAAGAGAAAAUUUAUAAUUAUGCUUUUGCUUGUGUUAAUGUCUACAUUUAUUGUUUUAAUAUCCUUAGUUACUCUACUAGUGACUACACUUAUAAACCCAAAAGUUUACCAUCCUCUUCGUGCCACUUCAUUUGAGUUUAUUUAUUGUUUGGGGUUGAUUGUUUUAUAGUAUAGCCUAUAUGGUACUUUAUUUUAUUCCCAGAAUUUGAACGGCCCAACAGGUGCUUUGUUACCAAUUUAUUUAUUACUUCUAUUCAUUAAGUUCAUUUGGAAAUGAUUAUAUUGGUGAUAGGAUCUGUAUACAAACUCAUUUUUGAAAACCUAUGCAAACAUUUACAUUGUCCUAAGAUACUAUUCUUUAUUUAAAUUUGAUGAAGUACAUACUGAUGCAAGUCAUCCUCCUAGAACACUCAAAUAAGGAAUUUUAUUCCACAAAAGCAAGAAGUUCUGGAAAAGAAAAAAUGCAACCUAUAUUGCAAUUCAAAAAGAUAUCAUUUAUUCAACCGAUAUCAUGAAUUCCCCCCGGGUUGGGGGGGGGGUUGUUGAUGGCUAUGGUCGAUGCUAGAUGGGGCAUAACAAUGCGAUGGAGAGUCCACUCACUAUACUUCUGAUCGAGACUAGUACUUCAUUUUCCGACUUUACCAAUCCUGAGAUAAACAGGGAACUUAGAAACCUUCUGAUUGUUGCCAUUUUCGGCCCAAGCAGACCGAAAUUCCUCAAUCAUGUUCUCACUCAUGAGAUCCACACCUUUUUCCAGUGCUGUUUCAUAUGCCGAACCUGAUUUUGCAUAAGCAAGUAACUCAUCCAAACUCAUCAAUUUUUCAGUCAUGAAUUCAAAUGGCCCUGUGUUCUCAGCUCCAUCCACCGGCAAAAAUGGAAAUUCAAUGCUCUUAUACUUGUCGUAAAUUAAGUUUCUGCCAGGGUGCCAGUAAGGCCUAGAAUCAACAAAGUAAAAUUUAUUAAAAACAGCAUCAACUCUUGCAUUCACUUGUGGGGUAGUAUAGCACCAUGCUGCUAUUAUUCCCUGUGGCUUCUUUAGAACCAACUGCACUUGCUGGUAGAACUUGGACGAUCAAACCAAUGGAUGGCUUGGCCAACAGUCACAAGAUCCACGGUGGCUUGUUUUGCGACAUCCCUUUCCAGCUCUUCAGCAGACAUUGUUGGAGAAGUACACUUGUAUUGCACAUUUGGAAGCCUAGAAGCUAAUUCGAGCUGUUUCUGGCUGGUAUCCGUGGCAAUCACAUUCUUGUAUAUCUUUGCUAGCUGAAAUUCAUCAACUUACAUUAUAGUCUGCUAGCCAGGCUCGUCACUUUCUUGAAAGAAAACAGAAACCAGUCAAAUGAAAAACAAUUAUUAUGGAAAGAGGACUCAGACUCACAGAUGAUGCUGCCUGUCCAUUGCCAGUGCCGGCAUCCCAGACAAGGUCAUGGUGCGGUGUCUUGGAUGCAAUGAAGUGGAACAAUUCUUCUGGAUAAUUUGGCCGGGAUUGCGAGUAAUUCUUUCCCUGUUUAAGGUACAAGUAUGCUAUUUUCUUUUUUCCCCUUACUUCGGUAGUUUAAGAUGAACAGAUCUACAGGCAUAGAUCUCUUUAUAUGGGGACUUUCUGAACCGUUCAAGUGUUCUGAGUUGAGAUUGACUUGAAUCUUUGUUUACACUUUACAGAUCUACAGCCAUCUUUUUUCCCUUUUUCUUUUCUAUUAAGGUCUGUGAUGAACAGAAUUGAGCACGUAUGCCCAUGUAAUUUAAUGGUCUACAGCGUUAAAGAACCAGUUGAUCAUGUGCCUGAGAAAGAGAGAAUUGAAGAAGAAGGGUAUAAAAGGACAAAUUUGCUUGUCAGAUGCAAACCUAAAAGCACAGAGCAAAAAUCCACUUUUGAAACCAGAAAUUGAAAGGGGCAUCAGCUUAAUUGCCGUGUGCUAAAUGCAUCGGACGUCAAUAAUGGCGGCUGUUUCGUAUGCCUCAAGAUUCUUCUGCUGCUUCCGUAAUGCAUUACGUGUAAUUCCUAGCAGGGUAACAUAUAGAAAAGCUCCUUGAUAUUAAACAAGCAUACAAAAAAGUCUUCUAUAGUUUCAAAACUUACAUUUCGAUACCUCAUGCUUUAAGCUAAUUUUAAAAAACUAUAGAAAUCGUCUGAAUUAACGAGUUUGAAAUACACGCGCUUCUUUUGAGAGUAUUUGUACUAAAAAUAUAUAAAUUUUUGUUGAUAUACAUAUUAUACCCUUAAAGUUAUAAUACAGAAAAGCUCCCUGUGGUUAAACAAACAGACAGAAAAGUCCCUUAUGAUUUCAAAUCAUACAAUCCAGUACCUCGUGGUUUGAACUAAUGUGAAAAUUGAUAAAAAAUCAUUUAAAUUAACGAGUUUGAGGUUGCUUGACAUGAAAAAUAAUUUUUUAAAUCAAAUUUUUAGCUGAUAUACCUAUUAAACCCUUAGUACUCAUAAAAUUUCCAAAAACAACCCAAAACUCCAAAUACAACUCACUUUAUUUCUAUACAUAAAAUAAAUAAAUAAAAAUUUUCAAAUAACCUUAUUUUUAUACACAAAAUAAAUAAAUAAAUAAUUCCAAAUACAACUUGCCUUAUUCCUAUGCACAAAAUAAAUAAAUAAAAGUAAGAUGUAACCAUAAGGGGCUUUUUCGUAGGUUGGCUUAACCACAGGGGUUUUUCUGUAAAUUUGCUUAAUAUGAUCGUUGUUAGAAGGUCUUUUAUUGUUUAUAUAUAUUAGGAUAAUUAUGUCAUUUCAUUCGCCUCCGUUAGUUUUGACAAUUUUUGUUCCUAUUUCAAAUUAGUUCAAACCAUGAGGGGUCAAAAUGUAUGAUUUGAAACCAUAAGGGGUUUUCCAUAGGUUAAUUUAAUCACAAGGGGCUUUUUUGUAUUUUACCCUUCCUAGUACUACUAUUCUUGUGCCCUUAAUAGGAUUCAUAGCGACCUUUGUCCCAUUGGUCCGUUGGCCACCACCAAAGAUUUUAAAUCUUGGUUGGGUGGGAGGUCAAGAGUUGCCUCCCAUUAAUGUGCUACUAUAUGUGGUUUCUUCUAAAUCCAUACAGGUGCGUAGUGCACUCAUUUGAUUCGAUGGUAGUUUAGUCCCCAUCGGUUUCUCUGGACCCGUUGGGCCUCCCCCUAGUAUAGGUAUAGUAAGAGUAGGAGUAGGUUAGACUAACUGUUGCCGUCUAAUUAAUAAAAAAAAAAGGAUUAAUAGCAAAGUUGUGUCAUCUAUGCAUGGUAGGAAGAAGCAAUAGAAAUGGGACAACACAACUAGGUGCGCCAAAACCAACUACUUUUAGAGUAGUUGGCCACCCAAAAGAGCUUUAAAGCUCUACUUGGGUGUAGGCCAAGGGAUCUGUUGAUCUACAUUCUAAUAUUCAGAUUUUUCUGAAAAUUUCACCAGCAGGUGCGUAAACCGGUGGUAGUUCACCAGGUGUCCCUUGACCUCUUUAGCUCCCUCCCUUCCCUUAAUAUAGAGUAGGAGUAGGUGUAGAAUGGAAUCUAUCGUCUCGACACAAAAAAAAAAAAAAAAAAAAACUAGAUGGGCCAAGUAAUGGACAGUUAAGGGCAAAAAAUACUAGAUGGACCAAGUAAUGGACAGUUAAGUUAAAUGCAACAACCGAACACAGGCCACAACCGGAUGUUGUACAAGGGAUCACCUUAUGGCUGCAAGUGUAUCAUCUGAAAUGAACUCAUGCUCCUCUAUGCAUUUUUGGUGCUUUGCAUUACCCCAGGAAAUGAAAGUAAUUUGAAUGUAGCUCCAAGCUUCCAAUUUGGCGGCAACUAGCGAAAAAAAAUAGCUCGAAGACCAAUUAGUAUUUGUGCGCGCUAUUAAAAAAAUGGCAAAAUAAAAGCAAAUAAAAAAUUUGGCAGUACAUGGAUAUGUUGAAAUAAAUAAUCGAAUCGAAAUUCGAAUUAACCGGUUGAUGACCGACUAUUUAUGUAGAAUUGAAAUUACAAUGUAAUUAGUGAUUGAGUUGAUGAAUGAUUAAAUUUUAUUCAAGUGAGAAAGUUAGGACAAAUAUUCUCCCAAGCAAUUAUAGAGAUGAGGGAAAAUGUAAUUAUGUAAUUAAGAUCAAAGUUUCGAGUGAACCAAAGUUCAAGUUGAACCCGAAUACAAAGGUAAGGUACAAUAUGGAUGAGAGAUCCUAAACAUAACAUAAAUAGUUUAAAGCAAACUGAAAUAUGAAGCGAAAUCAAUUAAAGUUGUUAAUUGAUGUAGCAAGAAUAGAGAUGAGAGGAUAUGUAAUUAUGACAGAUUGUCGAAACCUGUGCAAUAAUAAAAACAUGCUCAAACUAAAAGUAAUUUCUGUAGGUAGCGGUGAGCAGGGUCGAAUCCACAGGGAUUGGAAGUAAUUGUUUCUUUUCAAAUUCACAGUGACAAGGGGGUGUUUUUCUGCAGACGGUGACAAUCAAAGAAAUUCAACUAAAAUCUAAGAAGCUACUAGAAAUUAAAUAACAAAUUACUAAAAUCAAAUGGGUAAUAAUUAAGGAUCUAACCAAGAAAUAAUUUCAGCAAUGGUUCACCUAAUUGAUCAUCGAUGCAAAGCCAAUUCCAAUUAUUUACCAAUAAAUAGGUUAUAACUGCCAAACAAGCGAUGACAGUCAACCCCUCCUUACUGUGUCGCUGAUUAAGGUACGCCCGUUAAUCACUACUCUAAUUGAGAAAUAAUUCUAGAUACGCCCAUAAGAUUUAAUUCCCCAAUUGCCUUACGUAUUAGAGGAGCCCUAUUCUAACCAAAUAACGCACUACCAGGGUUAUUUUAGGUUAGCCCGCGUAUUCCCCUGACACAAACCCAAUCAUGCCAGUUAUCACUAUUUUGGGACAAUUAAACAAUUACGGAUUUAACGUCCCAAUUGACAAUAGAUUAUUAAAUUAACCAAUUAUCCGGAUCCAAAACAAUCAAUUAAUUAAAUAAUCAUAAGCACUACAAUCAAGGAAUAUGCGAAUACCAAUAAAUAAAAGAAAAAGAUGAAAUUAAAUCGAUCUCACAAUUUUUAGGCGAACCAAAGCCUCCGUUGUUCCUUGACUAGAGCGAAAAAAAUUAGUUCAUAUUGGAUCCAAAAAACCCACACAAAAUUGAAGAGAGAGCAGCGGCCAUCAAUUGGGUAAAUUCACAUCGUUGGAAUACUGUCGAAAAAGUGAAGGUAGAGGAAAUAAUUCGUGGCUUUGUUUUUGGUCUUCACAUCCGAGGAAGAAAGGCCAAUAUGAAUCCAAAAGGAAAGUCAAAAUUCCUAAGCUACGCUACAAGACGAAAAACUAAAGAAGACCAGAGGAUAGUGCUCCUCUCCUGCAAUCUUAAUUCCUAUUCUAUCUAAAUGCUCUCCAAUGUGCGGCGGCUCUCCUUCCGGAGAGGAAGAAGCCUCUGGACGCCCUCUCAGGUUUGCUUUCUUUUUCCUUUUUUAGUUGCUGUCUUCGGUCAAAAUUACCAAAAAGGUCUUGCAUCUCCUUGUUCCAAGAAUGUCCUUGAUUGCCUGCUAUUCGAACUCUUUCCCGAUGACUGUCAAAUUGGCCUUGAUUGUGAUAUUUUUGUUCUACUCCCUGAAAUAAAUACAAAAUACUAAAAGUGAAUAGAAUCCAACAAUUAAUCCACACCAGAUCAGGUAAUAGGGGAAAUUAAUAAUAAAUUAAAUAGUAAAAUUGCAACCUAUCAAUUCCCCCCACACCUAAACCAUGCUUGUCCUCAAGCAUGAUAACAGCAAACAAACCCAAUGUUUGACAAAGACUAUUGCCCUAUCUACCAUAUUGCCAAGACACCAAGAAAAACAUAGAUCGAGUCUCAGUGAUCAAGAUCCAAGAAACAUCACUCCGGUUAGCUUCUAAACUACAAACUCCUCCAAUUUCAGGUUAACUAAUCUAAGAAAAAGGAAUGACACACAACAUUUAUCAGCAAAUGGUCCAACUAUUAACCAAAAUCUCAACAUUAAAUCCAUAAAUCGGCAAGCUGACUUUUAUUAUACACUAACGCAACAUUCACUUUUUUUUCAUGUUUUUCUAUUUUUCUUUUUUUUCUCUCUUUUUUUUUAAUAGUACUCCCUCUGUCCCGAAAACUUUGUCGUGCUUUGGGAGCUGAACUUUUUAUGCGCCAGUGUUAAGUUUCAGAUUUGUUUUCCGAUUUUGCCACUAGAAUGUGUGGUCAUUAGUGGUUAAGGAGACAAAAAUGACAUGUGGGGCCAAAACUACUUACAAGAAAUGCAAUCGCCAACAGAGAGUGAUUCUCACGCAUCACUUUAAACCUUGUGUGUAUCUCACGGAUGUCUUGCAACUUGAGUUGCAAGCAAAUGAAAAUCAAAGGGCCCCACUAAUAAAAGUAAAGAGUGAGGGAAUCUUGAAGGGUAAAAAUUGAAACAAGAGAAUUUUUGUUUUCCAUUUUGAGUAUGUGACAAACAUUUUGGGACAGACCAAAAUGGAAAGCAUGACAGUUUCAAUGGGACGGAGGGAGUAACACAAGACUUAGUCUCUGGCCAUUGAAACUUUUUGACGCGAACUCCGACAUUUGUCAGAUGAAAGAACCCGGUAACUCAGCUCCUAUCGCCACGUGACCACGCACUCAUAGCAAUUACUACUUUUUGAUGCGAGAAUCGACAGUUUUGGUGAAGAUCUCCAGUUACUCAGUAGUAAAUACUAGCGGAGUACAGUCAACUCUUAUUCACAGCCAAAGAACACCAAAAAUUCAAAAUAACACAAAAAUCAAAAGAAAAUUUGUUGCCGCUAGCCUCAUUUUCAAACAUGGAGAACUAAGGUUAAUAACCGGACCAAUUCACAUGAAAAUGCCAACAAUCAUUCCCUAUGCCAAGGAAAGUUAACUAAAAAUUAUAAAAGUCACGCAGUCGUCGAUAUUCACCACAGAGAUGUUCUUGAAUUCAACCACAUUAACUUGAUACCCUUUUUAUUAAAAACUUGGCAAUAGCAGAAUUAGAGACAACAAUCCAACAUCAAACUUUGGUAUUCACAUGAGAGCUAAGCACUAAAAAGAAAGAAAGAGACUAAACGAAAGAUAGACAAAUAACAAACUAGAAAUAAAGGAAAAACCCCUAAAAACUAAAAACUACUAAAAACUAGAACCACAACUGAUCCCCCCACACCUAAAUGACACAUUGCCCUCAAUGUGACGAAUAAACAGUAAUAGCAAGAAGAAGGGCAACGGUACUUCCCUGAGAUCGUCAAAACAUCGGCGAGUGAGGCCCAAAAGGAGGAGGAAAGACGACGUGCUGCAUAAAUGCCGCUAGUUUCUGGGCAAUAUUGGCCACAUUGGCGUCAAUAUUCUUCACUCCAGCAUCCAAAGUGUCAACCUGCUAACAUUAGCAAUUGAUCCAAGAAAUGGCAACUCCAGCAAAACCAGUUCAGAAGUUGGACAGAAAUAACUCAAUCACAAAUGCCCAGUGGUCACAACUCGAUCAAUUAGGCAACCAAUAACACAAGAUUAACAAAUGUUAAACAACCACCAUCGCCAGUACCACCGGUGAAUGCACAGGGAGAAAUUAAACCAAAUGGCUAGCCCAAAUCACUUGAUAAAUCCAAACACACCACUCAGUACCAAGGAAUAGUAGAGAUUAGAACGGGAAUCAAUUGACAAGUAACUCCUUAAAUCGCCCCCAAAUAAUGCACCAAUUUUACUCAACGGGACAAGGGAUAGUGCUAGUGCUCGAAUAAAUCAACAAAUGUCUCCAAUUCAAGAAAUCAACAACUCAACUUAACAGCACUGAGGAAGCUCGCAACGGCUACUAGAAUGUCUCACGGAGCAAAAGAACCACAAAGCCUUCAACGGAGCCCCAAAAAUUGACAACUAAGAAUGCGAAAGACUAAAGGGCAACUCGGAAACAGAGGGACUCAGAGGUACCUGCCCACUGCCCAACGGUGUCGUUGGUGGCAGUGGGUACGGAACCGGCAAGGGCGGGGCGGCGGUCGCGACUAGGAGAGUAGGGGCUGCGAUGAGCUGGUGGAUGUGUACAGGCGAGGUGGAGAGGCGCGCGAGGCUUGUUACUGCGACGAGCUGGAUUGGCUGCACGGCUGGAGUGCGACGGCGACGAACGAGGUGGAUGAAUCGCGCGCGGUGGAGAGGAGGAGCGGCCGCCGCUGUUGGCGGCCGUGGGCUGAUAGAGUCGGCUGUGGAUGACACACGACACACGAGCAGCGGCGGUGGUGGUCGUGUGACUGUAGGCCGAGGCAGCGCGCGUCGUCGCUCGGCAUUGUCGUCGCGCGGUGAAGGAGAUGGCGGUGGGCGUGAUGUGUGCUCGGCCGAAAAAGAGGAAGAAACAGGGGAAGAAAGAAAGAAAAUAGAAAGAAAGAAGAAGAAAGAAAGGAAAGGAAGAAAAAGAAAGGAAAGGAAGGAAAAGAAAAAGAAAAUAGUAUUUGUGUUUUUUAUUUUUUUUCUUUAUUUUUUUUUGCUUUUUCGUUUUAUUUUUCACUUUAGAAAUUUUUUUUUGUUUUUAUGGAAAGACUCCCUAUUUUUUCUCCUUGUUACUUACUUGAAAAUUUUUUUUUUUGAAAUUUUUUUUUAAAUAUAUCAUUAUUUUUAUUAUUAUUGACAAAAUUUAUUUUUGGACUUCAAAAGUAGGGAUUAACAGAAAAUCAAUAAUCGUUCUUGAGUUUUUUUUGAAUACUUACCUUUCCGCGAACAUGACGCGGGCACGUCAUGAAGGCACGGAAUUUGGAGCUUUCCAGGUUACUUGACGCGGGCACGUCAAGAGGGUAGGAACCCUUUUUGACGAAUCUGACCGUGGGCUCUUCAUACGUCAUGACGCGGGCACGUCAUGAGGGCAAGAACCCCUUCUGACGAUUUUGACCGUGAGCUCUUCAUACGUUAUGACGCGGGCGCGUCAUGUCAAAGGGAUGCCUGUGGAUCAUCAAAAACGAAAAUUAAAGUCAAAAAUCAGUCAAAUCCAAGGAAAAAUAUAUUUAAACUGACGAACAAAAAAUGAACAAAUAACUAAAAGAAAUCGGGUUGCCUCCCAAUGAGCGCCCUUCUUUAAUGUCUUUGGCUAGACAUUAUCAUGCUUUGUUCAUGAAGGAUAAAAUCUUGUGGCUCGUCUUAAUGCUUCAUCCUCUGUAUAGUCCUGAUAGCCAUCGUAAAUAGAGUAAUCCUUGGUCACAUGAGUUACAGACAUCCAUGAACUAGUAAAUUGCGCUAAACAAGUCAACGAUAACUUGCAUUCUCCAUUCACUCCUCCCUCACUUGCAUUUAUUGGUUCAAGAUAUCUUGCCGUCGCCACUCUUAAUUUAUUCCUGUCAUGAAAUUCAAAAUUUUCUGUAUAAUAAAGUCAAUUUCAUUAACAGGAAUUGAAUAAUAAGAGUCAGGAGAAUAUUGAUGAAGGAGUGGAGGAGAUGUCACCGCAUUUGGAGAUUGUUCACUGGAUUCAUUCACUGAAUGAGUUGAUCCUGGAGUCUCAUUUCUUGCACUUCAACUUCCUUUUCAACUGCAUCUUUAAACCCAUUUUUUUGAAACUCUUGUAGUUCCAUGUCUUUUGACCGCGAUAAUUGCACUCUCAUCUUCUUCAAGGUUAAUAUUGAUUUGUGAGGGCAAUUCUUCAAGGUGAGAAGCUAAUCGCGCUAUCCUGGAUGUCAAUUGGUUCAUUUGAUCCGUCAGGUUACGCAUGCUCGCUUGUGUCUCCUGAUGAAAUCAAUAUGUAUUAGUAGCAAAUAAUUCAAUCAAUUCCUGAAAAAACAUACCUGACAUGGAUGAUGGUUGUUGAGACUCUUGCUGUUGAAAACCUAUCGGCCCGGUCGCGUAAUUAAAAUUGGAAUCAUCCCACCAUCCUUGAUCAUACCUAUUUGGGUAAGGGUCAUACCACGUUUGAAAUCGAGGUGAAAAAUCUCCAAAAGUAUCAAUUGGAGCACUUAGAUUAUCUUGAAAUGCAGGGCGUGUGUCGGUUGAAUAACUUGAGGCAAAAUAAGUUCCACAAUUUGCAACAGUCCAUUGAUCAUUAGGAAAAAUCUAUCCAGAAACUCUCUAUGUGGGAGCUUUCUCUCUCUAAAACAGAGAGCUUUUUCUCCUCUGUGUGGGAGCUUGGAAAUUUCAAAACAAAAAGCCCGCCCAAAUUGAAUUUACACUCUGUUCAUUGAAACCAAGCAUACUGAAUCCAAAAACAACACUAAAUCUUCACCUGAAACCCGUAUCUCAGAGCUAAAGUGACAACUCAGAAGUAGAAGCAGGAGCUAGCUGAGAGGAAUCAACGAAGACAAUAUGGUUAAUGGAGAGCAUCUAUGAACUCCCAAAGUAAGACAUACUGACACUGGAGUCAUCAAAGCUGGCCUGACGAGAGCUAAGGCAGCUUUCUCUUUACUCAGGUUAGGCCUGCGAAGCCCUAAAAUUCCAGGUUUCACAGUCCUUAACUACUCUACUAGAUUUCAUUCAUCUGCAUAUGCAUAAGCAUUUCGUAGGUUGUCUUUGUUUUGCCUAUCUGGUAAUGCACUUACCUAGUGAAGACAGUAGUCUGGCGUUCUUUCUCGCUGGUUUUGUCAGGUUCUAUCAUUUGCUCACAUUAUUGGUAGAGGAAUACCUCUUAGAUUCACUAGGCUCCAUGGCUGAUGAACUGGAGGAAGUUUUAAAGAAAUUUGCUUUAUCUAUCUAGAGAAGGAGGGCGAGCAUGGUUGGAGUUGGAUGAUAUCAGUCCAGGGAUUACUGAGUGCAAAAAUAGUAUCAUUGGAAAGAUUAGAGGAGAAAAUGUUGCAAAUUUUACUGGAGUAAAGAAUUUCGUGACUGCAGCUUGGGUUACCCAAAAGAUCUUGCAAUGGCAGAACUAUGGCCUAACUUGUUUCAGUUCUUCAUUCCAGAUGAGGAGAGUGGCUUGAGAAUCCUUUGCGGUGGACCAUGGUUGAUAGAUAGCCAGAUACUGAUACUAAAUAGAUGGGAGGCUGGAAUUGAGGAAAAUACUGAGGCCUUCACAGGUUGCUCCACUAUGGCAUACAAGUAUGGAAUUUGCCUAUUCACUGGAUAUCUAAAGAAGCUUGGGAGGAAGAUUGGGAAAGUCUUCAAGGAGGUGAAGCGAGGUUCUAGUCUCCCACACAGUGGUAAGAAAGGGAAGCAUCUAAAGAUGCUAGUGAGUGCAGACAUGACCCAACCACUUCUAAGAGGUACAGCAGUGAAGAUGAAUGGAGUGCUAAAAUGGAUUAACUUUAGGUACGAAAGAGUGCCUGACUUUUGCUACAAGUGUGGAAUUGUUGGUCACAGUGAAAAGAAAUGUAAGAACGAGGUGUACAUUCAGAAGGGGCAAACGAGAAUCAGUAUGGUCCCUGCUGCGUGCACAGAGUGGGAAAGGAUCCCCACAAAAAGAGAGUAAAUCCAGUUCAUACAACCCGGAUAGACAGGUCUGGAAUUUCCAAAAUGGGGAAUGGAUUAAGAAGAGCAGUGGGAAAAAUGCAGAACAAGAAGCUAAUCUUACCAGGUCUGAGAGUACCAAAUUCAUAGCUUUGCCCAAGAGUACAGUCACUGUGGUGGACUAUAAUGAAAGGCCUGGGGAGAGGAUAGAGGAAUCAGGCAAGGAAGAUGAGGAGCUCCUGGAGGCUCAAGAGGCUGAUGGGGACAAAAGUGUGGAGGAAGGGGUUACAAAUGAGGAUAAGAUGGAAGCAGACUCAACAGAGUGUGAGAUGGGGAUCACAUUCCUAGCUGAAACGAAUCCAUCCAAAUCAGGAGGACUAGGGAUUACGAAUCCAGAAAAGAGAAUGGUGGAAAGGAAGACUAAGCCUAUAGACAUGAUGGUGGAUGAGGAGGAUCCAGUCCAGGCUAAGGGAAGUGGAAUAAAGGGGAGAGAAAAGUAAGGCUAUGGUAUAAGAAGAACGACAGAGAUAGGCUACCUCUAAAAGAGAUUCAGAAUCUAGAGGUCAGAAAAGGUGUUAACACUAAGAGGAAACUGCAAAUUGUUGAUGAGGUAACGCUGGAUAUGGAACCUUCUGAGCUAAAUGCUAAAAGGAACAAAUAAGAGAUGAAUUGGCCUUCAAUGGUCAGAUGCUAAGGGGGAAGAGACCAGCCCAUCUUGGUCUCUCAACCUUAAAUGAGGAUCAUGGUGUGGAACUGUCAAGGUGCAGGAGCCCUUGACAGUUCCCCAUUUGAAGGAGGAAAUAGACUCCUCUCCCUAGUAUCAUUUUUCUAAGUGAAACAAAAAACAGAAACAGGUAUAUGGAAAAAGUAAAAAAAAUUCUGAAUUUUGAAAACAGCUUUUGUAGUAGAGGCUAUGAAUAGAAGUGAUGGGAUGGCUCUUUUUGGAAUAAUGAUGUCAAGGUUUCAGAAGUACGAGGCACAGCCUUUACCAUUGAGGCUAAGGUGGAGGAUGAAGAGAAAAAGGAAACCUGGUGUUUAUUGGAAUUUAUGCAAGCUAUGAUAGUCAAACAAGGAAAGGGCAGUGGGAAGUCUUGAAUAGAAGGAAAGCAGGAUGGGGUGAAAAAUGAUUAUCAUGGCGACUUCAACGACAUCACCUCAAAUGAUGAAAAAUGGGGUGGAAGGAGGAGAGAGAAUAGAAGCUUCCAAGACUUUAGAAAGUUAUAAAUGAGAAUCAAUUAAUGGAUGUUGGGUUUGUAGGGAAGUCGUGGACUUGGAGCAAUAACUGGUAAUGGGAAUGGCGAAGUAAAAGAGAGGCUAGACAGAGGCUUAUGCUCCACUGCAUGGUCACAGUGUUAUGAGGAUGCUAAGUGUUCACACAUUGAAUCGCAUGCCUCUGAUCACAGCAUGUUGGUAUUAGAAACUGAUAAGGAAGGAAAAUAUGGAAAAAGAGAUUUCAGUUCGAUAAAAGAUGGCUCCAACAUGAUGAGAUUGAGAAAGUGGUGAAGGAGGCUUGGAAUGCCCAGUGCGAUGGAACUAGAUGGUUCAAGGUGAAACAGAAAAUAAAGAAUUGUAGAGUUGAACUACUUAAGUGGAGCAGCAGUAAGAAAGGGAACUCAUUAGAAAGGAUAAAUUGGUGCAAAAACCAGAUUGAGGAAAUUAAGGCAUCAGAGGCUGAAAACAAAAGGCAGAGGGUGCAGGACAUGAAAGAACAGCUGAAGUUGGCUUAUGAGAAUGAAGAGGCGUAUUGGAAUCAGAAGGCUAUAGUACGAUGGCUAAAAGAGGGUGACAAAAACACUCAAUUCUUCCAUGCAACAGUUAAGGGGAGGAGGAAAAGAAAUAGACUUCAGAAAUUGAAAAAAUCAAAUGGAGAAUGGACUAUAAAUGAUAAAGAGUUGGAUAAGGAAAUAGCUAACUAUUAUGGAGAUUUGUUCAAGAGUUCAGGGUCGGGGGAGCUGGAGGACAUCUUAGAGGGGAUUCCUGCCUCCAUUACUGAGCAAAUGAAUAGAGACCUGACCAAAAAAGUAGAGGAAGAGGAAAUCAAGGCUGCUUUCUUCUCUAUGGAUCCUAAUACGGCUCCUGGAAGUGAUGGCAUGUCUCCACUCUUUUUUCAAAAAUUCUGGAGCAUUAUUAAGCAGGACCUGGUAAGUGCAAUUCAAGGUUUCUUUCACAAUAGUGUAAUUCUCAAAGCCAUAAAUCACACGGUCAUUUCUUUGAUCCCUAAAGUGGACUGUCCUACUGAGAUCAAACAGUUUAGACCUAUAAGCCUGUGCCAAGUGGUCUAUAAAGCCCUUGCUAAAAUUCUUGUCAAUAGACUAAAGCCAUUCUUGUCUAGAUGUAUCAGCAAAAACCAAUCUGCAUUUGUUCCAGGUAGGCAAAUUAUAGAUAAUGUCAUCCUAUCUCAUGAAUUGAUGCAUUUCUUGAAAAACAAAAGACAUGGUAGAGUUGGUAUGAUGGCUGUGAAACUGGAUAUGUCAAAGGCCUAUGACAGGGUGGAGUGGGACUUCCUGAAAGCUAUAAUGGAAAGAAUAGGGUUCUGCCACAAGUGGAUACAAUGGGUUACUGCUUGCAUAAGUUCAGUGACUUACUCAUUCAAUAUAAAUGGUGAACAGAAGGAGUUCAUAACCCCAUCCAGAGGCAUAAGGCAAGGCGAUCCACUCUCACCAUACCUGUUUCUAAUGUGCUCAGAAGGAUUAUCUAAUCUGCUACAGAAAGCUAAGGUGGGAAAGGAGCUAAUAGGAAUCAAAAUUAGUAGAGGGGCACCAGCAAUCACUCAUCUGUUUUUUGCUGAUGACUCUCUAGUAUUUUGCAAAGCUAAUAGGCCAGAAGCUGGGAAGCUCAUGAAGAUCCUCAAAGUCUAUGAAAAGGCAACAGGUCAGCAAAUUAACACGGACAAAUCCUCAGUUUUCUUCAGUAAAAAUACAACUCAAUUAGUGAGGGAGGAAGUCUGUCAUACAAUGGGGUCUAUACAGCAGAUAGGACAAGGUCAAUACCUGGGCUUACCUAUGAUCAUAACAAAAUCUAAGGAGCAGGUGUUUGGGUUCAUUAAAAAUUCUAUUGAUAAAAAGCUGCAGGGAUGGAAAAACAAGCUACUAAGCCAGGCAGGGAAAGAAGUGAUGUUAAAAGCAGUAGCCAUGGCCAUGCCAAUUUACACCAUGUCGUGUUUCAAAUUGUCUACCAAGCUGUGCAGAGACAUUAGUGCUAAAAUGGCAGAUUACUGGUGGGGGAGUCUGAAGGGAGGAAAAGGAUGCAUUGGAUUGGCUGGAAGAAGCUGUCAGAUAGGAGAAGUAGUGGAGGAAUGGGCUUCAAGGACUUGCAAAUUUUCAAUAGAGCUCUGCUGGCCAAACAAGUUUGGAAGUUAUUAACACAACCAAACUUGUUAGUCAGCAGAGUUCUAAAGGAAAAAUACUACCCCAGACAAUCACUCUUCUCCAGUAAGGUCCCUCAGAAUGCCUCCUGGAUAUGGCAAAGUUUAGCUGCUGUAAGAGAAGAAGUCCAAAAUGGAGUCAAGAGGAAAAUAGGGAAUGGCAAAGGAACACGAAUUUGGGAGGAUGACUGGAUUCCAGAGAGCCCAGAUGGGAAACCAACAACAGGAAGGCCUCUAGGGUGUCAACUUCAGCAUGUAUCAGACCUCAUCACCCAUAACAGAUGGAAUGCCGUCCUGAUAUUCAGAAUCUUUAAUCAGCAAGAUGCAGAGAGAAUUCUGAAAAUACCUAUAAGCCUAACAGGGAAAGUAGAUAGCCAUUACUGGAUGCAUUCUCAGAAUGGCCAAUACACAGCUCAAUCUGGGUAUAAGAUGUGGAAGAAGGAAAAGGAACUGGAGAGUGCAAGAAGGAGGGAAGAUGCUAGUCCAAGCUAUGAAGGAAAUAUCAGAAGAGUCUGGAAAACUCUAUGCAGCAGAAGGUGAGUCAGAAAAUGAAAGUGUUCAUAUGGAAGUGUUUGCAUGGGGGACUUCCCGUGAGAGGCGAAAUAUAUAGAAGAACAAGACAAGGUGUCCCUAUAUGCACAGGGUGUGGGGAAAAGGAAGAAACAAUCGAACAUCUUCUGUUCCAAUGCAACAGAGCAAAGGAAAUAUGGAAAUUUUCACCAGUUCAGUGGGAUGGAGUACAGCUAACAUCAGACUGCUUCAUCAAAUGGUGGUCUGCAAUCAUAGAAGCCCAACAUGAAAGAGGAGGGGAAGAUCAGGUGAAUCUAACUAUAAACAUUCUCUGGCAAAUCUGAAAAGCCAGGAAUGAGAGGGAAUUUAAUCAAAAGGAAAGGGAACCUCAUAAGAUAAUACAGAAAGCCAUGAAAGAAUGGAUGGAGUUUGAUGAGGCUAACAAAGGGAAGGUGAAUAGGAAGAACACUCAGCGAACAGAAGUUCAAAAUUGUACUGAGCAAUUGCAGGGUCAAAGAGAGAUCCAAGCCAGCCUGAUGAUCAAGGUCCACACUCAUCAAGAUGCAAGACAAAAAAUGGUGGGGAUUGGAGUCUCAGCUACUGACUCUUCAGGACGUCUUCAAGCAUGUUGGGCAAUGAGAGAAAGAAUGUCUGCAGAACCAAUACAAGACCAAGCUGGUGCGGUAAGACUUGCACUUCUGAAUGCGAUCAGCCAAGGAUGGAGGAACAUUAGAGUGGAGCUGGAAAAUAGGGUGCUGGUAGAGUGCAUAAAAAACACUCGACAGCAACCAUCUGAUGGCUACUCUAAUAGAAGACAUCCAGUGCAUAAGUAAUCUGUUUCAAAAUUGUUCCUUCUCUUUUGUUAGUUCAGGGUUUGUGGGAUGUAUCAAGUUGAGCAUGCAUGCUCUAAACAUCUGUGUAGAUGAAGAAUGGGUGAAUCCCAAUCUUAGGUGUUAGGCACCAAUGUUUUUGUAGGACCUUUGUCCUCUUGCUUGGACCUUUGUCCAAAUAUUGUAAAUUUUCGGUUAUUUCUAUAAAGCUAACGUUUCGACAAAAAAAAAAUUGAUCAUUAGGAAAAACACGAGUCUCAUAACCCCAUUCAGGAAUAAAGUCCAGUCUAUCAUCAAAAUACGGAAUGAUAGCAGCCAUAAACUAAAAAAAAAUAGAAAAAAACAAUUAAAAAAAAAUAUCAAAACAAGAUGAACUCAAAAAGAAACAAAUUAAUCCAGCACCAGUCCCCGGCAACGGCGCCAAAAAUUGACAGGUUGUCGAAACCUGUGCUAUAAUAAAAACCUGCUCAAACUAAAAGUAAUUUCUGUAGGUAGCGGUGUGUAGGGUCGAAUCCACAGGGACUGGGAGUAAUUGUUUCUUUUCAAAUUCACAGUGACAAGGGGGUGUUUUUCUGCAGACGGUGACAAUCAAAGAAAUUCAACUAAAAUCUAAGAAGCUACUAGAAAUUAAUAACAAAUUACUAAAAUCAAAUGGGUGAUAAUUAAGGAUCUAACCAAGAAAUAAUUUCAGCAAUGGUUCACCUAAUUGAUCAUCGAUGCAAAGCCAAUUCCAAUUAUUUACCAAUAAAUAGGUUAUAACUGCCAAACAAGCGAUGACAGUCAACCCCUCCUUACUGUGUCGCUGAUUAAGGUACGCCCGUUAAUCACUACUCUAAUUGAGAAAUAAUUCUAGAUACGCCCAUAAGAUUUAAUUCCCCAAUUGCCUUACGUAUUAGAGGAGCCCUAUUUCUAACCAAAUAACGCACUACCAGGGUUAUUUUAGGUUAGCCCGCGUAUUCCCCUGACACAAACCCAAUCAUGCCAGUUAUCACUAUUUUUGGGACAAUUAAACAAUUACGGAUUUAACGUCCCAAUUGACAAUAGAUUAUUAAAUUAACUAAUUAUCCGGAUCCAAGACAAUCAAUUAAUUAAAUAACCAUAAGUACUACAAUCAAGAAAUAUGCGAAUACCAAUAAAUAAAAAAAAAGAUGAAAUUAAAUCGAUCUUACAAUUUUUAGGCGAACCAAAGCCUCCGUUCUUCCUUGAUUAGAGCGAAAAAAAUUAGUUCAUAUUGGAUGCGAAAAACUCAGACAAAAUUGAAGAGAGAGCAGCGGCCAUCAAUUGGGUAAAUUCACGUCGUUGGAAUACUGUCAAAAAAGUGAAGGCAGAGGAAAUAAUUCGUUUUGUUUAUGAUCUUCACAUCCGAGGAAGAAAGGCCAAUAUGAAUCCAAAAGGAAGGUCAAAGUUCCUAAGCUACGCUACAAGGCGAAAAACUAAAGAAGACCAGAGGAUAGUGCUCCUCUCCUGCAAUCUUAAUUCCUAUUCUAUCUAAAUGCUCUCCAAUGUGCGGCGGCUCUCCUUCCGGAGAGGAAGAAGCCUCUGGACACCCUCUCAGGUUUGCUUUCUUUUUCCUUUUUUAGUUGCUGUCUUCGGUCAAAAUUACCAAAAAGGUCUUGCAUCUCCUUGUUCCAAGAAUGCCCUUGAUUGCCUGCUAUUCGAACUCUUUCCUGAUGACUGUCAAAUUGGCCUUGAUUGUGAUAUUUUUGCUCUACUCCCUGAAAUAAAUACAAAAUACUAAAAGUGAGUAGAAUCCAACAAUUAAUCCACACCGGAUCAGUAAUAGGGGAAAUUAAUAAUAAAUUAAAUAGUAAAAUUGCAACCUAUCAAUUCCCCCCACACCUAAACCAUGCUUGUCCUCAAGCAUGAUAACAGCAAACAAACCCAAUGUUUGACAAAGACUAUUGCCCUAUCUACCAUAUUGCCAAGACACCAAGAAAAACAUAGAUCGAGUCUCAGUGAUUAAGAUCCAAGAAAAAUCACUCCGGUUAGCUUCUAAACUAUAAACUCCUCCAAUUUCAGGUUAACUAAUCUAAGAAAAAGGAAUGACACACAACAUUUAUCAGCAAAUGGUCCAACUAUUAACCAAAAUCUCAACAUUAAAUCCAUAAAUCGGCAAGCUGACUUUUAUUAUACACUAACACAACAUUCACUUUUUUUUUCAUGUUUUCUAUUUUUCUUUUUUUUCUCUCUUUUUUUUUUAAUAGUAACACAAGACUUAGUCUCUGGCCAUUGAAACUUUUUGACGCGAACUCCGACAUUUGUCAGAUGAAAGAACCCGGUUACUCAGCUCUAUCGCCACGUGACCACGCACUCAUAGCAAUUACUACUUUUUGAUGCGAGAAUCGACAGUUUUGGUGAAGAUCCCCGGUUACUCAAUAGUAAAUACUAGCGGAGUACAGUCAACUCUUAUUCACAGCCAAAGAACACCAAAAAUUCAAAAUAACACAAAAAUCAAAAGAAAAUUUGUAGCCGCUAGCCUCAUUUUCAAACAUGGAGAACUAAGGUUAAUAACAAGACCAAUUCACAUGAAAAUGCCAACAAUCAUUCCCUAUGCCUAGGAAAGUUAACCAAAAAUUAUAAAAGUCAUGCAGUCGUCGAUAUUCACCACAGAGAUGUUCUUGAAUUCAACCACAUUAACUUGAUACCCUUUUAUUAUUAAAACUUGGCAAUAGCAGAAUUAGAGACAACAAUCCAACAUCAAACUUUGGUAUUCACAUGAGAGCUAAGCACUAAAAAGAAAGAAAGAGACUAAACGAAAGAUAGACAAAUAACAAACUAGAAAUAAAGGAAAAACCCCUAAAAACUAAAACUACAAAAACUAUAACCACAACUGAUCCCCCCACACCUAAAUGACAAAUUGCCCUCAAUGUGACAAAUAAACAGUAAUAGCAAGAAGAAGGGCAACGGUACCUCCCAGAGGUCGUCAACACAUCGGCGAGUGAGGCCCAAAAGGAGGAGGAAAGACGACGUGCUGCAUAAAUGCCGCUAGUUUCUGGGCAAUAUUGGCCACAAUGGCGUCAAUAUUCUUCACUCCGGCAUCCAAAGUGUCAACCUGCUAACAUUAGCAAUUGAUCCAAGAAAUGGCAACUCCAGCAACACCAGUUCAGAAGUUGGACAGAAAUAACUCAAUCACAAAUGCCCAGUGGUCACAACUCGUUCAAUUAGGCAACCAAUAACACAAGAUUAACAAAUGCUAAACAACCACCAUCGCCAGUACCACCGGUGAAUGCACAGGGAAAAAUUAAAUCAAAUGGCUAGCCCAAAUCACUUGAUAAAUCCAAACAUACCACUCAGUACCAAGGAAUAGUAGAGAUUAGAACGGGAAUCAAUUGACAAGUAACUCCCUAAAUCGCCCCCAAAUAAUGCACCAAUUUUACUCAACGGGACUAGGGAUAGUGCUAGUGCUCGAAUAAAUCAACAAAUGUCUCCAAUUCAAGAAAUCAACAACUCAACUUAACAGCACUGAGGAAGCUCGCAACGGCUACUAGAAUGUCUCACGGAGCAAAUGAACCACAAAGCCUUCAACGGAGCCCCAAAAAUUGACAACUAAGAAUGCGAAAGACUAAAGGGCAACUCGGAAACAGAGGGACUCGGAGGUACCUGCCCACUGCCCAACGGUGUCAUUGGUGACAGUGGGUAGCGGAACCGGCAAAGGGCGGCGGCGGCGAUCGCGACUAGGAGAGUAGGGGCUGCGAUGAGCUGGUGGAUGUGUACCAGCGAGGUGGAGAGGCGCGCGAGGCUUGUCACAGCGACGAGCUGGGUUGCCACGGCUGGAGUGUGACGGCGGCGAACGAGGUGGAUGAAUCGCGCGUGGUGGAGAGGAGGAGCGGCCGCCGCUUAGCAACCGUGGGCUGACAGAGUCAGCUGUGGACGACGCGCGGCACACAAGCAGCGGCGGUGGUGGUCGUGUGACUGUAGGCCGGGGGCAGCAUGCGUCGCUCGGCAUUGGUCGCGGUGAAGGAGAUGGCGGUGGGCACGAGGUGUGCUCGGCCGAAAGAAAAGAAGAAACAGGGGAGAAGAAAGAAAAAAAGAGAAAGAAAGAAGAAGAAAGAAAUGAAAGAAAGAAAAAGAAAGAAAAAGAAAAGGAAAGGAAGGAAAAGAAAAAGAAAAUAGUAUUUGUGUUUUUUCUUUUUUUUUUUUGCUUUUUCGUUUUUCUUUCAUUUUAGAAAAUUUUUUUUUUGUUUUUAUGGAAAGACUCCCUAUUUUUUUCUCCUUGUUACUUACUUGAAAAUUUUUUUUUUGAAAAUUUUUUUUUGAAUAUAUCAUUUUUUUAUUAUUACUGACAAAAUUUAUUUUUGGACUUCAAAAGUAGGGAUUAACAGAAAAUCAAUAAUCGUUCUUGAAUUUUUUUUGAAUACUUACCUUUCCCGCGAACAUGACGCGGGCACGUCAUGAAGGCACGGAAUCUGGAGCUUUUCAGGUUAAUUGACGCGGGCACGUCAAAAGGGUAGGAACCCUUUUUGAUGAAUCUGACCGUGAGCUCUUCAUACGUCAUGACGCGGGCACGUCAUGAGGGCAAGAACCCCUUCUGACAAUUUUGACCGUGAGCUCUUCAUACGUCAUGACGCGGGCGCGUCAUAUCAGAGGGAUGCCUGUGAAUCAUCAAAAAUGAAAAUUAAAGCCAAAAAUCAGCCAAAUCUAAGGAAAAAUAUAUUUAAACUAACGAACAAAAAAUGAACAAAUAUCUAAAAGAAAUUGGGUUGCCUCCCAAUGAGCGCCCUUCUUUAAUGUCUUUGACUAGACAUUAUCAUGCUUUGUUCAUGAAGGAUAAAAUCUUGUGGCUCGUCUUAAUGCUUCAUCCUCUAUAUAGUCCUGAUAGCCCUCGUAAAUAAGUAAUCCUUGAGCACAUGAGUUACAGACAUCCAUGGACUAGUAAAUGGCGCUAAACAAGUCAACGAUAACUUGCAUUCUCCAUUCACUCCUCCCUCACUUGCAUUUAUUGGUUCAAGAUAUCUUGUUGUCGCCACUCUAAUUUUAUUCCUGUCAUGAAAUUCAAAAUUUUCUGGUAUAAUAAAGUCAAUUUCAUUAACAGGAAUUGAAGAAUAAGAGUCAGGAGAAUAUUGAUGAAGGAUUGGAGGAGAUGUCACCGCAUUUGGUGAUUGUUCACUGGAUUCAUUCACUUGAAUGAGUUGAUCCUGGAGUCUCAUUUCUUGCACUUCAGCUUCCUUUUCAACUGCAUCUUUAAACCCAUUUUUUUGAAACUCUUGUAAUUCCAUGUCUUUUGGCCGGAUAAUUGCACUUUCAUCUUCUUCAAGGUUGAUAUUGAUUUGUGAGGGCAAUUCAUCAAGGUGAGAAGCUAAUCGCGCUAUCCUGGAUGUCAAUUGGUUCAUUUGAUCCGCUAGGUUACGCAUGCUCGCUUGUGUCUCCUGAUGAAAUCAAUAUGUAUUAGUAGCGAAUAAUUCAAUCAAUUCCUGAAGAAACAUACCUGACAUGGAUGAUGGUUGUUGAGACUCUUGCUGUUGAAAAUCUAUCGGCCCGAUCGCACAAUUAAAAUUGGAAUCAUCCCACCAUCCUUGAUCAUACCUAUUUGGGUAAGGGUCAUACCACGUUUGAAAUCGAGGUGAAAAAUCUCCAAAAGUAUCAAUUCGAGCACUUAGAUUAUCUUGAAAUGCAGGGCAUGUGUCGGUUGAAUAACCUGAGGUAAAAUAAGUUCCACAAUUUGUAACAGCCCAUUGAUCAUUAGGAAAAACACGAGUCUCAUAACCCUAUUCAGGAAUAAAGUCCAGUCUAUCAUCAAAAUACGGAAUGUUAGCAGCCAUAAACUAAAAAAAAAAUUAGGAAAAAAUUAAAAAAAAAUAUGAACACAAGAUGAACUCAAAAAGAAACAAAUUAAUCCAGCACCAGUCCCCGGCAACGGCGACAAAAAUUGACAGGUUGUCGAAGUCUGUGCAAUAAUAAAAACCUACUCAAACUAAAAAAAAUUUCUGUAGGUAGCGGUGAGUAGGGUCGAAUCCACAAGAAAUGGAAGUAAUUGUUUCUUUUCAAAUUCACAGUGACAAGGGGGUGUUUUUGUGCAGACGGUGACAAUCAAAGAAAUUCAACUAAAAUCUAAGAAGCUACUAGAAAUUAAAUAACAAAUUACUAAAAUCAAAUGGGUGAUAAUUAAGGAUCUAACCAAGAAAUAACUUCAGCAAUGGUUCACCUAAUUGAUCAUCGAUGCAAAGCCAAUUCCAAUUAUUUACCAAUAAAUAGGUUAUAACUGCCAAACAAGCGAUGACAGUCAAACCCUCCUUACUGUGUCGGUGAUUAAGGUACGCCCGUUAAUCACUACUCUAAUUGAGAAAUAAUCCUAGGUACGCACAUAAGAUUUAAUUUCCCAAUUACCUUACGUAUUAGAGGAGCCCUAUUCCAACCAAAUAACGCACUACCAGGGUUAUUUUAGGUUAGCCCGCGUAUUCCCCUGACACAAACCCAAUCAUGCCAGUUAUCACUAUUUUGGGACAAUUAAACAAUUACGGAUUUAACGUCCCAAUUGACAAUAGAUUAUUAAAUUAACUAAUUAUUCGGAUCCAAAAUAAUCAAUUAUUUAAAUAAUCAUAAGCACUACAAUCAAGGAAUAUGCGAAUACCAAUAAAUAAAAGAAAAAGAUCAAAUUAAAUCGAUCUCACAAUUUUUAGGCGAACCAAAACCUCCGUUGUUCCUUGACUAGAGCGAAAAAAAUUAGUUCAUAUUGGAUGCAAAAAACCCACACAAAAUUGAAGAGAGAGCAGCGGCCAUCAAUUGGGUAAAUUCACGUCGUUGGAAUACUGUCGAAAAAGUGAAGGUAGAGGAAAUAAUUCGUGGCUUUGUUUUUGGUCUUCACAUCCGAGGAAGAAAGGCCAAUAUGAAUCCAAAAGGAAAGUCAAAGUUCCUAAGCUACGCUACAAGACGAAAAACUAAAGAAGACCAGAGGAUAGUGCUCCUCUCCUGCAAUCUUAAUUCCUAUUCUAUCUAAAUGCUCUCCAAUGUGCGGCGGCUCUCCUUCCGGAGAGGAAGAAGCCUCUGGACGCCCUCUCAGGUUUGCUUUCUUUUUCCUUUUUUAGUUGCUGUCUUCGGUCAAAAUUACCAAAAAGGUCUUGCAUCUCCUUGUUCCAAGAAUGCCCUUGAUUGCCUGCUAUUCGAACUCUUUCCGAUGACUGUCAAAUUGGCCUUUAUUGUGAUAUUUUUGCUCUACUCCCUGAAAUAAAUACAAAAUACUAAAAGUGAGUAGAAUCCAACAAUUAAUCCACACCAGAUCAGUUAAUAGGGGAAAUUAAUAAUAAAUUAAAUAGUAAAAUUGCAACCUAUCAAUUCCCCCACACCUAAACCAUGCUUGUCCUCAAGCAUGAUAACAGCAAACAAACCCAAUGUUUGACAAAGACUAUUGCCCUAUCUGUCAUAUUGCCAAGACACCAAGAAAAACAUAGAUUGAGUCUCAGUGAUCAAGAUCCAAGAAACAUCACUCCGGUUAGUUUCUAAACUACAAACUCCUCCAAUUUCAGGUUAACUAAUCUAAGAAAGAAGAAUGACACACAACAUUUAUCAGCAAAUAGUCCAACUAUUAACCAAAAUCUCAACAUUAAAUCCCUAAAUCGGCAAGCUGACUUUUAUUAUACACUAACACAACAUUCACUUUUUUUUCAUGUUUUCCUAUUUUUCUUUUUUUUUCUCUCUUUUUUUUUAAUAGUAACACAAGACUUAGUCUCUGGCCAUUGAAGCUUUUUGACGCGAACUUCGACAUUUGUCAGAUGAAAGAGCCCGGUUACUCAGCUCCUAUCGCCACGUGACCAAGCACUCAUAGCAAUUACUACUUUUUGAUGCGAGAAUCGACAGUUUUGGUGAAGAUCCCCGGUACUCGGUAGUAAAUACUAGCGGAGUACAGUCAACUCUUAUUCACAGCCAAAGAACACCAAAAAUUCAAAAUAACACAAAAAUCAAAAGAAAAUUUGUAGCCGCUAGCCUCAUUUUCAAACAUGGAGAACUAAGGUUAAUAACAAGACCAAUUCACAUGAAAAUGCCAACAAUCAUUCCCUAUGCCUAGGAAAGUUAACCAAAAAUUAUAAAAGUCACGCAGUCGUCGAUAUUCACCACAGAGAUGUUCUUGAAUUCAACCACAUUAACUUGAUACCCUUUUAUUAUUAAAACUUGGCAAUAGCAGAAUUAGAGACAACAAUCCAACAUCAAACUUUGGUAUUCACAUGAGAGCUAAGCACUAAAAAGAAAGAAAGAGACUAAACGAAAGAUAGACAAAUAACAAACUAGAAAUAAAGGAAAAACCCCUAAAAACUAAAAACUACAAAAAACUAUAACCACAACUGAUCCCCCCACACCUAAAUGACAAUUGCCCUCAAUGUGACAAAUAAACAGUAAUAGCAAGAAGAAGGGCAACGGUACUCCCAGAGGUCGUCAACACAUCGCGAGUGAGGCCCAAAAGGAGGAGGAAAGACGACGGCUGCAUAAAUGCCGCUAGUUUCUGGGCAAUAUUGGCCACAUUGGCGUCAAUAUUCUUCACUCCAGCAUCCAAAGUGUCAACCUGCUAACAUUAGCAAUUGAUCCAAGAAAUGGCAACUCCAGCAACACCAGUUCAGAAGUUGGACAGAAAUAACUCAAUCACAAAUGCCCAGUGGUCACAACUCGAUCAAUUAGGCAACCAAUAACACAAGAUUAACAAAUGCUAAACAACCACCAUCGCCAGUACCACCGUGAAUGCACAGGGAAAAAUUAAAUCAAAUGGCUAGCCCAAAUCACUUGAUAAAUCCAAACAUACCACUCAUACCAAGGAAUAGUAGAGAUUAGAACGGGAAUCAAUUGACAAGUAACUCCCUAAAUCGCCCCCAAAUAAUGCACCAAUUUUACUCAACGGGACUAGGGAUAGUGCUAGUGCUCGAAUAAAUCAACAAAUGUCUCCAAUUCAAGAAAUCAACAACUCAACUUAACAGCACUGAGGAAGCUCGCAACGGCUACUAGAAUGUCUCACGGAGCAAAUGAACCACAAAGCCUUCAACGGAGCCCCAAAAAUUGACAACUAAGAAUGCGAAAGACUAAAGGGCAACUCGGAAACAGAGGGACUCGGAGGUACCUGCCCACUGCCAACGGUGUCAUUGGUGACAGUGGGUAGCGGAACCGGCAAAGGGCGGCGGCGGCGAUCGCGACUAGGAGAGUAGGGGCUGCGAUGAGCUGGUGGAUGUGUACCAGCGAGGUGGAGAGGCGCGCGAGGCUUGUCACAGCGACGAGCUGGGUUGCCACGGCUGGAGUGUGACGGCGGCGAACGAGGUGGAUGAAUCGCGCGUGGUGGAGAGGAGGAGCGGCCGCCGCUGUUGGCAACCGUGGGCUGACAGAGUCAGCUGUGGACGACGCGCGGCACACAAGCAGCGGCGGUGGUGGUCGUGUGACUGUAGGCCGGGGGCAGCAUGCGUCGCUCGGCAUUGGUCGCGGGUGAAGGAGAUGGCGGUGGGCACGAGGUGUGCUCGGCCGAAAGAAAAGAAGAAACAGGGAGAAGAAAGAAAGAAAAGAGAAAGAAAGAAGAAGAAAGAAAUGAAAGAAAGAAAAAGAAAGAAAAAGAAAAGGAAAGGAAGGAAAAGAAAAAGAAAAUAGUAUUUGUGCUUUUUUCUUUUUUUUUUUUGCUUUUUCGUUUUUUCUUUCAUUUUAGAAAAUUUUUUUUUGUUUUUAUGGAAAGACUCCCUAUUUUUUUCUCCUUGUUACUUACUUGAAAAUUUUGUUUUUUGAAAAUUUUUUUUUGAAUAUAUCAUUUUUUUUAUUAUUACUGACAAAAUUUAUUUUUGGACUUCAAAAGUAGGGAUUAACAGAAAAUCAAUAAUCGUUCUUGAAUUUUUUUUGAAUACUUACCUUUCCGCGAACAUGACGCGGCACGUCAUGAAGGCACGGAAUCUGGAGCUUUUCAGGUUAAUUGACGCGCGGGCACGUCAAAAGGGUAGGAACCCUUUUUGAUGAAUCUGACCGUGAGCUCUUCAUACGUCAUGACGCGGGCACGUCAUGAGGGCAAGAACCCCUUCUGACAAUUUUGACCGUGAGCUCUUCAUACGUCAUGACGCGGGCGCGUCAUAUCAGAGGGAUGCCUGUGAAUCAUCAAAAAUGAAAAUUAAAGCCAAAAAUCAGCCAAAUCUAAGGAAAAAUAUAUUUAAACUAACGAACAAAAAAUGAACAAAUAUCUAAAAGAAAUUGGGUUGCCUCCCAAUGAGCGCCCUUCUUUAAUGUCUUUGACUAGACAUUAUCAUGCUUUGUUCGUGAAGGAUAAAAUCUUGUGGCUCGUCUUAAUGCUUCAUCCUCUAUAUAGUCCUGAUAGCCCUCGUAAAUAAAGUAAUCCUUGAGCACAUGAGUUACAGACAUCCAUGGACUAGUAAAUGGCGCUAAACAAGUCAACGAUAACUUGCAUUCUCCAUUCACUCCUCCCUCACUUGCAUUUAUUGGUUCAAGAUAUCUUGUUGUCGCCACUCUAAUUUUAUUCCUGUCAUGAAAUUCAAAAUUUUCUGGUAUAAUAAAGUCAAUUUCAUUAACAGGAAUUGAAGAAUAAGAGUCAGGAGAAUAUUGAUGAAGGAUUGGAGGAUGUCACCGCAUUUGUGAUUGUUCACUGGAUUCAUUCACUUGAAUGAGUUGAUCCUGGAGUCUCAUUUCUUGCACUUCAGCUUCCUUUUCAACUGCAUCUUUAAACCCAUUUUUUUGAAACUCUUGUAAUUCCAUGUCUUUUGGCCGGAUAAUUGCACUUUCAUCUUCUUCAAGGUUGAUAUUGAUUUGUGAGGGCAAUUCAUCAAGGUGAGAAGCUAAUCGCGCUAUCCUGGAUGUCAAUUGGUUCAUUUGAUCCGCUAGGUUACGCAUGCUCGCUUGUGUCUCCUGAUGAAAUCAAUAUGUAUUAGUAGCGAAUAAUUCAAUCAAUUCCUGAAGAAACAUACCUGACAUGGAUGAUGGUUGUUGAGACUCUUGCUGUUGAAAAUCUAUCGGCCCGAUCGCACAAUUAAAAUUGGAAUCAUCCCACCAUCCUUGAUCAUACCUAUUUGGGUAAGGGUCAUACCACGUUUGAAAUCGAGGUGAAAAAUCUCCAAAAGUAUCAAUUCGAGCACUUAGAUUAUCUUGAAAUGCAGGGCAUGUGUCGGUUGAAUAACCUGAGGUAAAAUAAGUUCCACAAUUUGUAACAGCCCAUUGAUCAUUAGGAAAAACACGAGUCUCAUAACCCUAUUCAGGAAUAAAGUCCAGUCUAUCAUCAAAAUACGGAAUGUUAGCAGCCAUAAACUAAAAAAAAAAAUUAGGAAAAAAUUAAAAAAAAAUAUGAACACAAGAUGAACUCAAAAAGAAACAAAUUAAUCCAGCACCAGUCCCCGGCAACGGCGACAAAAAUUGACAGGUUGUCGAAGUCUGUGCAAUAAUAAAAACCUACUCAAACUAAAAAAAAUUUCUGUAGGUAGCGGUGAGUAGGGUCGAAUCCACAAGAAAUGGAAGUAAUUGUUUCUUUUCAAAUUCACAGUGACAAGGGGGUGUUUUUGUGCAGACGGUGACAAUCAAAGAAAUUCAACUAAAAUCUAAGAAGCUACUAGAAAUUAAAUAACAAAUUACUAAAAUCAAAUGGGUGAUAAUUAAGGAUCUAACCAAGAAAUAACUUCAGCAAUGGUUCACCUAAUUGAUCAUCGAUGCAAAGCCAAUUCCAAUUAUUUACCAAUAAAUAGGUUAUAACUGCCAAACAAGCGAUGACAGUCAAACCCUCCUUACUGUGUCGGUGAUUAAGGUACGCCCGUUAAUCACUACUCUAAUUGAGAAAUAAUCCUAGGUACGCACAUAAGAUUUAAUUUCCCAAUUACCUUACGUAUUAGAGGAGCCCUAUUCCAACCAAAUAACGCACUACCAGGGUUAUUUUAGGUUAGCCCGCGUAUUCCCCUGACACAAACCCAAUCAUGCCAGUUAUCACUAUUUUGGGACAAUUAAACAAUUACGGAUUUAACGUCCCAAUUGACAAUAGAUUAUUAAAUUAACUAAUUAUUCGGAUCCAAAAUAAUCAAUUAUUUAAAUAAUCAUAAGCACUACAAUCAAGGAAUAUGCGAAUACCAAUAAAUAAAAGAAAAAGAUCAAAUUAAAUCGAUCUCACAAUUUUUAGGCGAACCAAAACCUCCGUUGUUCCUUGACUAGAGCGAAAAAAAUUAGUUCAUAUUGGAUGCAAAAAACCCACACAAAAUUGAAGAGAGAGCAGCGGCCAUCAAUUGGGUAAAUUCACGUCGUUGGAAUACUGUCGAAAAAGUGAAGGUAGAGGAAAUAAUUCGUGGCUUUGUUUUUGGUCUUCACAUCCGAGGAAGAAAGGCCAAUAUGAAUCCAAAAGGAAAGUCAAAGUUCCUAAGCUACGCUACAAGACGAAAAACUAAAGAAGACCAGAGGAUAGUGCUCCUCUCCUGCAAUCUUAAUUCCUAUUCUAUCUAAAUGCUCUCCAAUGUGCGGCGGCUCUCCUUCCGGAGAGGAAGAAGCCUCUGGACGCCUCUCAGGUUUGCUUUCUUUUCCUUUUUUAGUUGCUGUCUUCGGUCAAAAUUACCAAAAAGGUCUUGCAUCUCCUUGUUCCAAGAAUGCCCUUGAUUGCCUGCUAUUCGAACUCUUUCCCAUGACUGUCAAUUGGCCUUUAUUGUGAUAUUUUUGCUCUACUCCCUGAAAUAUACAAAAUACUAAAAGUGAGUAGAAUCCAACAAUUAAUCCACACCAGAUCAGUUAAUAGGGAAAUUAAUAAUAAAUAAAUAGUAAAAUUGCAACCUAUCAAUUCCCCCAACCUAAACCAUGCUUGUCCUCAAGCAUGAUAACAGCAAAAAACCCAAUGUUUGACAAAGACUAUUGCCCUAUCUGUCAUAUUGCCAAGACACCAAGAAAAACAUAGAUUGAGUCUCAGUGAUCAGAUCCAAGAAACAUCACUCCGGUUAGUUUCUAAACUACAAACUCCUCCAAUUUCAGGUUAACUAAUCUAAGAAAGAAGAAUGACACACAACAUUUAUCAGCAAAUAGUCCAACUAUUAACCAAAAUCUCAACAUUAAAUCCCUAAAUCGCAAGCUGACUUUUAUUAUACACUAACACAACAUUCACUUUUUUUCAUGUUUUCCUAUUUUUCUUUUUUUUCUCUCUUUUUUUUUAAUAGUACACAAGACUUAGUCUCUGGCCAUUGAAGCUUUUUGACGCGAACUUCGACAUUUGUCAGAUGAAAGAGCCGGUUACUCAGCUCCUAUCGCCACGUGACCAAGCACUCAUAGCAAUUACUACUUUUUGACGCGAGAAUCGACAGUUUUGGUGAAGAUCCCGGUACUCGGUAGUAAAUACUAGCGGAGUACAGUCAACUCUUAUUCACAGUCAAAGAACACAAAAAAUUCAAAAUAACACAAGAAUCAAAAGAAAAUUUGUAGCCGCUAGCCUCAUUUUCAAACAUGGAGAACUAAGGUUAAUAAACGACCAAUUCACAUGAAAAUGCCAACAAUCAUUCCCUAUGCUAGGAAAGUUAACCAAAAAUUAUAAAAGUCACCAGUCGUCGAUAUUCACCACAGAGAUGUUCUUGAAUUCAACCACAUUAACUUGAUACCCUUUUUUAUUAAAACUUGGCAAUAGCAGAAUUAGAGACAACAAUCCAACAUCAAACUUUGGUAUUCACAUGAGAGCUAAGCACUAAAAAAAGAAAGAAAGAGACUAAACGAAAGAUAGACAAAUAACAAACUAGAAAUAAAGGAAAAACCCCUAAAACUAAAAACUACUAAAACUAGAACCACAACUAUCCCCCCCACACCUAAAAUGACAAUUGCCUCAAUGUGACGAAAAAACAGUAAUAGCAAGAAGAAGGGCAACGGUACUUCCCUGAGUCGUCAACACAUCGGCGAGUGAGGCUCAAAAGGAGGAGGAAAGAUGACGUGCUGCAUAAAUGCCGCUAGUUUCUGGGCAAUAUUGCCCACAUUGGCGUCAAUAUUCUUCACUCCAGCAUCCAAAGUGUCAACCUGCUAACAUUAGCAAUUGAUCCAAGAAAUGGCAACUCCAGCAAUACCAGUUCAGAAGUUGGACAGAAAUAACUCAAUCACAAAUGCCCAGUGGUCACAACUCGAUCAAUUAGGCAACCAAUAACACAAGAUUAACAAAUGUUAAACAACCACCAUCGCCAGUACCACCGAUGAAUGCACAGGGAAAAAUUAAAUCAAAUGGCUAGCCCAAAUCACUUGAUAAAUCCAAACACACCACUCAAUACCAAGGAAUAGUAGAGAUUAGAACGGGAAUCAAUUGACAAGUAACUCCCUAAAUCGCCCCCAAAUAAUGCACCAAUUUUACUCAACGGGACUAGGGAUAGUGCUAGUGCUCGAAUAAAUCAACAAAUGUCUCCAAUUCAAGAAAUCAACAACUCAACUUAACAGCACUGAGGAAGCUCGCAACGGCUACUAGAAUGUCUCACGGAGCAAAUGAACCACAAAGCCUUCAACGGAGCCCCAAAAAUUGACAACUAAGAAUGCGAAAGACUAAAGGGCAACUCGGAAACAGAUGGACUCAGAGGUACCUGCCCACUGCCCAACGGUGUCGUUGGUGGCAGUGGGUAGCGGAACCGGCAAGGGGCGGCGGCGGCGGUCGCGACUAGGAGAGUAGGGGCUGUGAUGAGCUGGUGGAUGUGUACUGGCGAGGUGGAGAGGCGCGCGAGGCUUGUUACUGCGACGAGCUGGGUUGCCACGGCUGGAGUGCGACGGCGGCGAACGAGGUGGAUGAAUCGCGCGUGGUGGAGAGGAGGAGCGACCGCCGCUGUUGGCGGCCGUGGGCUGACAGAGUCGGCUGUGGACGACGCGCGGCACACGAGAAGCGGCGGUGGUGGUCGUGUGACUGUAGGCCGGGGCAGCGUGCGUCGUCGCACGGCAUUGGUCGCGGUGAAGGAGAUGGCGGUGGGCAUGACGUGUGCUCGGCCGAAAGAGAAGAAGAAACAGAGGAGAAGAAAGAAAGAAAAGAGAAAGAAAGAAGAAGAAAGAAAGAAGAAAGAAAAAGGAAAGGAAAGGAAGGAAAAGAAAAAGAAAAUAGUAUUUGUGUUUUUUCUUUUUUUUUUUUGCUUUUUCGUUAUUUUUUCAUUUUAGAAAUUUUUUUUUUGUUUUUUUGGAAAGAGUCCCUAUUUUUUUCUCCUUGUUACUUACUUGAAAAUUUUAUUUUUUGAAAAUUUUUUUUUGAAUAUAUCAUUUUUUUUUAUUAUUAUUGACAAAUUUUAUUUUUGGACUUCAAAAGUAGGGAUUAACAGAAAAUCAAUAAUCGUUCUUGAUUUUUUUUUGAAUACUUACCUUUCCAGCGAACAUGACGCGGGCACGUCAAGAGGGUAGGAACCCUUUUUGACGAAUCUGACCGUGAGCUCUUCAUACGUCAUGACGCGGGCACGUCAAAAGGGCAAGAACCUCUUCUGACGAUUUUGACCGUGAGCUCUUCACACGUCAUGACGUGGGCGCGUCAUAUCAGAGGGAUGCCUGUGAAUCAUCAAAAACGAAAAUUAAAGCAAAAAAUCAGUCAAAUCCAAGGAAAAUAUAUUUAAACUAACGAACAAAAAUGAACAAAUAACUAAAAGAAAUUGGGUUGCAUCCCAAUGAGCGCCCUUCUUUAAUGUCUUUGGCUAGACAUUAUCAUGCUUUGUUCAUGAAAGAUAAAUCUUGUGCCUCGUCUUAAUGCUUCAUCCUCUACAUGGUCCUGAUAGCCCUCGUAAAUAGAGUAAUCCUUGGCACAUGAGUUAUAGGUAUCCAUGGACUAGUAAAUGGCACUAAACAAGUCAACGAUAACUUGCAUUCUCCAUUCACUCCUCCCUCACUUGCAUUUAUUGGUUCAAGAUAUCUUGCCGUCGCCACUCUUAAUUUAUUCCUGUCAUGAAAUUCAAAAUUUUCUGGUAUAAUAAAGUCAAUUUCAUUAAUAGGAAUUGAAGAAUAAGAGUCAGGAGAAUAUUGGUGAAGGAGUGGAGGAGAUGUCACCGCAUUUGGAGAUUGUUCAUUGGAUUCAUUCACUUGAAUGAGUUGAUCCUGGAGUCUCAUUUCUUGCACUUCAGCUUCCUUAUCAACUACAUCUUUAAACCCGUUUUUUUUUAAACUCUUGCAGUUCCAUGUCAUUUGGCCGGAUAAUUGCACUCUCAUCUUCUUCAAGGUUGAUAUUGGUUUGUGAGGGCAAUUCUUCAAGGUGAGAAGCUAAUCGCGCUAUCCUGGAUGUCAAUUGGUUCAUCUGAUCCGUCAGGUUACGCAUGAUCGCUUGUGUCUCCUGAUGAAAUCAAUAUGUAUUAGUAGCAAAUAAUUCAAUCAAUUCCUGAAGAAACACACCUGACAUGGAUGAUGGUUGUUGAGACUCUUGCUGUUGAAAAUUCAUUGGCCCGAUCGCACAAUUAAAAUUGGAAUCAUCCCAUCAUCCUUGAUCAUACCUGUUUGGGUAAGGGUCAUACCACGUUUGAAAUCGAGGUGAAAAAUCUCCAAAAGUAUCAAUUGGAGCACUUAGAUUAUCUUGAAAUGCAGGGCAUGUGUCGGUUGAAUAACCUGAGGUAAAAUAAGUUUCACAAUUUGCAACAGCCCAUUGAUCAUUAGGAAAAACAUGAGUCUCAUAACCCCAUUCAGGAAUAAAGCCCAGUCUAUCAUCAAAAUACAGAAUGUUAGCAGCCAUAAACUAAAAAAAAAUAGAAAAAUAAAAUUAAAAAAAUAUGAAAACAAGAUGAACUCAAAAAGAAACAAAUUAAUCCGGCACCAGUCCCCUGCAACGGCGCCAAAAAUUGACAGGUUGUCAAAGCCUGUGCAAUAAUAAAAAUUUACUCAAACUAAAAGUAAUUUCUGUAGGUAGCGGUGAGCAGGGUCGAAUCCACUGGGACUGGGAGUAAUUGUUUCUUUUCAAAUUCACAGUGACAAGGGGGUGUUUUUGUGCAGAUGGUGACAAUCAAAGAAAUUCAACUAAAAUCUAAGAAGCUACUAGAAAUUAAAUAACAAAUUACUAAAAUCAAACGGGGUGAUAAUUAAGGAUCUAACCAAGAAAUAAUUUCAGCAAUGGUUCACCUAAUUGAUCAUCGAUUCAAAGCCAAUUCCAAUUAUUUACCAAUAAAUAGGUUAUAACAGCCAAACAAGCGAUGAUAGUCAACCUCUCCUUACUGUGUCGAUGAUUAAGGUACGCCCGUUAAUCACUACUCUAAUUGAGAAAUAAUUUUAGGUACGCCCAUAAGAUUUAAUUCUCCAAUUGUCUUAAGUAUUAGAGGAGCCCUAUUCUAACCAAAUAACGCACUACCAGGUUUAUUUUAGGUUAGCCCGCGUAUUCCCCUGAUACAAACCCAAUCAUGCCAGUUAUCACUAUUUUGGGACAAUUAAACAAUUACAAAUUUAACGUCCCAAUUGACAAUAGAUUAUUAAAUUAACUAAUUAUUCGGAUCCAAGACAAUCAAUUAAUUAAAUAAUCAUACGCACUACAAUCAAGGAAUAUGUAAAUACCAAUAAAUAAAGAAAAAGAUGAAAUUAAAUCGAUCUCACAAUUUUUAGACGAACCAAAGCCUCCGUUGUUCUUGACUAGAGCGAAAAAAAUUAGUUCAUAUUGGAUGCGAAAAACCCACACAAAAUUGAAGAGAGAGCAGCGGCCAUCAACUGGGUAAAUUCACGUCGUUGGAAUACUGUCGAAAAAGUGAAGGUAGAGGAAAUAAUUCGUGGCUUUGUUUUUGGUCUUCACAUCCGAGGAAGAAAGGCCAAUAUGAAUCCAAAAGGAAAGUCAAAGUUCCUAAGCUACGCUACAAGACGAAAACUAAAGAAUACCAGAGGAUAGUGCUCCUCUCCUGCAAUCUUAAUUCCUAUUCUAUCUAAAUGCUCUCCAAUGUGCGGCGGCUCUCCUUCCGGAGAGGAAGAAGCCUCUGGACGCCCUCUCAGGUUUGCUUUCUUUUUCCUUUUUUAGUUGCUGUCUUCGGUCAAAAUUACCAAAAAGGUCUUACAUCUCCUUGUUCCAAGAAUGCCCUUGAUUGCCUGCUAUUCGAACUCUUUCCCAAUGACUGUCAAAUUGGCCUUGAUUGUGAUAUUUUUGCUCUACUCCUGAAAUAAAUGCAAAAUAUUAAAAGUGAGUAGAAUCCAACAAUUAAUCCACCCCAGAUCAGGUAAUAGGGGAAAUUAAUAAUAAAUUAAAUAAUAAAAUUGCAACAUAUCAAAUUAUCUAAUCAAGAUCGAGUUUGAGUAAACCAGAGUUCAAGUUGAACUUGAAUACAAUCAUAAGCUACAAUCUGGAUGAGUGAUUGUGAACAUCACAUAAAUAGGUUAAAUCAAACUAAAAUCUGAAGUGAAAUCAAUUAGAAUUGUUAAUUGACGUGGGUGGUUAUUGGAAACAUAAUGGACACAGUGGCUUUAUAACCAGAAUUAAGAUUGUAGAUGAGUUAUCGAUGAUAUAAUUGAGGAAGCAACUUUUGAACCAGAAUCGAGAUUGUUGAUGAGUGAUCAAAAUUAUAAUUGAUAUAGUGGCUUUUUUAGAAUCGAGAUUACAGAUAAAUGAUAGAUAUUAAUCUUAAUCUAAAUGUAAUUGAAGUUGAGAUGAAAAUCAAUGAUAACUAAUGAUUAAUUACCUGUCAUAUAAUCGAAGUUGAGAUUAAAAAACAAUAAGUUAGGAUUACAAGUGUAGAUUGUGUUGGAUCCUUAAUCCAACAUUGGACUUAUAUGUGAAUAAUUAUGUGUUGUAAACUGUCAAUUAAGAUUAAACCCAAUUAAAGUAAUCAAUAUAGUUUGGGUUUAAUGUAUCUAAUAGGGUGUGGGCCUUUAAUGUAUAGAGACUUAAGGGCUCCUAUUUCUAUGAUGGGCUGAAAUAGGGUUCCAAAGGGUAACAGGAAUGUUACCUAUAAAUAGGGUCAUGGUCCCCAAGUCACACGUAUUCUUAUUUUGUCGUAUUCUCUAGUACCACAAAUAUAGUUCUUCCCUGAUAUCCCAUUGUCAGGAAAGAUACCAGAGAGAUACUAAAGGGCUCUCUUUAGAUUUGACAAAUACGUGUUGACCUGGAAGGCCACCCAAAAUCUCUAAGGAUUCAAGCACCAGUUUGUCAACAUGAAUCAAGGUACGCUUCCGCAAUUUUGUGUUAAUUACUUCUUAAUAAUCGCCAUAUAUAUCUUGGGUUUAACAGGUGAUGAUUUUCACCAAUGGUUAAAUUCAGAUAACCACCCUAACAAGUGGUAUCAGAGCCCAUAUGGUUGAUUAUUAGAAAAUAAUUUGGAUUUAGUAAUUCAUAAAAAAAAAACUAUGAUUGAUGUAGUUUUUCGUUUGCAUGGCUGAAAGAUUUUGUCCCGUGGUUGGUUAAUAUGCGCGUGAUUCGGCUUUGUGUUUUGGUCUUUUAUGAGUCGUUGUUUUUCAUGAAUCAAGUCAUGUUCCAUUGCCGUUCAUGUUCAGCCUUCAUGUCAUGGAAAGUCAGCUUGCAUGAAUAGAUAUUUUAAUGAAAUUCAUGUUGUUAUAUUGCAUUCAGUGGGCUCAACGGAUUGUUAGACACUAAUCAAUUGUUUUGCUAUGAUUACUGUGCUAAAAGACGAAAGCCAAAAUAGCUUUUGCUGUGACUUUUCAUUGUCUCUUCGGUCAAGCCUCACUGCAACCGAACUUUUGGUUGUUUGCUGUGAUGAUUUGGUUUGGUCAAUUUAAUAUUUAUUAUAUUGAUUCAUUUGUCAAUAAUUGGUUUUCAAUUGUUCAAUUGUCAAUAAUUGGACUCCUUGGCCUGUUUCAUUGUUUAUGAAUAUGUAAGUAUUUAUGUUAAGAAAAUUAGGAUUUCUUUAAUUUAAGUGAACCCUAAUAAAGUUAAAUAGGACAUUUAAACCCUAUAAAAUCCAUAUGUGUGGCCCAUUAAAUAUGUAGCUUUUAUAAAGCACUUAUGAAUUUCAAGAAAAUUUGUUGGGCUUGAAUGUUAAUUUUGGGUCAAUUUAUGGAUAUGGACCUUUGGUCCAAUAAGUCAUGAUUUAAUUUGAUUGAUUUGACCAUGUUUGACCACAUUUUGACCAAAGUUGACUUUUAAUCAAAAUUUUUAUUUAAUUUGGAUAAUUUUAAAUUUGAAUAUUGGUAUGAUUAUAUAUAUUUUGGAAUAAAUUAUUUGAAAUAAUAUGCCACCAAAGUGACCUCUAUUAUGGAAAUUAAUUUAUUUUAAAAUAUAAUUAGUUGGGUACUAGUAAUUUUAUGAAUAUUGAUAAGCCUAAAGGAAGGUCAAUAUUUAAUGAAAUUACAUGUGCACUUGUGGUAAUAAACAUGUGAUAAUUAUUCGGUUUUACAUGUGAAUUAUAAAUUGGCCCAAAGAAAAAUUUAUUUUUUGACAUGUUAUUAUUGUCAGUGUUUAUUACUGCGCCAAGAUAUCACUUAGAAGUUAAUAUUUUGUCCAAAGAUAAAAUAUUAAUGGAAUAUCGGUAUCUUGAGAUAGGGUUACCAUUAUUUAAAUUUAUUAUUAUUUUGAUUUAUGUGAGCAUAGUUUUAAUUAUUUUAUGUUUUCUAUUCAGUUGCAAAUGAUCUUACAAGUAUUACUACCAACAUCAAUGAUAUUCUUAUGUUGAAUGGCACAAAUUUCAAGUCCUGGAAAGAAAAUCUCUUGAUAGUACUUGGAAUAAUGGAUAUUGACCUUGCAUUAAGGGAUGAUUCUCCCCUACCUCUUACAGAUCAGAGUAUUUCUGAUGAAAAGAGGGAUAAGGAAAGGUGGGAGAGAUCAAAUCGCUUGUGUCUGAUGAUCAUUAAGAAAGCCGUUCCAGAAGCAUUCAGAGGAACAAUAUCAGAAACAAAUGUAACCGCUAAAGAGUUCCUUCAGGACAUUGAAAAAAGUUUUGUCAAGAACGAAAAGGUUGAAAUUAGUACGCUCUUGACACGCCUAGUUUCAAUGAAAUAUAGUGGUAAAGGCAAUAUCAGAGAAUACAUUAUGGAAAUGUCUCAUCUUACUUCAAAAUUAAAUGCACUUAAAUUGACACUCUCUGAAAAGUUACUAGUGCAUUUGAUUUUAAUAUAUCUUCCUACACAAUUUAGCCAGUUUAAGGUGAGUUACAACUGUCAAAAGGAGACUUGGUCUCUAAAUGAACUCAUCUCACACUGUGUAGAGGAAGAGAAAAGGUUGAAGCAAGAGCAGAUAGAAAGUGCCCAUUUGGUGUCAACCACUAAUAAUAAAAGCAAGGGACUUAAGAGAAAGAAGGAAAAAGAGCUGCAGGUACAGCGCCACAAAAGAAACAACAAAAGAAAUCAGAUAAUCAGGGAGAGAAUAGUUAUUUCUUCUGUGGAGCUUAAGGGCAUCAAAAGAAGCAUUGCACCAACUAUCAUGCUUGGCGUGCUAAGAAAGGUAUGCUUCUUAAUUUGGUUUGUUCUGAUGUUAAUUUAACUUCGGUACCUAGACACACAUGGUAGUUAAUUCUGGUGCAACAACUCACAUCAGUGUAUCUAUGCAGGGUUGCCUGAAUUGCCGAAAAUCUAAUGACAAUGAAAGAUAUAUCUACGUGAGCAUGGCAAAACAGUCCAAGUUGAGGCAAUUGGAGUUUUUAGAUUAUUGUUAAAGACCGGAUUUUAUUUGGAUUUCAAUGAAAUAUUUGUUGUAUCGUCUUUUAGGCGGAAUUUAAUUUCUAUUUCUGCUUUGGACAAAUUUGGUUAUUCCUGUUCAUUUGAAAUGGAAAAUUUGAAUUAUUUCAUGAUUCAAAAUUGGUUGGUUCUGGUUCUUUAAUGCACUACGAUAAUCUAUAUUUAAUUGAUACAAUUGCCUCAUUUAAUGAAUCUCUGCAUUUGAGUACUAGAGGAGUAAAGAGAAAAUUAACCAAUGAGAAUUCAGCCGCAUUAUGGCACAAGAGAUUGGGACAUAUCUCCAAACGGAGAAUAGAAAGACUUGUAUCAAAUGAAAUUCUCGACCCCUUGAAUUUCACAGAUUUUGAUGAUUGUUAACUGUAUAAAGGGGAAACAAACCAAUAAAAGGAGAUUUGAAAUCAAUAGGUUUUCAGAAGCUUAGAACUUAUACAUACGGAUAUUUGUGGGCCAUUUCUACAUCUGCUUGGAAUGGUCAACAAUAUUUUAUAACGUUCAUAACGAUUUUUCAAGAUAUGGCUACAUAUAUUUCAUUUUUGAAAAGUCACAGUCACUGGACGUGUUCAAAAAUUUUAAGGUUGAAGUUGAGAAUCAACUCAACAAAAGAAUUAAAAGCGUUAGAUCUGACCGUGGUGGUGAGUACUAUGGUAGAUAUGACGGUUCAGGUGAACAAUGUCCAGACCAUUUGCUAAAUACCUAGAGGAAUGCAGUAUCGUCCCACAGUACAUUAUGUCAGGUUCACCCAGUAUGAAUGGUGUAGUUGAAAGACGAAAUAGAACGCUUAAAGACAUGGUAAGAAGUAUGAUAUGUCACUUUACCUUACUAGAGUCACUCUGGGGAGAAGCACUUAAGACUGCAGCAUAUAUCCUUAACAGAGUUUCAACUAAAUCAACUAUCAAAACCCCUUAUGAGUUUUGGACAGGGAAAAAGCCCAGUUUAAAGCAUUUACAUAUUUGGAGAUGUCCAGUUGAGGCAAGGCCUUUAGGCCAAAUGAAAAGAAACUGGACUCAAGAACGAUUAGUUAUUAUUUUAUUGGAUACUCUGAAAGAUCCAGAGUUACAAGUUUUAUGAUCCCACAUCUAAAUUAAUUUUUGAGACAGGAAAUGCCCGAUUCUUUGAGGAUGUCGAGUUUGGGGAGAAAAUACAGUAAGGGACAUUGUCUUUAAAGAAAAAUAUAUUAAUAUUCCCACAGGUGUCAUUGCUCUUGCUCAGGACCCUAUCCCUGAACUUGAUCAUGAUAUGACAAAUCAAGACAAUGUCGAAGAGCAAACUGUUCCUCUCCAAGAACCAGUGUCAUUAAGAAGAUCCACUAGAGAAAGGAGAAGUGCAGUGCCAGAUGAUUACAUUAUUUUUCUCCAAGAACAUGAGGAUGACUUUGGAUUAAUGGAAGAUGAUCCAAUCAACUUCCGUCAAGCCAUGGAAAGUUCAAAUUCUCAAAAGUGGAUCGAUGCCAUGAAUGAGGAGAUUAAAUCCAUGAACGACAACGAUGUUUGGAUCUUGUCCCAUUGCCAGAAGGAGCGAAACCCAUUGGUUGUAAAUGGAUAUUUAAAAUCAAAAGGGAUUCGAGAGGCAAUGUGAAAAUAUACAAAACUCGUCUUGUCGCCAAGAGAUUUACACAAAAAGAAGUAUCGAUUAUAAAGAAACUUUCUCUCCAGUCUCUUCAAAGGACUCCUUUAAAGUUAUUAUGGCAUUGGUGGCGCAUUUCGAUCUUGAGUUACAUCAGAUGGAUGUAAAGACAGCGUUUCUCAAUGGUAACAUUGAUGAGACAAUUUAUAUGAUACAACCAGAAAACUUUGUAUCAGGAGAUCCAAAGAAUAUGGUUUGUAAACUUAAAAAAUCCAUCUAUGGGCUCAAACAAGCGUCUCGACAAUGGUAUUUCAAAUUUCAUCAAGUGAUUAUCUCAUUUGGUUUCGAGAUAAAUUUAGUGGAUGAUUGUAUAUACCAUAAGUUCUGUGCGAGCAAAUAUAUUUUUCUGGUAUUGCAUGUUGAUGAUAUUUUGCUUGCCAGCAACGAUAUUGAUCUAUUGCAUGAAACCAAGAAAUUUCUAAUUAAAAAUUUUGAGAUGAAAGAUCUUGGUGAUGCAUCUUUUGUGUUAGGUAUUCAAAUACACCGGGAUCGAUCUCGGGGUAUUUUAGAACUAUCACAAAAGGGCUAUAUUGAAAAGGUUUUAAAAGAGAUGGCAUGCAAAAUUAUAAAUCAGGUGACAUCCCUGUGACUAAAGGAAACAAAUUUAAUCUUGAACAGUGUCCCAAUAAUGCUUUUGAGGAAAAAGAAUGCAAAAUUCCUUAUGCAUCAGCAGUAGGGAGUCUAAUGUAUGCUCAAGUAUGUACGCGUCCGGAUAUUGUGUACAUUACUGGAAUGUUGGGUAGAUAUUUGAGUAAUCUAGAUUAGAUCAUUGGUAAGCAACCAAACGGGUCUUACGAUAUCUACAGAAAACAAAGGAUUACAUGCUCACGUAUCGGAAGUCAGAUGAGUUAGAGAUCAUCGGGUAUACUGAUUCCGAUUAUGCUGGAGCAAAGAUACUAUGAAAUCAACGUCAGGAUAUGUCUACUUGUUGGUUGGAGGUGCCAUAUCCUGAAAGAGUGCUAAACAGUCCAUCACUUUGGGGGGCAUUUAACCUUCACUAGACCCGCUGAUCAGCUGAGAUAUGUUAAGGUCUGUGAGAGGAGUAUCAUAUCCUGCAAGUGUUGUAAGAAACUUGUUAUGAUUGCCCUAGGUCUACGGGAGGAGGUCGAGCAGAUGUUUACCGCCAUCGGGUGACGUUCUUAUCUUGAUAUCUUCUAUCCCACCUUAAAUUUUACUCCACUUUCGAGUUUGAGUUGCCUACGAGGUACACCGUUAAGACCCCAAAUGUCAUUCAUUUCCGUCUAAUGGGUCAGGAGUUCAAUUUCUCCAUUACACAAUUUAACAUUUAAUCUGGCAUUAUUCAUUACUCGGGAGUAUGCGGAGACUAGGGAGUACGCUGAGAGUGCCUGUGACUACGUGGAGCCAUUUCUAUCCUCCUACCACGAUGUGUGGAGGGACAUGUCUAUCGACAGGCACUGUUAUGACCCUUCUCGGUCUAGGAGCUCCUAUCUUAAGGACCCGAGUGCCCGAUAUGUUCAGCGAUUUCUGGCCUACAGUUAUUUGGGUCGCAAAGAUAGCUCGGGUGUACUCUCCCGACCCGAUUUCUUCUUCAUCUGGUGUAUGAAGAACAAUGUCAAUAUGAAUCUAGGGUGUUGGUUAACGGCACAGUUCAAGACCGUUUUACCAAAAAAGAACAAACCCCUGAUCCUCGGUCCUACAUCACACACUUGCAGUACAGUUGGGGUUCUUAAUCUGGAGAACCACGACCUUCAUUUGGCGUUUGACAUGAAACUUCUCAAUGUGGAGAGCUUGGAGAGGAUGGGCGUUCUUGAGUACGUCAAUGGUUCAUACCGGUUCACUCCUCCGGGACCUCCUCGCGCUCCCCGCGCUCCCCCCGCGCCCCUGGUUUGCUUGUUCGUCCUCGAUUGGCGAUGACGACGGCCCGUCUACCUCCGCUCCGCCUCCUCCAUCCCCAGGGGCUGCUGAAUGGCAACAAUUCCGGACGUAGGUUCAGAAUUUGGAAGCUCAGAUGACCAACAUCGAUGCUAACGUGCAUAGCAUGGCGCAGCAUUUGGCAGCAUUCAUGCAUCAUGCGGGUCUUACGCCUCAAUUUGGUUAUCACCCACCACUUUGACCCGACUUCAGGGAAGUUUUGUUACCCUUUCUCCUACUUUUGAUGCUUAUUUGCUACAUUGAGGGCAAUGCAUCAUUUAGGUAUGGGGGGAUCAGUUGUGGUUCUAGUUUUUAGUAGUUUUUAGUUGUUAGAUGUUUUUCCUUUAUUUCUAGUUUGUUAUUUGUCUAUCUUUCUUUCAUUUUCUUUCUUUCUUUUUAGUGCUUAACUCUCAUGUGAAUACCAAGGUUUGAUGUUGGGUUAUUGACUCUAAUUCUACUAUUGUCAAGUUUUAAUAAUAAAAGUGUAUCUAAUUAAUGUGGUUGAGUUCAGAACGUCUCUUUGGUGAAUAUCAGUGAUUGCUUGACUCUUUUGAUUUCUUUGUUAACUUUUCUAGGUAUAGGGAAUGGUUGUUGGCAUUUUCAUGUGAAUUAGUCCAAUAUUAACUUUAGUUCUUCAUAUUUGAAGAAAUGAGGCUAGCGGCUGCUAUUUUUGUUUUCUUUUGCUAUGUUAUUUUGAGUUAUUGUGUUAUCUGGCUGUGAAAUAAAGUUGACUGUACUCCGCUAGUCAUUACUACUGAGUAACUGGGGGUCUUCACUAAAAGUGUUGAUUCUCGCGUCAAAAGAUAGUAAUUUCUAUGAGUAUGUGGUCGUAUAGCGAUAGGAACUAAAUAAUCGAGUUCCUUCAUCUGAAAAAUGUUGGAGUUCGCGUCAAAAGGCUCCAAUGGCUGGAGACUAAGUCUUUUGUGCUAUUUUAAACAAAAAAAAAAGAAAAAAUAAAUAAUGAGAAAAAAGAGUAUAGGUUGUGUUAGUGUGUGAUAGAAGUCAACUUGCCGACUUAUGGAUUUAAUGUUGAGAUUUUGGUUAAUAUUUGGAGCAUUUGUUGAUAAAUGUUAUGCGCCAUUUCUUUUUCUUAGAUUUGUUAACUUGGAAUUGAAGGAGUUUGUGAUUUAGAAACUAACCUGAGUGAUGUUUCUCGGAUUUUGAUCACUGAUGCUUGAUAUAUGAUUUUCUUGAUAUCUUGGUAAUAUGGUAGAUAGAGCAAUAGCCAUUGUCAAAUAUUGGUGUUUGUUUACUAUUCUUAUACUUGAGAACAAGCAUGGUUUAGGUGUGAGGGAAAUUGAUAGGUUACAAUUUUUUUAUUUAUUUUAUUAUUAAUUUUCCCUAUUACCUGACCCGAUGUGGAUUAAUUAUUGGAUUCUAGGCACUUUUAGUAUUUUACAUUUAUUUCAGGGAGUAGAACGAAAAUAUGAUAACAAGUGCCAAUUUGAUAGGAAAGGAGUCCAAGUAACAGAGCUUAUCCCAGGGGCAUUUUUGGAAAAAGAAAACUUUUUCCCAUUUUGGUAAUUGCUGACCCGAUAUGGAUUAAUUGUUGGAUUCUACUCACUUUUAGUAUUUUACAUUUAUUUCAGGGAGUAUAACGAAAAUAUGAUAACAAGUGCCAAUUUGACAGGAAAGGAGUCCAAGUAACAGAGCUUAUCCCAGGGGCAUUUUUGGAAAAGGAAAACUUUUUCCCAUUUUGGGUAAUUGCUGAAGAGGGCAGCGGACGGCAGGGACUUCAUCAUUCCUUGGAGGGCAAAAAGCCGCCGUACAGGGCGAGACUUAGGAAAGCAUUAGAGUAGCUAGGUAUUAGAUAGAAAGGAGAUUGAGGAAUGAAGAACUGGCACUAUCCUUUUAGCUUUUCUUUUGGCUUUUCCCUUGGGACGUGGGUGGAUUUCUCCUACGCAUGACAGGAGCAAGAUUGGGAGAACUUUGACUUUUCUUCCUUUUAGCUUUUAGUAGUUCCUUUUCUUUCUUCGAAUGUCAGACGAAGUGAAUGAUUAAUCAAUGGCCGCGGCUUUCUCUUCAAUUUUGUAUGGGUUUUUCGCAUCAAAUAUGAACUAAUUUCUUCACUCUAGUUAAAGAGCAACGGAGGCUUUGGUUCACCUAAAAAUUGUGAGAUCGAUUUAAUUUAAUUUUUUUCUUUUAUUUAUUGGCAUUCGCAUAUCCCUUGAUUGCAGUAUUUACGAUUAUUUAAUUAAUUAAUUGUCUUGGAUCUGGAUAAUUAGUUAACUUGAUAAUCUAUUGUCAAUUAGGGCAUUAAAUCGGUAAUUGUUUAAUUGCCUUGAAUUAGUGACAACUGGCAUGAUUAGAUUUGUGUCAAGGGGAUACGCGGGCUAAUCUGAAAUAACCUUGGUAGUGCGUUAUUUCGUUAGAAUAGGGUUCCUCUAAUACGUAAGACAAUUGGAGAAUUAAAUCUUACGGACGUACCUAAGAUUAUUUCUCAAUUAGAGCAAUGAUUAACGGGCGUACCUUAUUUACCGACACGGUAAGGAGGGGUUGACUGUCAUCACUUAUUUGACAGUUAUAACCUAUUUAUUAGUAAAUAAUUGAAAUUGCCUUUGCAUUGAUGAUCAAUUAGGUGAACCAUUGCGGAAGUUAUUUCUUGGCUAGACCUUUAAUUAUUAUUAAUCUAAUUUCAGUGAAUUGUCAUUUAAGUUCUAGUUAGCUAUUUAUUUUUAUUUGAAUUCCUUUGAUUGUCAUCGUUUACAUAAAAACACCCCUCGUGUUACUUUGCAUUUCGAAAGAGACAAAUAUCCCCAAUCCCUGAGGAUACGGCCCUACUUGCCCUGUUUACAAAUUAAUAAUUAUUUGUUAAAAAGCAUUCCAUUCGGGUAUAUCGGAUCAAGCAAACUCUUUGGGAAUAGGGUGAAUCAAGUAACCCAUUGCACAGCUAGAGUCCCUGUUCCAGUACUUGGAAUUGAAUUUUGGUUAUUUUAAUUGGCAAUUAGAUUUAUUUUUAUUAUUGUACAGGCAUCGACAACCUGUCAGCAAGAAAGAACCCCAGGAACAUUUUGCGACCUGCUGCCAGUCCUUUUACUGAACAAAAUGAGCACCUUGGGUCUAAUACAUUGAAAGAAUUCGAGUCAAAGCCUGGAUCCAUUCUCCUUUCCCACACAGAUGAGCCUGGAUCCAUUCACCCUUACCAUGGUCGUGAUGCUAAUUCAAAGGAGGAGAAACCACAAAUGAAAGAUUUUGAGUCAAAGCCUAAAUCCUUUUUAAUCCUUUACCGUGGUGACAAAGCUAACUUGCAGGAGGGAAAACCGCAUAUGAAAGAUUUCGAGUCAAAGCUUGAAUCCUAUUUAAUCCUUUACCGUGGUGACAAAGCUAACUUGCAGGAGAGAAAACCGUAUAUGAAAGAUUUCGAGUCAAAGCCUGAAUCCAUGUUGAUCCUUUA